GCUCUAGUUCUUUGUUCAUUUAUUCAAAGUUCUAAGCAUUAUGUAUCCUAAAUGUUCCUGUCCUGUGGUAGGCGUGAAAUAAAAUGGCGAGACGACUCAGUGAUGUCCAUGAUAUAUUGUUAUGUAGCCUGCUUAACCUUAACUGAUCGAUACACUCCAAUUUUAUGGAGAGAAAGUUCAUAUGUGCUUCAAAACUACACCAUUAUAUAUUGGCUUGGGAUGCAUGGGGAACCUGUGAAGCAGAAUAGCCAUGAUGAGAAAAAUCGCUCAUAUUUACCCCAACACAUGUCUGAGCUAUUAAUGGCUAUCAAUUGCCACCUUCAUGACAUAUCAGUGAGGAUUUUGCACUCGCUCGGCCUUUGACAAGCAUAUGUAGAAACAAAAAAAGAUACUAAAAAAAUACAGGCUUCUGAUUUCAAGAUCAGCAUGCUGCUAAGGGGUAAAUAUGGUUGUUGUAGAACUGGGCGUAAUUAAGAAGCAUAGGGAACUCGUGGCAGAAAUACAGCCAUGUCAUCUAUAUAAGAGACUGAAAUGAUUUUCUGCAAUUAUUCCUUUUAUGUGUUGCUGGUAAAUAAACUACCUUGCACCUCUAGCUAGGAGUAUAUAAUAAGAGACCGAAAGCAGCUCGUUCCACAGGUGACCACACAAAUGUUCUGCAUCCCUGUAGUUUGAUAAGGUUGAAAGACAGAAAGAGUGUCUUAGUUACUUUCAGUUAGUCAGUUACCUUUGUUUCAUGCAGCUGAAAUGGUGUAGACCUUUGGAGAAGACCCAUGAGGAAUUUUGUUGAACAAGUUCAGCUUGACCGUUGCGUUUAAACACACAUGCUAGGAACAGUAUAUAUAUAUAUAGUGGUCUUAUUGCAAAAACAUUUGUUAAAACGAGGGAGAAAAACCAAUGACAAGCCUACAGGCUGUAUAGGGAAGGAUAGGCAUGGGAGGUAUAGGGAAUUCAGUUUGUGCAACUGGGAGAGGUUGUGCAUGACAAAGGGCACCAGGGAGAUAUGGCCGGAGAGUUCCCUACUCAUUGUAUGGCUCUACGACUAUAAAUAUACUUGUAAAUCUUAGUAGAUAAUCAUCUCUAAGUAAAUUUAUAGUAAUAUGUAAACACCCAAAAAUAGUGAGAUUGUUUGCUGGCCAAAGCCCAUGGUUUUUUCCCUUUUGUGUUGGAGUGUUUUCCACGUUAAAUCUGUGUCUUCACUGUGUUUGAUCUACUUUGUGUCGUACUGAUUCAUAACAAGUGGUACCGAAGCAAGUUCUUGUGAUCUGUGUGCUAAGGCUUCCUGUCUCGGCACACGUGUGUCGACGAUAAUGAAGUACGAUCUUCCGCUACUGGAUCUCGACACUCGUUUCUCACUGCGUCAAGUGAAGAUGCAGACGAUUCUCUUGAAGUCUGAUCGCGACCUAGAUGAUGCCCUAGACGGGUUUGGCAAGAAAAACAUCAGGACAUGGACUGAUGAGAAGAGGUGCAAGGAUCGUAAGGCGCUGGCACAUAUUCACCUUCAUUUGUCUAACAAUAUCUGCAAGAGGUUUUGACAGAGAACCACCGAUGCGUUGUGGUUGAAGCUGUUGGCGCCGGCUGCCGAAAUGGCUACGCCGACGGCGAUUAGCACCUAUCGGCGAUCUUACAAACUCGCUCUCGCUGUCAUCACUCUGGAACGCGAAUGCUGGGAACACGGGAACAGUUUUACACCGCACCAAGUAGCAACCUUUUCCCUGACUUGCUUUUUCUGUUUUAUUUUGAUCGAUGUUUACACUGUCUUCACGAUCCGCUAUCCCCGCCACGCCAUGCAUGUUGUGACGUGCCCGCCUGAAUCGUGGGACCGUUUUUCAUCCGGCGUGGUGGUGGACUUAGUCACCACCUUGUGAACGCAGCACAAGUCAUGGCACAUACAUCGUUUGAUACAUCAUGCAACAGCUAACUAUGACUAGAAUGUAAACGUGCUCAUGCAAUUAAUCUAUUUACAUCAUGUCCAAGUGUGCACGAGAUUGAGUUUAACAUUUCACCCCCUAAUCCCGCUGCACCUCGACAACGCCUAGCUGUUGACGAAGCUCCAUGAAUCUGACACGCCCGAGCGCCUUUGUCAGAAUAUCCUCAAGCUGGUCUUUAGUGCUUACAUGAUCAACAUCAACUUCACCCUUGUCAACACAUUCUCUGAUGAAGUGAAAUCUUGUGUCUAUAUGCUUACUUCUGUCAUGGUGAACUGGGUUCUUGCUCAGAGCAAUGGCCGAUUUGUUGUCCAUUAAAGGCUUGACUAUUAGAGCCUGAGUGUUCAGCAGUUCUCCUAGAAGACGGCUAAGCCAAAUGCCUUGACAUGCUACAUUUGCACUUGCAAUAUACUCAGCCUCACAGGAUGAUAAUGCCACCACCCAUUGUUUCUGAGAUGCCCAUGUCACUAAGCUUGACCCCAAGAUCAGUAUUUCUUGUAGCCUCAUAUAUUAUUGCAUAUUGAAUUAAAAUAAACAGUUAUUUAAAGUGGUAUGCUAACAGACAGUAUUGUUUGUAUACUUAGAUAGCUAAAGAAGGACAGAUUCAAAGAAAGAAUCAUAAAUGGUGUUGGAGUGAAGGCCGAACUCGAUCAACCAUGUGCAGAACGGAACUAACUACGCCUGAGUGCAGGAUCCCACACCUUAGAGGACUUCGCCAGAUCAGCACCAACGAAGGGACUUUCGACUUCCUCCCCUGACAACAAUUAUGAGAAGGCCCGCGCAAGAGGAGGCUUCACCUACAGUGAAGCCACCACUACUACAGAAAAGAUUUUGCAAGACGGUGGCAAAACAUUUUCGGAGGUGGGUGUGCCUGUAGGCCACCUUAGUUAAACGCUGGCAGGGUCGCUGCCUUCGCGCUCGCCUCAGUUAAAAGUUAACGGAGGCGAGCGACAUAAGGCAACUGCCUGUCUCCUUUAAACAAUUAACAGAGGCGGUUGCUUUACGUAGCCCGCUUCUUUUAAUCAAUUAAUAGAGACAUGUUUUUAAGACAAACGCCAUUGUUAGGGCCCAUUUGGGAGGGCUCCCGGAGAGCUCCGGCUCUGGCUCCUCGCUGGAGCCCUCCCAAACGCAGCGUCUAAAAACAGUUCCGGAGGAGGAGCUGGUGCCAGGAGACGGUCGGGAGCCGGAGCCAGAAAUUUUGGCUCUGCAUGGCUCCGCUCGGCACUUCGCCCUCUGAGUCCGUUCGUCUACCAAGUUUCUUCAGUGUAGCUAGCUUUCAUUCAGCAAGUAUUCGGCAAAUAGAGCACGCAGUUCUCAUCAGGCAUCAACACUGCAUGUUUGUUCACAAUGCAAGUUUCUUCGAUUAGCAGCUUCUUCUUUGCUGAAGUAGAAUUCACUGAAGUAAGUAGCAAUUUAUUCUUCUUUAGUAGUCCCUGAAUACAGUUAGCAAGUAGUUUAUGAAUGCAGUUUUCAGAGGAGCCAUUUUGCCAAACGAUUUUACAAAAAGACACUGGCUCCUGCGGAGGAGCUCCUCUUUCAGAGAAGCCGGAGCCGGAGCCAUUUUCAGAGAAGCCGGAGCCCUGCAAAACGGGGCCUUAAAUGAUAAUAAAUAUAGAUAUAUAUAUAUAUAUAUAUACAAACUGCAUUCAUAUGUUACAUAAUUAAUCUUAAACGGAAUUAUAUUUUGGGACUGAGGGAGACCGAGGGAGUAAUGAAUAUGGACAUACAUAUAAACUAUAUUCAUAGGUUAAUUAAUGAAUUUAUAUUUAGUCUAAAACGAAUUAUAUUUUUGUGGUGGAGGGUGUAGAGUACCUGUCAGAUACAUAUGCAGUGGUAGAUCACAGAUGAGCGGCAGCGACAAACCACAGGACGUUACAUAGAUGUUUGGCCAGCUAAAGGGCAUGCAAAGUUCUGAACACACAAAGUGGAUGUGGAUCCUUGUAAGAAAAUGAGCCCAGAUACAGGUUGCCAGCAAAUCAGCCCUACUCAUCAGAGAUCACUGUUGGCCCAUGAAUUUAUUCAGUAAUAGCAGCGUACCAGCAGGGGGUUCCGAGUCAGUAGCAUAUUCAGCAUUCAGGAGGAGGCAAUGAAAACUACACAUUGAACUAGGCCUAAGUGGGUCUUUCUGAUCCAUUACUUCUGAGAGUGUCUACCAGCCGUUUCACCCAAUUACUACACAUUACAGUCUGUGUUUUGCAUACCCGGUUGUUGAUUUACUGUCCAUAAGCAUUGUUUUACUGUUACUAGUAUUGUUGAUUUACUGUCCAUUAGGAUGGCAGAACAAAGCCCCUAGCUCAGCAGGUUUUACUGCUACCAUACCACUCUCCACUUCAAGUUAACUGUGGUCCACUCCACUCUCCUCGCUUCUGUUACUCGGCGUGUCAUAUUUUCUAUCCACAGCUGAUCCAGGUCCAUCUUUGUCGAUGAGGAACAGCAAAUUGAAUGAGCAGCGCCAUUCAAAUCAUACUUGUACUAUACUGGCACAUCAUUCCAUGAUGUCCUGCCUAGGACUGAUGAUUCGCUGAAACAAUUGAUAUUAUUUUUCAGUGUACUGUGUAUCUCGUACGUACGUAUACGUACGGGUAAAAGCUCUGCGGGUACUGACGCUCUGGAUCGGAUAUACUCAUAUUUACUCACUUUGAUCUUCGUUCUGAAAUCAUAAUUUACUCGAGCUGUUAUUUGGUGGUAGAGUACAUCAUUAAUAUGGAUGAAAUACACUCCAAACUAUGGAGCAUAGAUGAUUCUGAUUCUAAAUGUACUGGAUGUCCUUUUUUUUUCUCUCUUCCCGUGCUUAUAUUCAUCAAAGUUUGCUGUAUUUUUCACACUAUGAGCUGCUUGGGAUGGGACAGGCCUCUAAGAAUAAAAUAAUAAUAGUAAGAUUAUGCGUACUGGAGAAGGUGUCACCACAACGAAGAGGCAGAAGAAGUUGGAGGAGUCCCAUAUAUUUAACAUAUUUCCUAUUGAAAAUUUAUUCCUUUUUUUGUUUAUAAUGGCAUGGGUGGAUAAUUUUCUUGAAAAAAAAAUUAAUGGUCAUGGAUAGCUUGUUUUAUUAAUUUGACGGCCCGAUGUUUCAAAUAAUAUGAGAAAUUUCUAGCAUUUAAUUUGAUGGCCCGAAAUAUCCAUUAAUGCCACUAAUAAUAACAGUAAGAUUGUUCUCAAGGAUUUGAUGAUAAAAAAAAGGCAUCAGAAAAGUGUUGCAGCUUGGCAAGGACAUGGUUACUAGUGCCCUCUCUUUCAUGUCACUUUCACAACAGCCUGGAGUCCAAGCCUUCUCCGUUGAUUGGUUUGGGCUUGUGUGGUUGGCCACAUGUGAAAGGAUAAUUAAAAAAAAGGUGAAAAGGAUAAACUAGCUAGUGACUCGUUCACAAAGCUGGAUAACCUGAAAAUAGAAUCACAAUCAUGCAUGAGUACAGAGUGUGGAAUUUUUUUUCCCAUACAGUGACACAUUUUGGAAUAGUGCUGCCAGUUUUUUGUAAUAGAAAUCUUGCUUUUUUUUUGUUAUAUGAUUGAACAGGAUUUUUAAAAGGACACAUCUGGUCCACGAUGUCUGUUCAGUAAACUAUCUGGGAUUUGGCGGAAACAAAAGGUGCACCGAUGUGUUAAAAUAAUUAUAGCCACUACGAAGUACAAACAAAGGUCAGCUCGAAUAUUUUACAUUACCAGCCUUCGACAUAUAUAAUUAAUGCCGACUGAAUCAUUUGUGUAAUCAAUCCAACAUCAGGAAAACAUUCAGAUAUAUGUUAGGCUAGCUGAUUAGAAUCAUCCCAUCAAACUGUCAUAAACUAAUCAUCCUGAAUUAAAUAUAUAUAGCAUGCACAUCAGUUACCUUCACGAAAUGCAACAAUACAAACCCUAUGGAUUACGUACUAGCUAGGAGCCUAGGACAAAGCAUCCUUGUGGUAUAUUAUAGUUUUUUUUAAUGAAAAGGAGAAAGAAGACUCCUUUCACUGGAUUUCUGGAUGGAAAUGGACACUUCCAAUGUACAAAAGCACAUAGGUUAAUGCAUCAAUGGUACAAGAUAAGCCUGAGAUUAACAUAGCUAUCAUUGCACUAAUCAGUGGUCCUGCCAAACAUGGAAGAGGUGGUGGUGGUCCUGUCCCGUACCCCAACAGCUCCAUAUGUACCUGCUACAGGGCAUAACAUAAUUGCUGGGUGGUGUAUCAGAUUUGUUUCAGUGUAGUGUAGUGGAGUCAAUCAGCUGAUGGAGUAUCUGAUCUGAUCUGCUGUGGACGCCUGGACCUAACCCUCCACCGGUUUCAGUGGUGGCGGCAUUGAUUAUUAGUGUACAUGUAGAAACAUUUGUCAUCCACAUGUAUUAUAAGACUGGCCCAUUUUUAUUGUUUUCAAGGCUUCAGCUGUCCAUCACUUAGUGAUGUUCUUUUCUACACAUUGAAUUAUACGGAAAAACAAUUUAUUUGUUUACCACCUUUUUUCCUUUAUUGAUUUAACUUAUUGAGAUUAAGUUAGAGUAAAUUAAAAAAAAAUAAGUGCAUAUCGAUCUUGCCAGAAUACUUCAUGGUUUUUACUAGAAGUUACUUUGAACUCUAUGAUUUAGUUUGAAAUUAGGCACCUAAUUCACCAUCCAUCCUCCAAUCUCUGGCGCUCAAGGGGCCUUGCACUAGUGAUAAUCUUUACAUAGUCCGCUUAUUAGGUUUUAUUCUCUCUCUCUGGCCGAUCAUUGGUUUGUGUUGUUUUGUGUUUUUCGAAUCUAAGAAUAGUUUGCAUCGCCUAUUACCAAUGUCUACUUUGACAUCAACCUUGACUCAUCAGCCUCAUCUUCGUCUUUGGUUUUGUGGUUUGGCAUGGCCUGUGACAUUUUAGUGAAUGUCUCCAUGCACCACUUCUACACAUCUUCAGAUGCAUGACUCAAACAAUUAGUUUGUCAUCCAGUCCACUUUCUGGAGCAUCUCAACCACAACUCCCACCAUACAUAACCCUAAGCACCACCCUAACGUGUUUAGUGCCCCUCAUAAGUAUUAACGGUCAGGAUGGCAGACUAGAUGGGGUUGAUAGUCUUUUCUAAAACUUAAUGCGUAGUGAAUAUCUAAAACAAAUUCAAAAUUGAACUUAUCGGUCUAAUCAAGACUACAACCCCUCUAUCUAUUACUUGCAUCUUGUAAAUAUCUUAGAUAAACAACUAAGGGUAUCGGACUAGGUAGAGCCCACCUAAAUAGUUGUCGGGCUAAACAGAGCUCACCUAAACAACUCUUGUUGGCAAGACCACACAAACCUACACAACUAGUAAUUAAUCAAUCAAGGAGCUCCUACACAUACUACUGAGAAAAAACACACAAAUCCUAAGCACACUAGCACUACUCAACUAGCAAAGCUAUACAAAAUAAAGUAGAGAGGUAAAUAACUUAACUACACAAAUUAAGUAAAUAUACUAAGAUACACAAGCUUAUUAGCACAAGAGAAAAACUAAUUUAUUGCACAAGUAAAGUAGUUACAAGAACAACAUUAAGCACUACUGCCUUGCAAUUUGACCACCCAGUGCCACUCAAUGCAACCGCUCAAUGCAACACACUAGAAAUCACUCUCAUGUGCUCGGGUAUGUUCUCAGUCAAUCAUACAUAAGUAUAGAGCCAAGGCUAAGCACAAAACUCGAGAAACACAUCACUAAGGUGCUCUCAUACCUCAAAUGGUUGGCCACCUCUCAACUUAUUGGAAUGAGACCAUUAUUGUUUUAGUUUAAGAGGACUUCUAAAAUAGACUUAAUAUAUUUGCUGCAAGAAGUUAUUUUGAAAAAAAAAAUGCAAUUACAACCGAUAAACAGCAUCAUGGACCAUGUGGUAUUUCCUUAGCAGUUAAGCAACAAAGGAACAUGUUUUUUACCAUGGUCUAGCCAUCCACGUGGGAUUAUUGCGGGAACACUCAAAUCUGGCCAGUUCGGCAGUUCCCAGCUCGAUCCCCAUCACUAUGAUCCAAAACCUGCAGUUCUGCGUCACUGCUGGUGUAGCUCAGCUGUAGGCCCUACCAAGUGCAGUGUCUGACUACUGAAUAGUGACCAUGUCAUUUUUUUUCCUGCGUUCAUAUCUAUAGCUGUUUCAUGCAGAAAGAAUACUAUGGAGAACAAAUAGAUCCUCUCAAGUUCUAGAGUAGAGAGAGAGAGACUGGGGCUCUGGGAGGGGAUAAGCAUCUGGAUUUUGGAGAAUGCUGUCACCAGAUCACAAAGGAAACAGCCUCUCCUGCUAGGUGGGCCUACCCCCCAGCUUGUCCUGCCAUCUAGGGAACACUGGUGAGAUGGUUCUGGUGAUAUUCUCUGGUGCUUUUGCUGGUACACAUCUUUCCUGUUACACUAUUUUUUUUAUUUUAUUUGAGAUGUUCAGGUACAAUUAAUGGAAACAGUGAGUGAGUGUCAGUACAUGCAAAAGAUUAGGAUGAAGGCAACAUUUGAAUGGAGGGAUCAAAGUAGAAAUUUAGGGAUGAAGAACCCACAAUUCAAGCCAAGCUGUGUCUACUGCCAUGAACUGUCUGUCAGUCACUAACAGAGAAUCUGCCCCUGAAUGCCUUGUUGUGUUUUGAUUUUGAUUUGUUGAAACAGUAUCGCCACUGUAGUCAGAGCGCAAAGGGGAGGGGGGACAAUGACACUGUCCACCGGGCCAAAUCAGUGGUCAAAAGUUUCACACACUUUGGAUGAGGAAAAGGGCCAGAUUUCAGACACACACACAGACACAGACCACUCUUUCGAAUAGGAGUAAGAUUCUGGCCAUGCCAUGGUGUGGCACGCCAUGAUUGGCAACCAACCAACCAGAAAAAAAAAAUCAUCGAAGCUUUCUCCCGUCCUGCUCCUGCUGAAUGCUGAUGCUGCCCAGCAGCAUGCAUCUCGCAGAUAGACGGCCACUAGACAGACAGACCCUGCUUUUCUUUCUUUCUUUCUUUCACCGUUUUGGCAUUCAGAAAGAAAAGGAGAGCCUGCCCUCAUCCAAACCAUACUGUUCAGUUUAGUAGCAGGAACAGAAAGAGGGGAGAAAAAAAAGCUACUAGAAAAUUUUCAGGGUACAACAACGUACUAGCUAGCUUGGCCAUGUUGCUGAGCUUUUUUUCAUGAUAACUCAUCAGGACAGGAAGGAAAGACACGGCAGGAGUCGAGCCAGCGAGCGAGCGAGGAGCAGGUUUUGUAAAGCUGUAAAGCAUUGCACUUUGCACUGCCAGUACUAGACACCAUUUUGCAACUCAAUCAUCAGAUUCAGAGUUGGGGAGAUCGAUCGAUCGAUCGACCGACCGACCCAUGCGCGUCUCCAAAGUGGCCAUGCACUUCACCAGAUUCGAUUCGGAGCUCAGGUAGGUAGGCAGGUGGAUGGAAAGGGCGAGGGGUAGUGUCAGAUGGUAAACAUUGCCCUCUCAAGAUCUGUCCUGCCCUGCCGAACUGAACAUGAACAUGAACUGCCUACUACCUGACCUGACCCAUCUGCAGUGACAUAAUAGAGUGAGCAGCCAGCCUCGCCUCCAACGCAUUCGCUCCACCAUGACAUGAGUGUGUCCUAGUACGCUGCAAAAUAGUUUCCAUUCAAGAUGCUUGCUAGCUAAGCGCAGCAGCAAGGCUGCCUACCGUGUGCCGCUUCUCUGGUGUUUCUUCAUCGUCUUAAUCGUGGUCAUAGGAGCAACAUCCACAUGGCAGCUCUCUGUUUGACACUAAAUUACCAUACACUAAUCACCGGCGUUCGUCGCAGCUAGCGAGCACAAAGGAAGAAGGCGAACAAGAAGAACCGCAAGAGAAAAGACUAAAUACGCCUCCUAGUGGCAAUGGCAACACCUAGGAUUGCCACGCCAAGCUAGACCCAGCAGAAGAAGAAGAAGAAAAAAACUAAAAGCUAGCUCUAGGCGGGGCGGACGCGCUUGUGGCCGGCGCCGGCGCCGGCGCGGCCGUUAUUGCCGGUGCCGGAGGAGUCGCCCUCGGAGGACGCGUGGUCCAUGGUGCGCGCGAAGGAGGCGGAGAGGUCGGCGUAGAGGCCGACGACGCGGCGGAUGUUGUUGUUGAGCUCGCGGAUGAGGCCGACGUUGCGGGUGAGGUUGUCGGGCGCGCGGGACUCGUGGUUCUGGUUGAUCUCGCUGAUGAGCAUCCGGUUCUGGUCCAGCAGGCUCUGCACCUGCACGAAGCUCCUGUGGAACGUGUGGAUCAGCUUCCCGUCCACCACCUGCCCGCUGCCGCCGCCGCCGCCGCCGCCGCCGUUGGCCAUGGCGCCGCCGGAGAAGCUGUCGCCUUCCAUGGCCCUCCUCCUCUGCUCCCGCUCCCGCUCCCGCUCCCGCUCGCUCUCUCUAUCUCCUCUCCUCACCGGCUCAGCUGGGGUACUGGUACUGGUACUGGCUGCAGAAUAAACCAAGCGCGCAGGAUGCACUACAGCCCUGGACUGAACAAACACGAAACAAAGACAAACAAGCCAUUGGUUUAGCUGGGUGCAGAAAGAUUUGAACUUGAGGGCGAGCUGUGAUUGAACCAAAGGUUAGGUUUUGAUGGCAAACAUAAAGGCUCGUUGUUCAGCUGGUACAUCCAGUACAAAUGUACAACAACAAAAAAAAGGGGAUACCUCUCACCUAGUAGGAAUAUCUCGGUAGCCAAUCCUUCCUUCCUAUGAAGAGAGAAGAAUCCAAGCGAGCACCGGGGACAAGAGAGCGUAGCGCGGUUGGAAGAAGAAGAAGAAGCUGGGAAGAUGCUGACAAGCAAUUCGGACGGCUAAAUAGGAGGUGAGGUGAGGAGGAAGAAGAGGAGGAGGAGGAAAGGGAAAGCAACAUGAAAAGGGGACGGGCGCAGGCAGGAGCAGGAGCAGGAUUCUAUAGGGCCGGCCGGCUCACCACCCCCCACAAAUGUUAUCCCUGCAGAAAAUGAAACCUUUGGAAUUAAACAAGGGCAAAGCGGGACGGAUGCCGAGGAUGAUAGAGAGGAGAGGGGGAUGGAAUGGAAUCUAUCGGGAAGUGUUCGCGGGGACAGAGGCGCCUAGCAAAAGAGGGGGGCCACCGGGCCGGACCGGACCCCUCCUGCCUGCCUCUCACUGACCCCUCGCCUGUGUGAUGCUGAGGUGAAAUCAUGGCACGUGGCCCACCCUUCUUAUUCUCUCUCUCUCGGUCUCUCUGCUGCUCGCAUAAACACAUGUUUCUAGUGCUAUUAACAAAUAACACGAUGUUUGGUUAUUGUGAAGACUUCUUCAAUCUAAAACAUAUGCAAUAUAACAAAUUGUUAAGGUUGGUUUCACGGUGGUCGGUACCACUCGCUGACGUGGUGGCACGGACGGUCGGCAUCGAUCGACGUACCUCUAUCGACAGUCGGUUCGUCCUGUCAAUCAGUGGGUCUAGUCGGUACCGACCGCGUUGGAAUCGGUACCGAUUGUCUCUUGCUAACCUGGUAACUUCUGAUUGGUUGACGUCAUUUUAACCGUUUAAAGUUUAAAAAAAUCCAAAAAAAUUGAAUCCACACUAUAAAAUGAUAGGAUGGUGUUUGGGUUCGUCCACACACACCCCGGCUAACUCUCUAGUUCAGUUGCCUUCGCCUCUAUUUGUAGCCUCUCACUAUCUAUUUCAAUGUGGAUUCUAUAUGAAGUUCGAACUUCGAUACGUUCACCGACCUACUCGAUUAGUAAUCUCCACAACGUCACGAGAUCUCUGUUAAUGUGGGACAUGUCUUUUUUUAAUGGUCUUUCUCCCGUCCUUCAUCAGUAGGAGGAUGUUUCUGCUUGUACCCAUUAUAUGGGUUCGCAACCUCUAUUUCAAUAAUCAUAUUUUCCUCCUCUGUAUCCAUACCGGCCAUUCAUUGAUGCUCCUCCUAUCACCAACAGUUCUCCUUCUACCAUAAAGCUCCUGACAUUGACACUCCUCUUCCUUAACCUUUUGCUUAUCCGUACACAUAUGGGUAUCCAUAUGAUGCUCCUCCUACCACCAACAGUUCUCCUUCUACCACUAAAGCUCUAACACUGACACUCCUCCUCCUUAACCUUUUGCUUAUCCGUACUCGUAUGGGUAUCCAUAUGAUGCUCCUCUUACCACCACCAACUCUCCUUCUACCACUAAAGCUCCCUGGACUAACACUCCUCCUUAACCUUUUGCUUAUCUGUACUCGGUAUGGGUAUCUAUAUGCUCCUCCUCCUUAUGGAUUAUAUGGUGCUACUCCUCCAUAUGGUGCCUCUCAUCCGUUCUCUCCCCCAUUUGGUGCUCCUCCCCUAUAUAGUGCUUGUCCAUUUCAUCCUCCUGCAGGCAUAAUAGUGCCCUAAGCAGCCUCAACGAUGCAGACUCUCUCGGGCUCUCCUGAUGCAAAAGUUGGGGCUAUCGACCCUCUCUCUUUACAAUGAUGAAACUAACUUCGAUGAUUGAUGGAGAAAAUCGGUUGGGAUGGUUCAUAAUGACCUUAAAGCUGGUUUCAAUUCAUUAUUGGUGUUAGGUUCUUGGUGUAUUUGGCACCACCGUAAUGACAUGUUUUUUAACAGUGUACGACAUAGUAUCUCCAUGGCCUCAUGGUGGCUGAAGAUGAUUUUAGGUUGUGGUGUCUAGCUGGAGCAAAGGGUCCGUCCUUGGUCUCAGCUUAUGUGCUCGACCUAGAUUGAGGUGUUCUUGGGGCUAUGGCUUGUGUGUUGUGUGAGGGUUGAGUGUGGGGGGCUAUGGUUGCCAUUUUGCAGUGUGCUCUUCUUACUCUUUUCUCUCUUUAAUGAAAUGAUAAGCAACUCUCCUACGUGUUUGAAAAAUGUGAUGCAGCCUCGAACCAGUCCAUGUACUAUAGUGCUACUUGAUUCCAAUGGCGAAGGGAUUGCACAAAUACGGGGGACAGAAGUCAGGUAAGUAAACAUAUAUUUUUAUAAAUUCGACAUAAUUUUUAGGUCGACAAUAGUUUUUUCGAGUUCAUAAAUUUAUAGGUCCACAUAUAGCUACUCCACUCCAUGGAUAGCAUUGAGGCCAGUGACAAGAAGAGAUAUGUCUUCUAGAGUUCUAGGGCCAAAUAACCGGUAUAUACGUACUACAUACAACUUCACCGUAGAACCUCCUCGCCGUCAUAUCCCCAAAGUAGUCGAAGAUUAUAUUGGUGGUCGAUAAGUUUUGCUGGAUCGCUGCUCCAUCAUCGUCGAUAUCAUGGAAAGGGAAGAUUCUUCACGAUGAAAUGACUCCGAGGAAAACGAGGGAAGGAAGGAUGGGUGUUUCUUUUUUAUUUGUAAUUUUUUGAAGAAAUAGCUAGCUCCGAUCGUCAAGAAAUGGUAUAGUUAUUUAAAAGUACAAAGUGAGUAAUGUAGUACGCAUCGAGAGAGACGACGCGAGGAAUGAAGACGACAGGCCGGGGAGUUUUGUAAUGGGGGCAAAAAGCUGUCCCCGCGGCCGGUUCUACUCUAUACACACAGAGAUGGGCCUCCCUAUGCAAGUUGCUUUCUCUGGCCACAUUUGCACGCAGCGGAAACUAUAGAUGUUAACUAAUCGCCCCAUAAUCCAACUCUGCCAGCUUCGCUUUUGUGCUGUGUGUGCUGUGGGAGAAGAGAAGAUGCCAAGAACCGGAGCUGAAGCAGCUAGCGCCCCGCCCGUCCGUAAACAAAUCUGGCGGUUUUGUCGCCUCUGCGUGCGAACGAUUUUAUAAUAAUUGUAAUCGCCGGCACUCAGAUGGGUCCGCAACUCCGCAGCGCAAAAUCAGAUGGCGUUUGGGGGAUUGGAUUUGAACCAUGCAUGCCAUCCCCUUCGUUUCCAGCGACGCGUACAGCAUUCAGGUGUGUGUAGCAUAAAAGAAUGAGAACGACUCGAGGACGACGACCGCGGCCUUCUCCGAUCCACCGGGCCCCGCCGGCCACCAAUGAGAUCUAUAGAGCGACGCGACGGCGGGCAUGACGCUAGCUGCUCGACCAACAACAACAAGGUCGUCGGCGGGGCAUGCUUGUUGAUGCUUCUUCCACUCCCCUGCAUCUCAUGAGUCAUGAGAAACUAGCUUCGGCCUUAAUCGGUCGGGCAUUGUCAGUUGGGCUUGUCUACAGGGCCUUGGGCGCAGUGUCGGUUUCCUAACGAGGCCCUUUCAAGCCCGGCCCGACAGUGCAUGCGGCCAGCUCUCUGGCUCCUUCCGUCCUGCGCUGCGCUGCGCUGGAAUGGAUAGGGUGUCUCGCAGCUCCAGACGGCCACGUCGGCCAGCCGUCGGCCACUCGCUUCGACUGGCAGGCUCCUACCCUUGCAGACAAAAAACGCAAACACGAGGACGAGGACGAAGGUUCGUUCAGUUCAAGACCAGACGAGGAGGAAGAGAGGCGCGCAAGCGGUCCGGUCUCAUGGCGCCCUUCCCCGCCCUCCGCUCAUCGUCGCCGGUGGCCGCCGCCGCGGCGCCGUCGCUCGGUCGCGUGUCCGGCCACGGUACGUAUCGGCAGCUCGGCUCUCUGCGCUCGAAUCCAUCUCGGUAGUUGUAUACGUACGCGGCAGCGUGGAUGUGAAUCUAAGCUGCAGAAUUUAUUCAGUUCAGGCGUUCUGUCUAUGUCUUAUAUUCACUUGUGAGUGAGUGAGUUCCGUCGUCGAAACUCGAAACGCAGCAUCUGCGGCGCCCAGCAAGAGGCGCGUCGUCUCCUGCAGGGCCGUCAGCAGCAGGUCGCUGUCCAUCAUCAGGUGCGAGCAGAGCGCGAAGAAGGGCGGCGGGCCGGACACAUGGCUGGGCCGCGCGGCCAUGGUCGGCUUCGCCUCCGCGAUCGCCGUCGAGGUGGCCACCGGCAAGGGCUUCCUUCAGGUAGGACCGUACGUAACAUCGACAGAAGCGAGGAACGAACGCGUGUGUAACAACAUAUAACAAGAGUUUGUUGUGGGUGGCGUGCAGAACUUGGGCGUGGGUACUCCGGCGCCGACGCUGGCGCUGGCCGUGUCGGGGCUCGUCGUCGGCCUCGCCGUCUUCUUCCUGCUGCAGUCGGGAGGAGGCACGCGAGACUGACGACUGAUGGAACCCAUGAGCUGAGCUGAGCACGCGUCGAACAUCGUCUCCCCACUCGACAUCAGUCGUUGCUGUAAUGGUUGGUGAAGCGAAGAUGAAAACCCAGGACAUAUAUCAGCAUCAUGUCAUGUGUAACAAAGACGACAACUCUCAUGUGUUGGUGUUGUCUGCUGCUGUUGUACGACAUCCGCCGCUCGCUUGUACGACCGUACUGCACUUCAUCUGCCGGCCGGGCGAGCACAGCCGUUCUUUAAUAACAUGACGGGCGCAUGCACACGCCAGCUGACUCUUCAUGUCGAUUGCGUCCAGACAAUUUUGUUAGGACUGGUUUGUUAUUAGGAGCAGACCUGCCGUUUCCAUGUGCUUGCUUCACGGAGCACGGCAGCUCUGUAAACGGCAGACUCGACGUAGCUUGCACGCACAGGGGUUUUCAGCUAAAAAAUCCUCUAGCGACAGUUCAUUGGUUGCCCAGUUCACCGACUGCCUUUAUAAACAGGGAGCUCGAGCUCGAGUGGUAGCAGCACAGGCACAAGUGCGGUGCCAUAAGUGACAGCCACCUCAGUCUCUGUCUGUGGAGCUCUCUCUCGCGCGCGUUGCCAUCUCGCAGGUUCUUCAUCUCGUCGCUCUGUUCAGGUUCAUCGGCUGGCGUUAGCGUUUGUUCUCUCUCAUACGACUAUUUCAUGCGUCCUCUGCUGCAUCUCUUCGAUUCAUCCGUAGUAUCUUCUUUUUACAGCUAGUUUGGGAACCCAUUUUCUUAACAAUUCUAUUUUUUUUCAAAAAAAUGAACUAAUUUUCUUUAAUAAAAUAAAAGGUUUCUAAACUAGUCCUUAAGUAAAAAAAAGGGGCGGUCCCGAGCAAAGUCAAACGGUCCCGAGCAAGCAAGAAACCGUGUCGUCGAUUCUCUUUUCUCUCUGGCUUUCCGUGGCAGCAAGAAGAAGGGAUCAAAGGACCGGACCCGUCCGUCCGUCCGGCCGGCCUCCUGAUCGCGUCGCGCGCGCCCCUCGAAAAGCCACACCCCGCCGUCUGACCUCGUGGUGACCGGUCCCGCAGGCGGCGACAGGAGAUGGACGGGGAGCAGGCGGCGCGGUGGGCGGCGGCGCAGGAGGGGGUUCCCGUCGGGGCGGACCUUGUCGCGGCGGCGCUGCGGCAGCUGCGCUUCCUCGCGGCGGUGGACCGCCGCCGGUGGCUCUACGACGAGGGCCCGCUGCUCGACCGGGCCAUACGCAGGUACGGAUGAUUGGUUGCGGGGGGAAAAACAAACAAACAAGCAAACAAAAGGUUUCUUUGUUUUGAGCGAGGGACUUCUUUUUUAAUGCUUUGCUUCUUCAUGGUUGGUCAUCGACUGUCCAUUGCAAGUUCCUCUUUAAUUCUGUAGAGCAACCAUCUUGAUCUUGAUGGAAGUCAAUAUAGAAUAAAUAUCUAGUUGGAAAGUAAGGGGUGGAGGUGCCUGGACUUCAGCUUUCGGUGCAGAAUUCAGCACAGAGCUAGGACCAACUGUACAAAGGCUCAGGAAAAAAAAUGCCAUCUGAUUCAUGUCCUGAGAUAUAAUACCCAUUGUUUUGUUGCUAUAUUCUAGGUACAAAGCAUGCUGGCUUCCGCUUCUUGACAAGCACACUAAGGGUGUGGUUGUAGAUGGUCCAUUGGUUGUUCCUCUUGAUUGUGAGUGGAUAUGGCACUGCCAUCGCCUUAACCCGGUACACACCCUACUCACCAUGAUCAUCUGUAAUUCACGUACCCUUGGGUGUGUUACGAAUGAUCUCAACGCUGAAUCAGACAGCCAACUGCAUGGUUUUUACUGAUACAUAUGAUGACUAUAUUUGGAAAUGAUCUAUAAGCAUCUUGUAUGCAUGUACCCUUGUUGAUGAUGCUAUUCAGAGAACCGAGGGACCUGAUUAUUCGAGCACAUAUCUUUCAGGUUCAGUACAUAAGGGACUGCAAGAAAGUGUAUGGCAGAAUACUGAACAAUAACAACGUUGAGUCGUCCACUCAAACAAAGUCGACACUUGAGUCAGAAAAAGUUUGGAAAGAGCUGUAUCCUGAGGAGCCCUUCGAAUUGUUGUUCACAAGAACCUUUGACACUGCCGUGGAUGUCAACCCUGCAGGUGCAGAGGAGGACAUUACCUAUGAUCUGGUCUCGGCUGUUAAGAGACAAUCCUCUUUCUAUUAUCAGGUGCUUGCACAUUCUUCGCUCCAGUAUAUAUGCUACAUAAAAUACCUAUGUGAUACAAGAUUACCGGUUGACUUAUAAACAGUACAUUUCACUAUUUUAGUUAAUACUUCAUAUCAUUAUACAAUGAAAAGGCAACCAUAUUUUUGGACAAUACACUACAUAUGUUCACCAAUAUUAAUUGACAUAAUUAGUGCAGGUGGCAUCUAUUGAUUUUUCUCUCCUUUAGUGGUCCUUACAAUAGAUACAAUUAUACGUACAGAAAAUAACAAAGUUUCACUUCUUUCUGACAGGUUGGAACACCAACAAUGCAUGAUCCACGGUUUCUCCAAGAAGCUCUAGCUCGAUACAAGGCGUUUCUUUACCUGAUCAAGAUGAAUCAAGAAAAAGGAUUGCAGCGCUUCCGUGUACCAACCUAUGAUGUGGAUCUGUUGUGGCACACUCACCAGCUGCAUCCUAUUACCUACCGCAACGACAUGGUGAAGCUUCUUGGAAAAGUUCUGGAGCAUGAUGACACCGAUGCUGAUCGAUCUGAAGGGAAGAAACUCGAUGUUGGAUUUACCGAGACUACUGAACAGUUCGAGAGUACCUUUGGUGUAAGAUACUGGAAGGCUGGAUGUAUGUACCGUGGCAACGUGCCAUCUCCUGUGACAUCCACUCCUCAGACAUUCAGUGCUGAGGUUGGUACUGGGUCUUACAUCUGCAAAGCCCAGAAAGAUCUUAAUGCCCUUGAUGUAACAGUUGUAGAGGUAUGAUUCUCUCUUCUUUAUGUAACAAUUAUUGCAAAGUAAAUAUUCUAGCUUGAAAGAUCUGAACUGAUAAUAUGAUCAAAAUGUUGCAUGCCAUACUAUACUCAUGAGUGAUGACUAUUAUAAACAGCUGUUUCUGGAUACAUAACUGAUAUGAUAAUUCCGUAAACUCUGAAGCAAGCAAUUCUUCUGCCAAGGUGUCUGUACUAAAUUAAGACUUGAACAUCUCUAUCCUUUGCAGUUAUAUUUACAAAUUGUAGACAUCAAGAAUUUACCAUCUGCUGUUCAAAAAGAAAAUGUGUAUGUACGGUUCGCCAAGAAUCAAUCAGAUAUGUUCAUCAGUGACGGCGGCAGGUUGGAUAUCUCAACAGUUACAGGGAAGAACACCGGAGUUUGUUUACAGUGUGAACCUACCGGAGAACUCAUUCUUGCAGUAAUGGUUGAUCAAUUAUCAAAGAAACCAGAACCGAUAGGGAAGGUUUCUUUCCCACUGCACGAUUUGACAGGGCCUGAUUCUAAGCUCUCCUUCGAGAAGUGGUUUGAACUGAAAGCUCAUGGUGGGCAUGCCGCUUCACCUCCUGUUAGUCUUCGUGUUGCAGCUUCUGCUACUGUCCCAAGCAGCGCUCAGAAGGUGUUCACCAUGGUCAGGAUGGAGCCAUUCUCUCUCAAGUCAUGUCUUUUGCCACAUUCCAUCAAGGAUCAGAACACGGGCAGCUGGACUCGUUUCGUAAAUGAUUGUGGUACCGAGCUUAUCCGUCUCCAGAUAAGGUAAUUUUCUUGAAUUAAUGAAAUGCAUGGAUACUUUAUCUGCAACUGAACAGAUUGGUAGAACUGUAAGUUUGCAAUGUGUUUCAAAUACAAAGUUCAUUUCACUAGUGGAAGGACUUUAGCUACUGGUAUAUAGAACAGUAUGUCUUUAUUCACACCCCACAUUUCAAAUCCCAGGUCAUGCAGGUUGAGAAAUGUUUAUGUUCCUGUAAAGGUUAACAGUUUGUCAAUUAAUGCUAAUCUGAAUCAUGACUCCACUCUAUCUCAGAGAGCACAAGGCGAAGAAUAGCAUGGCCGUCGUUCGAGAAUUGGUUGGAGUAUUGAAGUCAACAAAAAAGCAAAUUCAACUUGCAGAAUUCAAGGAAAACAAGUGGACCCUAAAAGACUCCAACUUGCCAAUAAGUCAUGGCACUGAUGGCAGUCUACUCGAUCUCAAAGGUGACAACCAUCUGGUGAGCACACAUAUUCAAGCUCAGUUCACUGUAAUAACCACUGGCUAGUAUUCAUGUAACAAGCUCAAAUUUUUUGUACGUGUUUGAACAAACCAGAUCAAGCUUUAUCGGGGAAGGAAACUGGAAUACGAGCGCAAAUGUUGCAGCGCUCACUCUGAGGACGUAUCAGCUGUUACUGCUGUAAAGUUCUGUGCUGAACAUCCAUAUGGCAAAGCCGUUGCCUUGCUAGACACUGAAGCUCAGCUUAUCAUGGUACACUUCUAUCAGUCGUACCAUUUCGAAACCUGAAUUUUCUUCUUUUUUUUUGCACUAACAUAACUGUGAUCAUCAUUCUUAUAUAGGUGAACGAGGAUUGGCUCCUACUUCCAUGGAUCUCCAUAUCAGUCCUGUUUAUGGACGGCGAUGGCGGUACGAAACUUGGCGGCGGUGCCAUGGUUCAGAAAGGUACAGUGUUUGGAUCCGACACUAGCAUGGUGCUAGAGACACAGACCGUCGGAGCAGGGAGCGUGGCAUCCAAUCUAGCACAAUGUGGCACUUGCAGCGCCGUGUUCGGUGGUGAUGAUAAAGAAAUGGCGAACUGCAAGGUUGAGCAUGCGAGCUCUGGCGCUUCUCGCACGGUUGUUGCAAGUGGUGAGAAUGGGCACACUGAGACUGCUGGCUGUGGAGGCGGCUGUGGUAGCAAUUGUGGACCCAUGAUGGCUGAAGACCCCAAGGCCGGCAAUGCCAAGUCCGGAGGCUGUGGUUCGGGGUGUGGUGGUGGCUGCGGUGGCGCGGGAGGUUGUGGGACCAUGGCCAACGAAGGCCAAUCCAGGUCCGGAGGUGUUGGCACCUUGUUGAGCUCCAACGCCAUGGGUGGUGAGGGCCAGCAGGCCCAUUCAGCUGGCUGUGGCUCCGGCUGUGGUGGUGGCUGCGGCAGCGGCAUGGUCAUCGAAGGCUCCAAGGUUAACAACGUUAACGCCAUGUCCGGCGGCUGUGGCUCUGGUUGUGGUGGUGGUUGCGGCAGUGGCAUGGUCAUCGAAGGCUCCAAGGCCAACAACGCCAUGUCCGGUGGCUGUGGCUCUGGUUGCGGUGGUGGAUGCGGCAGCGGCAUGCUCAUCGAAGGCUCCAAGGCCAACAAAGCCAUGUCCGGCGGCUGUGGCUCUGGUUGUGGUGGUGGUUGCGGCAGCGGCAUGGUCAUCGAAUGCUCCAAGGCCAACAACACCAUGUCCGGCGGCUGUGGCUCUGGUUGCGGUGGUGGUUGCGGCAGUGGCAUGGUCAUCGAAGGCUCCAAGGCCAACAACGCCAUGUCCGGCGGCUGUGGCUCUGGUUGUGGUGGUGGUUGCGGCAGUGGCAUGGUCAACGAAGGCUCCAAGGCCGCCAACACCAUGUCCGGCGGCUGUGGCUCCGGUUGCGGUGGUGGUUGCGGUGCCCUGUUCAACGCUAGCACUGCUGCCGGAGAGGGCCUGCACAAUAAGUCGGCUGGGUGCGGCGGCGGCGGGUGCGGCUCCGGGUGCGGCGGUGGCGGCGGCUGUGGUAGCGGCAUGGCUAUCGAAGGCUUCAAGGCCAACCACGCCAAGUCUGGUGGCUGCGGCUCUGGCUGCGGUGGUGGUGGCUGCGGCACCCUGUUCAGCUCCAGCGCUGCGGCCAGCCAAGGCCAGUCCAGAUCCGGCGGCUGCGGCUCUGGCUGCGGUGGUGGAGGCUGUGGCACUGGCAGCAUGGUCGCUGAAGGCUCCAACGGCGGGAACGCCAAGUCCGGCGGCUGUGGCGGCGGUUGCGGUGGCGGAGGUGGCUGCGGCGGCGGAGGCUGUGGCGGGGGUUGCGGCGCCGUGUUCAACGCAUGAUCUCGGUGGAGUGGAGGCAUUUGUGCAGACAUGCAGUCGUCGUCGUCUACUGCUAGAUACCACAUGCUACAGCAUACUGUGUAUUGCUGUGCAUAAUCUACUAAAUAAAAGGAAUGAAUAAACAAUGGAUGGAUCGGCUGCCUCCGUGGCGUUUCUGCAAACGAAAAAUCUCGGUGUUGUUGGGUGCAGGGAUGAGGAUGAAAACGAUUUCAAACGGUCCGAAACGAUAUCGUCUAUUUAACGGUUGGUUAAGAAAUUACCUGAUUUAUGAAUUAAUUAAUUUAUUAAUGAAUUUCAUAUUAAUAGAUAUUUAAAAUUUAAUUUUUAAAUGCGAUAAUUUUAAUAUAGUCACGAGACCGGGUUAUGGAAUUUUCGGUUAUGGUUUUUCGGCCUUCCUUUACUGAUUUAUGGCAGCUUUUAACUCUGAAAACCAAACAUUCUCAGCGUAGAAUAGAAGGGUUCGGAGCUUGUGUGUCAGGUGCGGCCAUUCAAAAAAAAUCUGAAUUCAUUUCUCAAUGUGUUUGGUCGAGGACGGAUGUCGGCUGGCGACCGAUGACGGCCACCAGAGUCGACGGUGAGGCUCUCGUCGCCUUUUUCUUGAUGGCGUCAUCAUGCCUGUUGAGACGGCGCUUUCAAGGCGGCGAUGCGCCUCGUCAGGCACUUCUUCCACCUUGCUCCUAGUGGAGCGUGAGUCGCGUGCCCAUGGUGACGGUCAUGUCGUGGGUGGCGAGGCGGAGAUCACCGAUGGUGGUGGUGAAGAAGACAAGAAGUCGAGGGUGUCGAACAUGAUAUGGCUCCCCAACGCGAAGGUUUCGCCAUUGGCGAAUGUUGAUGCGCAUGCUAUCAGAGUGAUGGGUGUCUUUUGGCACGCUAAAAGCCCCCCUACCUGGCGCACUAACUGUUGUGGUUUCGGAAACCAGGGGCAUUAAGAUUUGGGUUCGGUAAGGGGACUAGCGCGGGCUCACUCCAAAUGGUGAAUCACAGGGACUCGAGCGUGGAUUUAUGAUAGUGGGUUUAUACUGGUUCAGGCUUACGCCCCUAGUCCAGUAUAGCGUUGAUUGUUGUAUUGCUUUGGAGCGUAUUACAGUAGUUGUGCUUGUGUGUUUAGCAAAAGAGGCGGUCCUUCCCUUUUAUAGUUCAAGGGCUGGACUCUACAAUGGGGACUUGUAUUCUACUGGGAGGAGCUCGACCGGUGGCCCUUGUGCAGCGUGGUUCCUCUGAUGCUCUCGGUAGGGUCGUGCAUAGCCGUAUUCCCAUCAUGGCGUACUGUUGCGUCCGCUCGUCGUACGAGUUUCUUUUGUCGGUCUUCCGUUGACAUCCUCGUGGUAGUGCACGAAGGGUCCAACAAGACAGUCGAAUGGAGUAGUCGUGCGUCGUGCGGUCUCGCCUGUCGUCACGAGUCUACGUCACUCGUUGGCAUGCAUACGCAUACACCAGGUAUGGUGUACCCGCUGCGCACUACCCGAUAUUCGGGUCACUGUAGAAGCGCUGAUGCUGAGGUACUUUACGAAUAGGAUCGUCCGACCCCUCGAGGCUGUGGGAGCGCAUCUGGGCUGUAAUCAAGGAGAUGCAGUCAUGUCGAUAGUGGUCGUGCAUGCGGCUUCCCGUUCGGACGACUGGCCAUGGCCCGAGAUGCCAUGUCUUGUCUUAGUUGGCGUGGACUUUGUGGCGUUUGACUUGAGGUUCCAUCUUGUUCUCUUUCUUGGUUGGGACCUAGUGGUCAUUCCGCCUCACAGACUUGCUUGGUAGGGACCUAGUCGGCCGCUCAGCUUCGCGGACUUGCUCGGUAGGGAACUGGUCGGCCGCUUCGCCUCACAGUCUUACCCGGUAGGGAUCUGAUCGGUCGCUCCACCUCGCGGACUUGCUCGGUGGGGAUCUGGUCGGUCGCUCCGCCUCGCGGACUUGCUCGGUAGGGACCCAGUCGACCGCUCUGCCUCAUAGUCUUGCUCGACAGGGACCUGAUCGGUCGUUCCGUCUCGCAGUCUUGCUUGACAGGGAUCUGAACGGUCGCAUCGUCUCACGGGCUUGCUUGGCAGGGACAUGAUCGGUCGCUUCGCCUUGCCUUGCGAACUUGCUCGGUGGAGAUCUGGUCGGUCGCUCCAUCUCGCGGUCCUGUUUGGCAGGGAGACUUUGGUCGGCAAUAAGGUUUUAUAGGCCUUAUUUUGGGUACCCUGUUCUUAAGUAUCCGACAAAAAUGAAUUGGUUCUAACCUGAAAGGUACCCACUGGUAGCCCUAAUGAUAAUUAUAGUCGGUGUAGGGGCAAGUUGUGCUAGUGGUCAAGAGGGGAAGCGAAAUGGUCUUUUAUCCCCAUGAUGAUUUCAGUCGGUAGGAGCAAACGAGUUGUGCGACUAUACAGACAACACCUUAUUGGUUCUAAUUCGUGCUACAACAAUAACAAAAGUUGAUACUAUCUACUAGACAUAUUGUAUAUAUGCAAACCAUCUAUUUUUAAAAUAGAGUAUAAAUGGCUUUGAUACCGCUGAAGGGAAAUGAGUACGGUUAUGCACUUAUAUAUCUAUCAUGUUCAACCAAAAUAACAUGCCAGUAGAGGAUUAUGGAUCGCUGCCACUAGAUCUAUUCAUUUUAGUACGAAAAUAGAUAGAAAUAGGACCUAAUUCUAAUUUAAUAUUUAAAUCUUAGUGUAAAAUUUAGAAACUAUUAUCACCAUAUACACAAUGCAUCACUUCCCGCGGCGCUUUCCCUUAUAUAUGCGUGCUCGCAUGAUCAGUCCAUGAGUCGCGUCGAUCGUUUUGCGUCGCGUCGAUCCACCUCCACUCGGGGCGGAUAUGGCGGCGAGGCGAGGUACCCGUGCCGCGUGUGGCAUGCCCGUGCGUCAAAGGACGACACGUCCGGUACCCGCGCCGCGCGCCCAUUGAAUUCACUGCCCAUCCGUGAUCCGUACUGAAGGCACCGGUUCCGAGACCGACGCCAUGCCUGCCUGCGGUACCGACGAAGGAGAAGGACGACGACCACUGGUCCCAGAGCAGAGCUGCAGCAUGCAUGCAUGGUGAGUAACGUGGACAAUUUGCAGCGGCUGUUGGUUCUUGUAAAUUAACGGACGAAAAUUAUCUAAUUUGGUUGACAAUUAGCUGAUUUCAGUCGAAAGUCAGCUAUCGAACAAAAAAUAUCAGGGUCAACCGCCGUCUUACACGCGGAAGACGACAAAGAAGACUAGAUGAUUUCCUAGUUUCCGUCGGCUUUACCUGACCGAGGACCAGGAUAAUUUUCGUCGAUUAUCCUGCUUAAUUAGUUUUCAUCGACUGACGAUAUAGCCGAUGAUGGAAAUUAACCUCUCGAUACCAAAUAUAUCCACAAAACAAAUAUAACAUAUAUAGAUCAUUCACAUCACAUAAAUCAUCCAUACCACGAAUAUGCAUCACAUACAUCAUCCACAUCAUAUAGGUAAGCCUCAAAGUAUUAUCGGUUCUUCAAGUCCUAACAGGCUAGCUGGGAAAAAAAUACUUUUUUUUUUGAAAGGGAAGGAUUUUUAUUCAUUCAAGAACAGUACAUCGAGAUAAUACAAAUCCUUAAAAGUCAUUUCCGGCCUCUGCCCAUAAGAGCACACAGCCCGGGAAAAAAAUACUACAAGUAUCAACAUCGAUACAUACAAUCACUCUGAACCUUAUAUUCAUCGCGGAUGGUUUGAGUUAUCACCGCUGCCUAGAGUCAGGGGCGGGCCCAUGUAAAAGCAAGGGUAUUCAAUUGGUACCCAUUAUUUUUUGGCAACAAAAUUUAUGUAUAUGUAUAUAUAUUAUAUAUAUGCACUGAAAUAUUGUAAAACAUAAAUAACACCAUUUUACAGCUAUUUGGUCCAAACUUCGCUUUUUGCUGGUCAUUUUCAUUUCCCUGUCGUGCGACUAGGGAUAACAAUCGUGUGGUUGAGACACAAGUAUAUGGUUUAAAAAUCCAUAACUACGAGACAAAAUUCAAUCCUUACCUAUACUCAUAUACAUUCGUAGGUAUAGAUUUGUACUCAUGUCAGAUACCCAUCGGAUAACAGUUAUGGAUAUGGUAUAUCCAUACCCAUACAAAAAAUUUACCAAUAGAUACCUUAUUAUAUUCAUACUCAUAUAUGUGAAUAACAAAUUUAGGCUGUUAAAAAAAUAUGUCCACUAAAAUUCCGAAUACCCAUCGUCCAAAUCCUAAGCCCGCCCCUGCCUAGAGUGUAGUUGAUAAAUGAGUUAGGCCCAUCGGUGUUGACAUCUCUAGGUGAUGCUAGAGUUAUGAAGGAGGAGUCUAAAAAGCUCUACAUGUUACAAUUAGAUUGCACUGACUACAGUUAGCUAGAGCUUAGCUAUAAAAAUUGACUAAGAUUUAGCUAGAAUCUAAGCUAGUUUGACUAAUUUCCGCUAAUAACUAAGGUUUGCUAUAACUGACCUAGCUACUAGAGUGUUAUUUUUUUUUCUACAAUCUCUACUACUUAUUAAGACUGCAAGAGUAGUCGGUCAUUCCGUGUUCUGCCACCAUUCUCAUUGAAAGUCGCCUAGAGGGGGGUGAAUAGGGCGAAUCUGAAUUUAUAAACUUAAGCACAACUACAAGCCGGGUUAGCGUUAGAAAUAGAAACAAGUCCGAGAGAGAGGGCGCAAAACAAAUCGUGAGCAAAUAAAGAGCGAGACACGAUGAUUUGUUUUACCGAGGUUCGGUUCUUGCAAACCUACUCCCCGUUGAGGUGGUCACGAAGACCGGGUCUCUUUCAACCCUUUCCCUCUCUCAAACGGUCACCUAGACCGAGUGAGCUUCUCUUCUCAAUCAAAUGGAACACGAAGUUCCUGCAAGGACCACCACACGAUUGGUGUCUCUUGCCGCAAUUACAAGUGAGUUUGAUCUCAAGAAAGAAUGAGAAAGAAAAGAAGCAAUCCAAGCGCAAGAGCUCAAAUGAACACAACAAAUCUCUCUCUCUAAUUACUAAAGCUUUGUGUGGAGUUGGGAGAGGAUUUGAUCUCUUUGGUGUGUCUUGUAUUGAAUGCUAUAGCUCUUGUAAGGUGUAGAAGUGUAGAAACUUGGAUGCCAUUAAAUGUGGGGUGGUUGGGGUAUUUAUAGCCCCAACCACCAAAAAUGGCUAUUGGAAGGCUGCAGUCGCAUGGCGCAUCGGACAGUUCGGUGCGCCACCGGACACUGUCCGGUGCGCCAACCACGUCAGCAGACCGUUGGGGUUCGACCGUUGAAGCUCUGACUUGUGGGGCCACUGGGCUGUCUGGUGGUGCACCGGACAGAUCCUGUAGACUGUCCGGUGCGCCACCCGUGCGUGCUCUGACUUCUGCCCGCACUGUAGCGCAUUGAAUGCGGUUGCAGUCGACCGUUGCGCGCGAAGUAGCCGUUGCUCCGCUGGCACACCGGACAGUCCGGUGUGCACCGGGCACUGUCCGGUGACUCAUCAGACAGUCCGGUGAAUUAUAGCGGAGCGCCCUCUGAAAUUCCCGAAGGUAGCGAGUUCAACUUCAAGUGCCCUGGUGCACCGGACACUGUCCGGUGGCACACCGGACAGUCCGGUGCGCCAGACCAGGGUGCCUUUGGGUUGUCUUUUGCUCUCUUUGUUUGAACCAUUUCUUGGUCUUUUUAUUGGCUUAUUGUGAACCUUUGGCACCUGUAAAACUUAUAGACUAGAGCAAACUAGUUAGUCCAAUUAUUUGUGUUGGGCAAUUCAACCACCAAAAUCAAUUAGGAAAAAAGUGUAAGCCUAAUUCCCUUUCAAUCUCCCCCUUUUUGGGGAUUGAUGCCAACACAAACAAAAGCAAAUAUAGAAGUGCAUAACUGAACUACUUUGCAUAACUGUAAGUGUAAAGGUUACUUAGAAUUGAGCCAAUAUAAAUUCUCAUAGGAUAUGCAUGUAUUGUUUCUUUUAUUUUUAUCAUUUUGGACCACGCUUGCACCACAAGCUUUGUUUUUGCAAAUUCUUUUGUAAAUUCUUUUCCAAGUCCUUUUGCAAAUAGUCAAAGGUAAAUGAAUAAGAUUUUGAAAAGCAUUUUCAAGAUUUGAAAUUUUCUCCCCCUAUUUCAAAUGCUUUUCCUUUGACUAAACAAAACUCCCCUUUAAUAAAAUCCUCCUCUUAGUGUUCAAGAGGGUUUUAAGAUAAUAAUUUUGAAAAUACUACUUUCUCCCCCUUUUGAAAACAGUAAGGUAUCAAUUGAAAAUUUUCAUCACUUGAAUAUAUUUUUGAAAUGGGUGGUGGUGCGGUCCUUUUGCUUUGGGCUAAUACUUUCUCCCCCUUUGGCAUGAAUCGCCAAAAACGGAUACUUGAGUGAAAUAUAAGCCCUUUUAAACUACUUUCUCCCCUUUGGUAAACGGAAUAUGAGUGAAGAUUAUACCAAAGACGGAGAGAUGCUCGGAGCGACGGCGAAGGGUGAACACUUGAUGGAGUGGAGUGGAAGCCUGUGUCUUCGCCGAAGACUCCAAAUCCCUUUCAAUCUAUGACUUGGUUUGAAAUUCACUUGAAAACACGUUAGUCAUAGCAUGUAAAAGAGACAUGAUCCAAGGUAUAUUAAUGUGCUAUGUAUGCAAGUCAUCAAAAGAAAUUCCUAGAAUCAAGAAUACUUAGCUCAUGCCUAAGUUUGUUAAAAGUUUGUUCAUCUAGUGGCUUGGUAAAGAUAUCGGCUAAUUGUUCCUUGGUGUUAAUAUAUGCAAUCUCGAUAUCUCCCUUUUGUUGGUGAUCCCUAAGAAAAUGAUACCGAAUGGCUAUGUGUUUAGUGCGGCUAUGCUCAACGGGAUUAUCCGUCAUGCACAUUGCACUCUCAUUAUCACAUAGAAGAGGAACUUUGGUUAAUUUGUAACCAUAGUCCCUAAGGGUUUGCCUCAUCCAAAGCAAUUGCGCGCAACAAUGUCCUGCGGCAAUAUACUCGGCUUCGGCGGUAGAAUGAGCUACGGAAUUUUGCUUCUUUGAAGCCCAAGACACCAAGGAUCUUCCCAAGAACUGGCAAGUCCCCGAUGUGCUCUUUCUAUUAAUUUUACACCCCGCCCAAUCGGCAUCCGAAUAACCAAUUAAAUCAAAUAUGGAUCCCCGAGGGUACCAAAGCCCAAACUUAGGAGUAUAAGCUAAAUAUCUCAAGAUUCGUUUUACGACCGUAAGGUGAGCUUCCUUAGGGCCAGCUUGGAAUCUUGCACACAUGCAUACAGAAAGCAUUAUGUCCGGUCGAGAUGCACAUAAAUAGAGUAAGGAGCCUAUCAUCGACCGGUAUACCUUUUGAUCGACGGAUUUACCUCCCAUGUCGAGGUCGAGAUGCCCAUUGGUUCCCAUUGGUGUCUUGAUGGGUUUGGCAUCCUUCAUUCCAAACUUGUUUAGAAUGUCUUGAAUGUACUUGGUUUGGCUAAUGAAGGUGCCCUCUUGGAGUUGUUUUACUUGAAAUCCCAAGAAGUACUUCAACUCCCCCAUCAUCGACAUCUCGAAUUUUUGUGUCAUGAUCCUACUAAAUUCCUCACAGGUAGAUUCGUUAGUAGACCCAAAUAUAAUAUCAUCAACAUAAAUUUGGCAUACAAACAAAUCACUGUCAAGAGUUUUAGUAAAUAAAGUAGGAUCGACCUUUCCGACUUUGAAGCCAUUAGUGAUAAGAAAGUCUCUUAGGCAUUCAUACCAUGCUCUUGGGGCUUGCUUAAGCCCAUAAAGCGCCUUAGAGAGUUUAUAUACGUGGUUAGAAUACUCACUAUCUUCAAAGCCGGGAGGUUGCUCAACAUAGACCUCUUCCUUGAUUGGUCCGUUGAGGAAGGCACUUUUCAUGUCCAUUUGAUAAAGCUUAAAGCCAUGGUAAGUAGCAUAGGCAAGUAAUAUGCGAAUUGACUCAAGCCUAGCUACGGGUGCAUAGGUUUCACCGAAAUCCAAACCUUCAACUUGUGAAUACCCCUUGGCCACAAGUCGGGCUUUGUUCCUUGUCACCACACCAUGUUCAUCUUGCUUGUUGCGGAAGACCCACUUGGUUCCUACAACAUUUUGAUUAGGACGUGGAACUAGAUGCCAAACCUCAUUCCUAGUGAAGUUAUUGAGCUCCUCUUGCAUCGCCACCACCCAAUCCGAAUCUUGUAGUGCUUCCUCUACCCUGUGUGGCUCAAUAGAGGAAACAAAAGAGUAAUGUUCACAAAAAUGAGCAACCCGAGAUCGAGUAGUUACCCCCUUUUGAAUAUCGCCGAGGAUGGUGUUCACGGGGUGAUCUUGUUGGAUUGCUUGGUGGACUCUUGGGUGUGGUGGUCUUGGAACUUGUUCAUCUUCCUCAUCUUGAUCAUGGGCAUCUCCCCCUUGAUCAUUGCUCUCCUCUUGAGGUGGCUCAACUUCUUGAUCUUCUCCUUCAUCAUUUUGAGCCUUAUCCUCAUCUUGAGUUGGUGGAGACGCUUGUGUGGAGGAAGACGGUUGAUCUUGUGCAUGUGGCGGCUCUUUGGAUUCUUUAGGACACACAUCCCCAAUGGACAUGUUCUUUAGCGCGACGCACGGAGCCUCUUCAUCACCUAUCUCAUCAAGAUCAAUUUGCUCUACUUGAGAGCCGUUAGUCUCAUCAAACACAAUGUCACAAGAAACUUCAACUAAUCCAGAGGAUUUGUUAAAGACUCUAUAUACCCUUGUGUUUGAAUCAUAUCCUAGUAAAAAGCCUUCUACAGCCUUAGGAGCAAAUUUAGAUUUUCUACCUCUUUUAACAAGAAUAAAGCAUUUGCUACCAAAGACCCUAAAAUAUGAAACAUUGGGCUUUUUACCGGUUAGGAGUUCAUAUGAUGUCUUCUUGAGGAUUCGGUGUAGAUACAGUCGGUUGAUGGUGUAGCAAGCGGUGUUGACCGCCUCGGCCCAAAACCGAUCCGAAGUCUUGUACUCAUCAAACAUGGUUCUUGCCAUGUCCAAUAGAGUUCGAUUCUUCCUUUCCACUACACCAUUUUGUUGUGGGGUAUAGGGAGAAGAGAACUCAUGCUUGAUGCCCUCCUCCUCAAGGAAGCCUUUAAUUUGAGAAUUCUUGAACUCCGUCCCGUUGUCGCUUCUUAUUUUCUUUAUCCUUAAGCCGAACUCGUUUUGAGCCCGUCUCAAGAAUCCCUUUAAGGUCUCUUGGGUAUGAGAUUUUUCCUGCAAAAAGAACACCCAAGUGAAGCGAGAGUAAUCAUCCACAAUAACUAGACAGUACUUACUCCCACCGAUGCUUAUAUAAGCAAUCGGGCCGAAUAGAUCCAUGUGUAGGAGCUCAAGUGGCCUGUCAGUCGUCAUGAUGUUCUUGUAUGGAUGAUGAACACCAACUUGCUUCCCUGCUUGACAUGCGCUACAAACCCUGUCUUUCUCAAAAUGAACAUCUGUUAGUCCCAAAAUGUGUUCCCCCUUUAGAAGUUUGUGAAGAUUCUUCAUUCCAACAUGUGCUAGUCGGCGAUGCCAGAGCCAGCUCAUGUUAGUCUUAGCAAUUAAGCAAGUGUCGAGUUCAGCUCUAUCAAAAUCUACUAAGUAUAGCUGACCCUCUAACACUCCCUUAAAUGCUAUUGAAUCAUCACUUCUUCUAAAGACAAUAACACCUACAUCUGUAAAAAGACAGUUGUAGCCCAUUUUACAUAAUUGUGAAACUGAAAGCAAGUUGUAAUCUAAAGAAUCUACAAGAAAAACAUUGGAAAUGGAAUGGUCAGGUGAUAUAGCAAUUUUACCCAAUCCUUUGACCAAACCUUGAUUUCCAUCCCCGAAUGUGAUCGCUCUUUGGGGAUCUUGGUUUUUUCUCAUAGGAGGAGAACAUCUUCUUCUCCCCUGUCAUGUGGUUUGUGCACCCACUGUCGAUGAUCCAACUUGAGCCCCCGGAUGCAUAAACCUACAAAACAAAUUUAGUUCUUGACUUUAGUUACCCAAAUGGUUUUGGGUCCUUUGACAUUAGAUACAAGAACUUUGGGUACCUAAACACAAGUCUUUGAUCCCUUGUGUUUGCCCCCAACAUACUUGGCAACUACCUUGCCGGAUUUGUUAGUUAAAACAUAAGAAGCAUCAAAAGUUUUAAAUGAAAUUUUAGAAUCAUUUGAUGCAAUAGGACUUUUCUUCUUAGGCAAUUUUGCACGGGUUGAUUGCCUAGAGCUAGAUGUCUCACCCUUAUACAUAAAAGCAUGAUUAGGGCCAGAGUGAGACUUUCUAGAGUGAAUUCUCCUAAUUUUGCUCUCGGGAUAACCGGCAGGGUACAAAAUAUAACCCUCGUUAUCCUGAGGCAUGGGAGCCUUACCCUUAACAAAGUUUGACAAUCUUUUAGGAGGGGCAUUAAGUUUGACAUUGUCUCCCCUUUGUAAGCCAAUGCCAUCCUUGAUGCCAGGGCGUCUCCCACUAUAGAGCAUGCUUCUAGCAAAUUUAAAUUUUUCAUUUUCUAAGUCAUGCUCGGCAAUUUUAGCAUCUAAUUUUGCUAUAUGAUCAUUUUGUUGUUUAAUUAAAGCCAUAUGAUCAUGAAUAGCAUCAAUGUUAACAUCUCUACAUCUAGUGCAAAUAGUAACAUGCUCAGUGGUAGAUGUAGAGGGUUUGCAAGAAUUAAGUUCAACAAUCUUAGCACGUAAAAUAUCAUUGUUGUCUCUAAGAUCGGAAAUUGUAACAUUGCAAACAUCUAGGUCCUUAGCCUUAGCAAUUAGUUUUUCAUUAUCAUCUCUAAGGCUAGCAAGAGAAACAUUCAAUUCUUCAAUCUUAGCAAGCAAAUUAACAUUAUCAUCUCUAAGAUUGGGAAUUGAAACAUCACAAAUAUUAGAAUCAACCUUAGCACUUAAUUUAGCAUUUUCAUUUCUAAGGUUGACAAUAGUGUCAUGGCAAGUGCUUAGCUCACUAGAUAGUUUUUCACAUUUUUCUACUUCUAGAGCAUAAGCAUUUUUAACCUUAACAUGCUUUUUAUUUUUCUUAAUUAGGAAGUCCUCUUGGGUGUCCAAGAGUUCAUCCUUCUCAUGAAUAGCACUAAUUAGUUCAUUCAACUUUUCCUUUUGUUGCAUGUUUAGGUUGGCAAAAAGGGUACGCAAAUUAUCUUCCUCAUCACUACAAUUGUCCUCAUCACUUGAGGUUGCAUAUUUAGUGGAAGACUUUGAUUUUACCUUCUUCCUUUUGUCGUCCUUUGCCAUGAGGCACUUGUGGCCGACGUUGGGGAAGAGGAGACUUUUGGUGAUAGCGAUGUUGGCGGCGUCCUCGUCGGAGGAGCUCUCGUCGGAGUCCCAUUCGCGACAUACAUGGGCAUCGCCACCCUUCUUCUUGUAGUAUCUCUUAUUCUCCUUUCUUCUCCCCUUCUUGUCGUUGCCCCUGUCACUGUCACUAGAAAUAGGACAUUUUGCUAUAAAGUGACCGGGCUUACCACACUUGUAACAAACUUUCUUGGAGCAGGACUUGUAGUCUUUCCCCCUCCUUUGCUUGAGGAUUUGGCGGAAGCUCUUGAUGAUGAGCGCCAUCUCCUCAUUGUCGAGCUUAGAGGCGUCGAUUGGUUGUCUACUUGAUGUAGACUCCUCCUUCUCCUCCGUCGCCUUGAAUGCGACGGGUUGUGCUUCGGAUGUGGAGGGGCCAUCUAGCUCGAUAAUUUUCUUUGAGCCUUUGAUCAUCAACUCAAAGCUCACAAAAUUACCUAUCACUUCCUCGGGAGACAUUAGUGUAUAUCUAGGAUUACCUCGAAUUAAUUGAACUUGCGUAGGAUUAAGAAAGACGAGGGAUCUUAGAAUAACCUUGACCAUUUUAUGGUCAUCCCAUUUUGUGCUCCCGAGGUUGCGCACUUGGUUCACCAAGGUCUUCAAGCGGUUGUACAUGUCUUGUGGCUCCUCCCCUUGGCGAAGCCGGAAGCGACCGAGCUCCCCCUCGAUCGUCUCCCGCUUGGUGAUUUUGGUCACCUCAUCUCCUUCGUGCGCGAUCUUGAGUACGUCCCAAAUUUCUUUGGCACUUUUCAAUCCUUGCACCUUGUUAUACUCCUCUCGACUUAGAGAGGUGAGGAGUAUAGUGGUGGCUUGGGAGUUGAAGUGCACGAUUUGGGCUACUUCGUCCUCAUCAUAAUCUUCAUCCCCUACGGAUGGUACCUGUACACCAAACUCAACAACAUCCCAUAUACUCUUGUGGAGUGAGGUUAGGUGAUAUCGCAUCAUAUCACUCCACCUAGCAUAAUCUUCACCAUCAAAUGUUGGUGGUUUGCCCAAUGGGACGGAAAGUAAUGGCGUAUGUUUAGGAAUGCGAGGAUAGCGUAGGGGGAUCUUACUAAACUUCUUGCGCUCAUGGCGCUUAGAAGUUACGAAAGGCGUGUCGGAGCCGGAGGUGGAUGGCGACGAGGAGUCGGUCUCGUAGUAGACUACCUUCCUCAUCUUCUUCUUCUUGUCACCGCUCCGACGCGACUUGUGUGAAGGGGAUUCCUUUUCCUUCCCCUUGUUGCGGGACUCUCCCGAUGGAGCUUUCCCGUGGCUUGUAGCGGGCUUCUCGCUGGUCACCAUCUCCUUCUUGGCGUGAUCUCCCGACAUCACUUCGAGCGGUUAGGCUCUAAUGAAGCACCGGGCUCUGAUACCAAUUGAAAGUCGCCUAGAGGGGGGGUGAAUAGGGCGAAUCUGAAAUUUAUAAACUUAAGCACAACUACAAGCCGGGUUAGCGUUAGAAAUAGAAACAAGUCCGAGAGAGAGGGCACAAAACAAAUCGUGAGCAAAUAAAGAGCGAGACACGAUGAUUUGUUUUAUCGAGGUUCGGUUCUUGCAAACCUACUCCCCGUUAAGGUGGUCACGAAGACCGGGUCUCUUUCAACCCUUUCCCUCUCUCAAACGGUCACCUAGACCGAGUGAGCUUCUCUUCUCAAUCAAAUGGAACACGAAGUUCCUGCAAGGACCACCACACGAUUGGUGUCUCUUGCCGCAAUUACAAGUGAGUUUGAUCUCAAGAAAGAAUGAGAAAGAAAAGAAGCAAUCCAAGCGCAAGAGCUCAAAUGAACACAACAAAUCUCUCUCUAAUUACUAAAGCUUUGUGUGGAGUUGGGAGAGGAUUUGAUCUCUUUGGUGUGUCUUGUAUUGAAUGCUAUAGCUCUGGUAAGGUGUAGAAGUGUAGAAGCUUGGAUGCCAUUGAAUGUGGGGGUGGUUGGGGUAUUUAUAGCCCCAACCACCAAAAAUGGCCGUUGGAAGGCUGCAGUCGCAUGGCGCACCAGACAGUUCGGUGCGCCAUCAGACACUGUCCGGUGCGCCAGCCACGUCAGCAGACCGUUGGGGUUCGACCGUUGAAGCUCUGACUUGUGGGGCCACUAGGCUGUCCGGUUCCGGACAUGUCCUGUAGACUGUCCGGUGCGCCACCCGCGCGUGCUCUGACUUCUGCGUGCACUGUAGCGCAUUGAAUGCGGUUGCAGUCGACCGUUGCGCGCGAAGUAGCUGUUGCUCCGCUGGCACACUGGACAGUCCGGUGUGCACCGGACACUGUCCGGUGACUCACCGGACAGUCCGGUGAAUUAUAGCGGAGCGCCUUCUGAAAUUCCCGAAGGUAGCGAGUUCAGCUUCAAGUGCCCUGGUGCACCGGACACUGUCCGGUGGCACACUGGACAGUCCGGUGCGCCAGAACAGGGUGCCUUUGGGUUGUCUUUUGCUCUCUUUGUUUGAACCCUUUCUUGGUCUUUUUAUUGGCUUAUUGUGAACCUUUGGCACCUGUAAAACUUAUAUACUAGAGCAAAUUAGUUAGUCCAAUUAUUUGUGUUGGGCAAUUCAACCACCAAAAUCAAUUAGGAAAAAGGUGUAUGCCUAAUUUCCUUUCACUCAUUCCUUGUUCUGCGUCUCAUUCCCACAUUCUUUGUUCUGUCUUUCUCAUUCCUCCCUCCCCGCAAAGCCCAUUCUCAUUCCCUCGUACAUCCCACGUCUAGCUAAAAUUAAAAAAACACACAUGUCCUCAAAGGGAUUUGAACCCGUGACCUCUCAAGCAAAGGCCAAGAGUAGCUACCGCUACACCACAUAUGUGUUUAUGUCUACAUCUAUGACAUGAAACACAUCUACUACAUCUCUCACCAAGCUCACUUGCUACCCUUGCACAAUGCGUAGUAGUAGAUAAGUAUCACCGAGAUUCUUGAAUUAUAUUUUUGGAUGGAGGUAAUAUUAUUUAAAGAAGAGCUUUGCAUGCAAUUUCUUUUGUUUGAAUAAUGUAUUAUACUUAAAUUCCCUUUUUUGCAUGUGUGAUAUUUUUUCUUCCUAAUACUUUUCCAUGGAUCAGACUUGUGAGUCAUUUUCAUAAACCAACGACAAGCAUUAAUCCAUGUUUCUUAUUUGAAACUCCGAACAAACACCAUGAGAAGGAGGCACUCGCGUUGACGUCGCUCAUCGAUGACGAGAAGAAGCUUGGCGACUGCCAGUUCGACCUCUAGAAGCAGUCCUACGUGGUCGCAUACGCCGCUGUGUACGACAAGCUCCCAUGAAGCCGCCGCUUGGACGCGGUCCAGAGCUGCUGCACUGCGCUAUCCAUCGUUAAGCAGGGGGCCUCAUGAUUGUCGCCAACGUCGACGACUCUCGGGUUGUCCUGGUGUAAUACCCAAUUUGUAAUUUGUUAGGAAUAAUAUAAAUAGAGAAACAAUUUCUCCUUAUGUGAGUUUGACCUUUAGACAUCAUCACAUGUGAACACCAUAUUCAAAAACAAAUAAUUAAUAAAAGACAUGCCACUAAAUCGUGCAUCAGGCUGGAUUUUAUUUUGUGUGCAUUUUGUGUGAUCGUACAAAAAUAAUGUAAUGCUCAAAUUAGAAUUUAAGUUCCAAAGGAAACUCUAGAAAUUAAGGAAAGAGAAAGAAAAUAUUAUGAGGAUAAACAAAUAAGUAUAAAACAUAUACAUAAAAAAAAUAUAUUAUUUCUAUACUAGGAUUUGAAUGUGUACAUUUGACUCAAAGGUGAAACCUAUUCAAAUUCAAAUUUGGAUUCGAAUAAUUAUGAAUAAAGAAAAAAAACAGAAAAUAAAAUCAAAAGAAAAGAUAAAAGAAAAGAGAAAACGCGCCUGGGCCGCUUCUACUCAAUUCGGCCCACUCUAUCUUCUCUACUGGUCGGCCCAUGUCUGUGCUCUACUCGCGGUGACUGCCGGGCGGGGCCCACUUGCCUGUUGCUGCUGCACCGCGCCUGCUCUUUACCGCGCGGGGGCACUGCCAUGGAGAACCCACCUGUCAGCCGUGUAGGAUAGCUGCUCGGGCCGCUCCGUGAGCGUCUCUCUAGCGUGCGGGACCCACUACCAGUCGCUGUGUGUUCUGUUUCUCCAUUCUGCCGUGAAAUCCGGCUGCGCAGCCGCUUCGCCGUGAAGCUCGCGGCCGUGAGUUUCCUGGCCGCCAUCCCGGGCUGGGUACAAAUGAGCCGCGCACCUUUCCUUCCUCCUCUCUUCUCGUCCUCGCUCGCAUAUGCUCAGAUUUCCCCGCAUCGCCAGACGCCAUGACCACCCGCGCGCGGGUCGGGUGUGUGGGGACUGUCCUCCGCCGUAACCCAGCACCGCUCCUCUCUGGUUCAUAGCCGUCCCACUGCCGCUGCCGCGGGGCUCUGCUGGCGGCCAUCGUCACCUAUACCCGACCGCCAUGGGAGGAAGCUGUGUGUGAGAUGUCCGCCGUGGGGUGACUCUGGCUCACCGAUGGAGAUCCCUCGAGGGCGGGCCAGGCGGAUGACUAUGGCCAACCAUCGUCGUGUCCCUGAAGCAGGUAAGAAUACCCUAAUCGCUUGGCCUUAAUGCUCUCUGCGUUUAGAACCUUCUAGCGCGUUGAAUAGGGCGUUUGGGGGCGGGAUGGCGUGUCGCCGGUGUGGGCGCCACCGUGACCUGGGCAGCACACGGCCAGUGGUUUACAGACCCUUCUGUCUCCCUCGUUCGCUUCCAUCGCUCACGAUAGGCUCUCCCUGCUCCCGUUCUCGGCGGCUGAAGCAUGUCGCGAACCACCUUUCUGUGGCUCCCGAACGAGUCCUACGGGCGAUGCGGGCGGAUCGCGCGAUGGGGGAGGGGAGCGGCAACCAGCAGGGCAUGUCGGGGAAGACAGCGUCUGCGCCAUCGGAUCCAAUUUGGACGAUGUAGAGUUGAUCAACGGAUAACCCUUAGCUGUAGUGAUUGUGACCGUAGAUCAGAGAUCUUGUGGUUGCGAUUAUUGACCAAUUCGGGGCUUCGAAUCCAAACUGUUGAUUCCAAAUCGUAAGGCGGGUAGGAGAGAUCUAGUCAAUGAUUUAAUCUCGACCGCUAGUGGAUGAUCGAACCGUCCAUAUUUGCCCAGACCCCUUCCCUAGCUCAUUUAACACAUAAGCCCCUCCACUUUUCAAGAACUAACUCGCGGUCCAGUCCUGUGCGCUCUGUGCCCUAAGAACUUUUACCCCGAGGCCCCCAUCUUUUAUAGAAAUUGUGGCGCAGUCCGGAAAUUAAAUAAAACAGGAAAAAUAGAUUUAGAAAUUGAUUUUGAGUAUAAAAAUAGUUGUAAAACUUGUAUAAUUCAUAUAAAAUUCAUAUUAAGUCCAAAUGAGUCCAUUCCAAUUCCUAUAAUUUUGUAAUAAUGUUGUUUAUCACCCUGUGUCUCUGUUUUAACAUGAAAAUGGUAUUAAAAUUUAUUUCUUAACUAACCUCGUAUCAAAUACAUAAAACCUUAGGAAAUUCGUAUCUCCUCCGUUUUAACUCCGAUUUGAUCCGUUCAAGUUGCGUUAGUCUCGUACAAACGCGUAGAUCAUUAUUAUGCAGUAUAUUCUUAUGUUUGGUGUAAUGUUAAUUUUGUCUAUACACUGUUUGUUUGUAUUGCUACGACUAGCGGUGAGGUCACGAGGAAUCUGAAGAAUCACCCUGGUAACUAGAAUCUCAAGUGUCAGGCAAGUUGUGCCCUUGAUUCACUUUUGUUACCCAAUAAUGUUCUUUAUAAUCAUCUACCAUGCAUAGGUUAAUUUUGAUGGGACCCGAUAGGUCACCCUAGAUUGUUUAUCUCAUUACCUUGUUUACCCCUGAAUCACUUGGGUAGUUUUGCUAUUGCUUUACAUGGUUUUGGGAUAAUCAUUUAUUAUAUCUAUGUUCCAAUUCUUUUGUUAUUCUAUUUAUGUUCAUGUCAAGAUCAUUAAUGUUAAUUGGAACAUAGAGCUUAACUUGAGAAACACGUGCCACCACAAGGGUUUAUGGACGCCCUUGGCUGAUUAAUUAGGAAAGCUAGUGGAAGACUACCUUACCCGAAAGGGGCAAGGGCAGUAGGGGAGUUGCAUGCAAGGAGGUUCUCGGGUUGAUUUAGCUGCGAUGGCGGUCGGACGGGGGAUUCUUGCAAGUGCUCUUCCCAUAAACUGUAGCGGGUUUUCGGAAGCUAGUGGAACUUUGUAAAGGCCUCGUAGUGGAUCCCUAGCCAUUCACCUCGGUAGUGUCUAAGGGCCUAGCUAACCCUGGCGACAUGGGAUACACGACUUGUGGGUAAAGGGUACAACCUUUGCAGAGUGUAAAACUGGUAUACUAGCCGAGCUCACGGUCAUGAGCGGCUCAGGACUCUCUGAUGAUUAAAUUAUGAAACCUAAAUUCAAUUUUGUCAUUUGCAUAUGCAUGGGUUUAUUAUUAAUUUUGUUCUAUUAUUUUAUUUAAGGUUUGGUAUUUACUUACACUUAGUAACUGCUAAUAAAAGUUUGACCAACAUUAAAAGCAAUGCUCAGCUUUAACCAUUCUCUUUGAUAAGCCUUACACUCCAUGAGCUCCCACCUUUGGUGAGUUCAUGUCACAUUAUUCCCCACAACUUGUUGAGCGAUGAUCAUGUGUGAGCUCACCCUUGCUGUCUCACACCCCCCCACAGGAGAAGAACAGGUGGUUCAGGAGGAGCCACAAGGCGAGGAGUAUGAUCUGAUCUAGGUGGUGUUUCUCAGUUGACAUUGGCGCCGACGGUCCUUAGUUCGUUUUAUCUUUAUUAUUUUAUUUUGUAAUAAGUCUUCCGCUAUGUAAUAAAUACUCUGAUGUUUUAUGACAUUUAUCUCUAUACACUCUGUUAUUAUAUAUGUUGUCUUCUUGGCGCAUGUAUGAGAUGCACCUGACUUUGUUCCUUAAAGCCGGGUGUGACAGAAGUGGUAUCAGAGCAAAUGUUGACUGUAGGACGAAACCUAGAUAGAAAUGGACAAAACCCUUACCUUACUCUGAUUCUUUCUAUACUUAUCUUGAUCCUGUCUCACCUUCUAUUGUUCUACUAUGAUCAUUCUUACCCUCUCUACUCUGAGACAAGAUGGAUUUCACACCUUGAAAUCCUACAUUUAAGACCUUCUUAGGAGAUAGGAAACCUAAGACAAAAAUUAAAAUUAUUUUUCUAUUAAAAAAAUGUUGGUUGAUUGUUCUGAUGAUCAAUGCUUGAUUUGCUUCUUUGAUUGAUUGAUAUAUUAUAUAUGGACAUCUUAGCAUGUACCACCAUAAGGUAAUGUAUUAGCUUUAGUGGAUAACACACUAAUCUACUUAGCUAAUAAAUCCCCCGCAGUAACAUUUCUCGUAAUUACUCGCCUUGUCUACAAUUCUUUCUUUCGUACCCUGUGUUUCUAACCUAGAUGGGCUACCCCUUUAGUGUUAGAAGAGAGCACUAUAGACGUGAUCCUUGGUAUGUCAUGGUUAAGAAAGGCAAAGGCAGUUUAUACACUGUGCUAAAAGGAACCAUAGAAGUCACCAGUUCCAAAAGAGAAAGAUUUAAAGUUGGAAUUGGAGUAACUACCGCCACCAAACAAGCGGCAUUCUUAGUCGAUGGGAAGUUUGUUGGUGUCAACAUCCAUGUGGUUAGAGAUUUUCCGGAUGUCUUUCCAGAGGAGUUACCAGGGAUGCCACCUGAUAGAGAAGUUGAGUUUGUUAUUGAUCUCUUACCUGGAACCGCCCCUAUUUCUAAACGGCCAUAUAGGAUGUCCGUAGAGGAGUUGAAGGAACUUAAGAAGCAGUUAACUGAGUUACAAGAGGCUGGGUACAUUCGUCCGAGUUCCUCACCUUGGGGAGCACCGGUACUGUUUGUACAGAAGAAGGAUGGAUCACAAAGGAUGUGUGUGGAUUAUAGGUCCCUUAAUGAUGUUAUCGUGAAGAACAAGUACCCGUUACCCAGCAUUGAGGAUUUUAGGAGACUUAACCUGGGGAUAGUUGCUCACACUAAAGGAGUUACUAUUGAUGUGGAACCUAUUUUGGAGCAAGAGAUCCGCAAAGGACAAAUUGGUGAUGCUAAGAUACAAGAGAUUAAGGAUCUGAUUACUGAAGGUCGAGGUCCAAAAUUCAUGGAAGAUGAGCAAGGCACCGUAUGGUUCAAGGAUCGGGUAUGUGUUCCGGAGAUUGAAAGCCUACGUGAGACUAUUUUAAAGGAGGCCCAUGAGUCGGAUUACUCUAUUUAUCCUAGUAGCACCAAGAUGUAUCAGGAUUUGAAGCGGAAGUAUUUGCGGAAUGGAUUGAAGAGAGAUGUGGCUGCACAUGUGGCUAUGUGCGAUGUGUGUCAAAGAGUUAAGGCUGAACACUAGAGACCAACUGGACUAUUAUACCCAUUAAAGAUACCCGAAUUGCAAAGGGAAGAGAUUGGUAUGGAUUUCAUUACUGGAUUGCCUCGCACCCAGAAAGGAUAUGAUGCUAUAUGGGUGAUUGUGGAUAGAUUGACUAAAGUGGCUCACUUUAUUCCGGUCAAGACUACUUAUAAAGGUUCUCAGCUAGCAGAGUUAUAUAUGGCUCGGAUUGUGUGUUUGCAUGGAGUACCAAAGAAGAUCGUGUCUGAUCGAGGUUCACAGUUUACCUCAAGAUUUUGGAGAAGCUUUCAUGAGAAUAUGAGUACAAAGUUGAAUUUCAGUACAACUUAUCACCCUCAGACCGAUGGACAGACCGAAAGGACUAACCAAGUAUUGAAAGAUAUGUUGAGAGUUUGUGCCCUUCAGCAUGGUAGUAGUUGGGACAAGAGUCUACCUUAUGCUGAGUUCUCAUAUAAUAAUAGUUAUCAGGCCAGUCUGAAGAUGUCACCGUUCGAGACUCUGUAUGGCAGGAAAUGCAGGACUCCUCUGUAUUGGGAUCAAACUGGAGAAAGACAAUUCUUUGGGCCUGAACUGAUUCAAGAAGCAGAAGAGCAAGUCCGUAUAAUCCGGGAGAAUUUGAGGGUGGCUCAAACCAGACAAAAGAGCUAUGCUGAUAAUAGAAGGAGACCACUGGAAUUUGAGGAAGGAGAUUAUGUGUACCUCAAGGUGUCACCACUUCGUGGCAUGAGGAGAUUCAAAGUCAAGGGCAAAUUGUCCCCACGCUACAUUGGACCAUUCUUGAUCUUUAGGCGAGUUGGGGAGAUGGCAUACCAACUCGAGUUACCUGCUACUCUAUCGGAUGUGCAUAAUGUGUUCCAUGUGUCUCAGCUCAAGAAGUGUCUCCGUGUCCCUGAGGAACAGUUACCAGUGGAAGAGCUCAGUGUUCAGGGUGAUUUGACUUACACGGAGUAUCCUGUCAAGAUUCUUGAUACAUUGACUCGAGUUACAAGAAAUAAGGUGAUAAAGAUGUGCAAAGUGCAAUAGAGUCACCAUGGAGAAGAUGAAGCAAAGUGGUAAAGAGAAGAAGAGCUUCGUAUAGAUUUUCCCCACCUUUUUCCUAGAUCUUCUUAAAUCUCGAGGACGAGAUUAUUUUUAAGGGGGGUAGGAUUUGUAAUACCCAAUUUGUAAUUUAUUAGGAAUAAUAUAAAUAGAGAAACAAUUUCUCCUUAUGUGAGUUUGACCUUUAGACAUCAUCACAUGUGAACACCAUAUUCAAAAACAAAUAAUUAAUAAAAGACAUGCCACUAAAUCGUGCAUCAGGCUGGAUUUUAUUUUGUGUGCAUUUUGUGUGAUAGUACAAAAAUAAUGUAAUGCUCAAAUUAGAAUUUAAGUUCCAAAGGAAACUCUAGAAAUUAAGGAAAGAGAAAGAAAAUAUUAUGAGGAUAAACAAAUAAGUAUAAAACAUAUACAUAAAAAAAAUAUAUUAUUUCUAUACUAGGAUUUGAAUGUGUACAUUUGAAUCAAAGGUGAAACCUAUUCAAAUUCAAAUUUGGAUUCGAAUAAUUAUGAAUAAAGAAAAAAAACAGAAAAUAAAAUCAAAAGAAAAGAUAAAAGAAAAGAGAAAACGCGCCUGGGCCGCUUCUACUCAAUUCGGCCCACUCUAUCUUCUCUACUGGUCGGCCCAUGUCUGUGCUCUACUCGUGGUGACUGCCGGGCAGGGCCCACUUGCCUGUUGCUGCUGCACCGCGCCUGCUCUUUACCGCGCGGGGGCACUGCCAUGGAGAACCCACCUGUCAGCCGUGUAGGAUAGCUGCUCGGGCCGCUCCGUGAGCGUCUCUCUAGCGUGCGGGACCCACUACCAGUCGCUGUGCGUUCUGUUUCUCCAUUCUGCCGUGAAAUCCGGCUGCGCAGCCGCUUCGCCGUGAAGCUCGUGGCCGUGAGUUGACCUGGCCGCCAUCCCGGGCUGGGUACAAAUGAGCCGCGCACCUUUCCUUCCUCCUCUCUUCUCGUCCUCGCUCGCAUAUGCUCAGAUUUCCCCGCAUCGCCAGACGCCAUGACCACCCGCGCGCGGGUCGGGUGUGUGGGGACUGUCCUCCGCCGUAACCCAGCACCGCUCCUCUCUGGUUCAUAGCCGUCCCACUGCCGCUGCCGCGGGGCUCUGCUGGCGGCCAUCGUCACCUAUACCCGACCGCCAUGGGAGGAAGCUGUGUGUGAGAUGUCCGCCGUGGGGUGACUCUGGCUCACCGAUGGAGAUCCCUCGAGGGCGGGCCAGGCGGAUGACUAUGGCCAACCAUCGUCGUGUCCCUGAAGCAGGUAAGAAUACCCUAAUCGCUUGGCCUUAAUGCUCUCUGCGUUUAGAACCUUCUAACGCGUUGAAUAGGGCGUUUGGGGGCGGGAUGGCGUGUCGCCGGUGUGGGCGCCACCGUGACCUGGGCAGCGCGCGGCCAGUGGUUUACAGACCCUUCUGUCUCCCUCGUUCGCUUCCAUCGCUCACGAUAGGCUCUCCCUGCUCCCGUUCUCGGCGGCUGAAGCAUGUCGCGAACCACCUUUCUGUGGCUCCCGAACGAGUCCUACGGGCGAUGCGGGCGGAUCGCGCGAUGGGGGAGGGGAGCGGCAACCAGCAGGGCAUGUCGGGGAAGACAGCGUCUGCGCCGUCGGAUCCAAUUUGGACGAUGUAGAGUUGAUCAACGGAUAACCCUUAGCUGUAGUGAUUGUGACCGUAGAUCAGAGAUCUUGUGGUUGCGAUUAUUGACCAAUUCGGGGCUUCGAAUCCAAACCGUUGAUUCCAAAUCGUAAGGCGGGUAGGAGAGAUCUAGUCAAUGAUUUAAUCUCGACCGCUAGUGGAUGAUCGAACCGUCCAUAUUUGCUCAGACCCCUUCGCUAGCUCAUUUAACACAUAAGCCCCUCCACUUUUCAAGAACUAACCCGCGGUCCAGUCCUGUGCGCUCUGUGCCCUAAGAACUUUUACCCCGAGGCCCCCAUCUUUUAUAGAAAUUGUGGCGCAGUCCGGAAAUUAAAUAAAACAGGAAAAAUAGAUUUAGAAAUUGAUUUUGAGUAUAAAAAUAGUUGUAAAACUUGUAUAAUUCAUAUAAAAUUCAUAUUAAGUCCAAAUGAGUCCAUUCCAAUUCCUAUAAUUUUGUAAUAAUGUUGUUUAUCACCCUGUGUCUCUGUUUUAACAUGAAAAUGGUAUUAAAAUUUAUUUCUUAACUAACCUCGUAUCAAAUACAUAAAACCUUAGGAAAUUCGUAUCUCCUCCGUUUUAACUCCGAUUUGAUCCGUUCAAGUUGCGUUAGUCUCGUACAAACGCGUAGAUCAUUAUUAUGCAGUAUAUUCUUAUGUUUGGUGUAAUGUUAAUUUUGUCUAUACACUGUUUGUUUGUAUUGCUACGACUAGCGGUGAGGUCACGAGGAAUCUGAAGAAUCACCCUGGUAACUGGAAUCUCAAGUGUCAGGCAAGUUGUGCCCUUGAUUCACUUUUGUUACCCAAUAAUGUUCUUUAUAAUCAUCUACCAUGCAUAGGUUAAUUUUGAUGGGACCCGAUAGGUCACCCUAGAUUGUUUAUCUCAUUACCUUGUUUACCCCUGAAUCACUUGGGUAGUUUUGCUAUUGCUUUACAUGGUUUUGGGAUAAUCAUUUAUUAUAUCUAUGUUCCAAUUCUUUUGUUAUUCUAUUUAUGUUCAUGUCAAGAUCAUUAAUGUUAAUUGGAACAUAGAGCUUAACUUGAGAAACACGUGCCACCACAAGGGUUUAUGGACGCCCUUGGCUGAUUAAUUAGGAAAGCUAGUGGAAGACUACCUUACCCGAAAGGGGCAAGGGCAGUAGGGGAGUUGCAUGCAAGGAGGUUCUCGGGUUGAUUUAGCUGCGAUGGCGGUCGGACGGGGGAUUCUUGCAAGUGCUCUUCCCAUAAACUGUAGCGGGUUUUCGGAAGCUAGUGGAACUUUGUAAAGGCCUCGUAGUGGAUCCCUAGCCAUGCACCUCAGUAGUGUCUAAGGGCCUAGCUAACCCUGGCGACAUGGGAUACACGACUUGUGGGUAAAGGGUACAACCUCUGCAGAGUGUAAAACUGGUAUACUAGCCGAGCUCACGGUCAUGAGCGGCUCAGGACUCUCUGAUGAUUAAAUUAUGAAACCUAAAUUCAAUUUUGUCAUUUGCAUAUGCAUGGGUUUAUUAUUAAUUUUGUUCUAUUAUUUUAUUUAAGGUUUGGUAUUUACUUACACUUAGUAACUGCUAAUAAAAGUUUGACCAACAUUAAAAGCAAUGCUCAGCUUUAACCAUUCUCUUUGAUAAGCCUUACACUCAUGAGCUCCCACCUUUUGUGAGUUCAUGUCACAUUAUUCCCCACAACUUGUUGAGCGAUGAUCAUGUGUGAGCUCACCCUUGCUGUCUCACACCCCCCCACAGGAGAAGAACAGGUGGUUCAGGAGGAGCCACAAGGCGAGGAGUAUGAUCUGAUCUAGGUGGUGUUUCUCAGUUGACAUUGGCGCCGACGGUCCUUAGUUCGUUUUAUCUUUAUUAUUUUAUUUUGUAAUAAGUCUUCCGCUAUGUAAUAAAUACUCUGAUGUUUUAUGACAUUUAUCUCUAUACACUCUGUUAUUAUAUAUGUUGUCUUCUUGGCGCAUGUAUGAGAUGCACCUGGCUUUGUUCCUUAAAGCCGGGUGUGACACCUGGACACCGCAUCCGACGACGACGCCAUCACGCCGUCCAGCUCAUCGUUCACUUGAAGCCCAACUUGCCACGUAAGUCGCUACUGACCGGACAUGAAUUCUUGUGCGUUGGGACGAUGGUCGUUGCUGACGUUGUGUGAGUGUUCUCGAACAUGAUGUAUGUAGUGGAGUAGCGCACCCGGUGGUGCAACGGCCAGGGGUACUACCUCACUGAUGAGCCCGGGGUGCACUUCGUUUGGUAGCCCAACCAAGAGUCAUCGGUACUCGUCAUGUCGCGCGCGUUCGACGAUUACUAUAUCGAGAAUUGUGGCGUCAUCUUGGCGCCGGAGGUGACGCAGAGGAGGAUCGACAACAGUGACCAGUUCGUCAUCAUCGCCACCGUCAGGGUAGCUUUUGUGCCGGUAUGCCUUUAAUUGUCUUCACAAACACACACAGUUCGACGUAUGAGCAAGAAUAACGUCGAGACAGGUUAUCUCGACCAACAUAGAGACCUGAAAUAAAAUGAAAAUUAAAAUAUAUAGAGAUCUAGAUGUAGUUAUAUAUAUAUAAAAGCCAAACGAAUAUAAAAAAAAGAGUUGGAGCCAUAUAUGCGGCGUGAGGGUGGCUGCUAGCGCUGCUGCAGGCAGAGGCAGCCGGCCUGCCGCCGUUCGGCUACCGGACGACAAAGCAAGAGGGCAGCGAUCCCGGGUCAGAACACACAGAACAGCAGCAGCCAUGAGUCCCGUGAUGCAGCAGCCCCAGCGCAGUCUCCUCGUUCCGGGCUUCCAACUGCGCGUCCGGUACUCGUACACUUGCUCGGUGUCAAAUCCAGUUCGGCAAAGACGAACUGAUGGACAAACCGGUACUAGUUUUUUUUACCUAUUUUAUUGACAGGAAUAAGAGGAAAUCGAGGACGAAAAGGAAAAAGCUUAUACUCGUAGCUCAUCGACUCGCUCGGUCCGUGGUCUCCUCGGCUCAGCUCGGUUCGACUCGUUUGAAUUUUUUCACGAUGUGAACUGAUAUCGUAGCUCGGUUCAUUAAACGAGGCAGCUCGUUCCAGCCCGUGAGCUAAACGAGUUACUUCAUUUCAGCAAAACGAAACUAUAUGCAUAUCAUUUACAUAAUAAUUGAUGAACAUGUUAUAUGUAUGUGUGAUGUAUAUGGUCUAUGAGUUAAAAUAAUGAUUUAUGAACUUUGUCUAUUUGUUAAAUUGAUCUAUGAGAAUAUAAUCGUGGGUUAAACUGAUGAACAUGUGUGUGAACUAUUAAUUGAUGAAUGAUGAGUUGUGUUAAUUUGGUGUUACAUUGAUGUGGUCCCUGAAACUAUGUAUACAAUUAUUAUUUUUAUUGUUAAAUUAAUCUAAAAUUAACUAGAAAUUCAUGUUAUAUACAUUUUUUUCUGUUCUGACUCACAAGCUAAACGAGCCGAGCUGACUCUAUGGCUCGUUAGUUUAACAAGUCGAGCCAGCUCGUUAGCUUAACGAGCCAUCUCGAGCUCGGACGAGCUGAACCGAGCUAGUUCGAUAUUCAGUCCUAAUGCUAAUUAGAAGUAUUAAAUAUAGUAAAUAAAAACUAAACGACAAGAUAAAUCUAUUAACCUGAUUAGUACAUGGUUCACACAUGUGAUGCUUAAUCAUGGAUUAGUUAGGUUCAAUAAAUUUGUAUUGCCGUUUAUUAGUCUUCAGUUGUGUAAAUAGUUUUAUAACUAGAUUAUAUCUAACUUGUAAUAGGCAUUUGGAUAUCCGAUGUGACAACAUGCUAAACUUUAGUCCCUUAAACUAAAUGCUCUGGUUGUCGACAGGGAAUGCGUGAUGGCUCCAUCCCUAUCCAGAGGAGAAAAAGAAUUAUCCGUUCCUGUUCUCGUCCCAUGAACAAUUACGGAGGACCUAUCUCUAUCUCUGCCCCCACACGGGUAAUUUUCUCUCCGUGGGAAAUUUGUCACUGUUACAAAAUGCAAUAUUUAAAGAUAAGUAUGCAUCAUUUAUAUGGAAUUAAUAUAAAUUGAACUGGCAAGUUUUAAUGUAACAAGAGGUAUCUAGUUUAGAAUUUAGUAUGCUAAUUAUACUAGGCUAUGAGUUAAGUUUUUGAUAGAUUUUUAACAUGCAAAGGAAUUAAUUUAGAGUAAGAGAAGUCAGUACGUGCUGAACGAGGAUGUGAAUGGCUCUCCAUCCCCUUCUCCAUAAACCUGGUGGAGACUAAGGAUUUUGCAUCAACAAACAACUCUUCUUACUUUCAAAAAGAGCUUCUCAGAGAGUAUCUUAUUUGGUUGGAAACGUAGCUCUUCCUAUUUUUACGUGGAAGGGAAGGACGGGAGAGAGAGACUCCCGAAGAAGUCUCUGUUUUGGGCUCUCUGGUUCGCUCGAUUUCUAGAGGCAAUUCCUCACUAUUUUUAUGAAGAAGUAAGUCUAAAUUUUCUAGAGCCGCUCGUUUAAUAGAUUUUUUUGACGGAGUUUUUAAAGGAGUCUUUGAAAGAGUGGCACCAAAAGAGUCUAAAUUUUCUUCAUUUUAAUUUUAAUAAAGAUUAGAACCUAUUUGUUUGGGAUAUAAUAAUUUGUCUGUACCUCUAUCCCUUACUAGGGAAUUAUCUGUAAGGAACCACGGAUCAGGCCCCGUUGCCAUCUCCAUUGGAGCUAGACUAUAGAAGUAGAUGUCUUGAAAAGGAGUCUCCGUCACGCACCAACUCCAACGCCUCCUCGCCUGUCCCCAUUUGAGACAAAUCCACGUCCGUCCAUCUAGAGCGAGCGAGAGAGAGAGGAAGCUUCUCUGAUUCCGCGGUUCGGCUCGCCCGGCCAUGAUAGAGAUAAAGCAAUGAUUCGCUCCGGCUAGCAUCGCAUCUGAUCGAUCACUCUCAAUCCCCUGCAGCUCCCGCCCACCCACCCACAGGCGUCGCUCUCGCCGGAGCUGCAGCGGCGACGCGGGCCUCGGCGCAGCGGGAUCUCCCACCCUCCGCCCACCGUCGCCGCCUCGCCGGCCGACCCAGGCAGCGCAGCGCAACGAUCGGUCACAAACAAGAACGACCAAGGCGCGCCCCUCAAGCGGCGUCGUCGUCCUCGUCCUCGUCCCCCCCGAGACCCCGAGCGCGGAGGAAAAAGUCAACCCGGAUCCAUCCACGAGAAGAGAUGGGGUCGUUCAAGGGGCACGUGCUCCCGGGCACGCUGUUCCUGGCGGUGGGGCUGUGGCGGGUGUGGUCGUCGGCGGCGCGGCACGCCGCGGACCCGUCGUCGUUCCGGGUGCGCGCGUGGAGCCCCGCGCCGGCGCCCGGGCCGGCGCGGCUGCUGGAGCUCUACGUCGUGGCGGGCGGCGCGCUGGCGGACAUGUGCGUGGAGGUGCUCUACUCCACGCACCUCCGGAUAUUCGCCGGCGGCGAGGUCAACCCGGCGCACCUCAACGACCUCGAGCACGGCGGCAUGCUGCUCAUGUUCUUCCUCUUCGGCGCGCUCGCUCUCGCGUCCCAGCUCUGGCCCAGGUCUGUCUGUCUGUCUGUCUGUUCUGUCUUCUGUGUGCACGCGCGCGCUCGUUGCCUAGCUCCUCUGACGGUCUCUGUCUGACCUAGCCCUCUCCGUCGAUCCAGCCAAACCUUGGAUCGUUCGUCGUUUCUCAAGCUUUUUACGCUAGGAUUCGUUGCAUGCGCGAUGAUCACGAAGAAGAGGAGCCGCCGCGUCGUAGUCGUCGGUUCUUUUUGGUUUCAAAGAAAAGAAAAGGAAAAAAAAAACAGAAUCUUUAGGUUGGUUGGAUUAGUUGGGUGGCGCCGUGGCGAGGCUGUACAUGUUUGACUCGUCGCCAUGAUUGGCUGGCGCAGCCAUGUGGUGGUCGAUCCAGCUCACAACACAACACCAUGUCCUCCAACUCGCCUACAAAUCCAUACACCAAGAACACUGCCUGUCUCGUGGUCGUAGUACCCGUAAGCAGCAGCACCAGCAGCGAUGUUUUGGUGAAAGGGAAAAAUUAAAAGGGAUUUCGUGGCGGCGUGCCUUCCCUUUUCUGAAUGCACGUGGAGUAGUAGCAAGUGCAGUCCGACUCUGUUUCGCAUUGGAGUGCUGUUGGGGGGGCCCCAAGCUUGAUCUCACCCCAACGACAACGAGUGCAUGCAGUCCCCCCUCUCUUCUUUUCUGAUCCACACCUGCGCAGCUUUUGUUGUUUCGUCUUGGAAAAUCUUUGGCAAGCAAUCAUGCAGUCGUACAACGCCAUUAUUAUAUAAAGUACGCAGCAAAGCAUGAGUAGUAAACAAUGGGGUGUUGAACUGAACAACGAAUACGAACGGUGCAGGCACUUCCCGCUGACGGACGGAGCGCUGUGCCUGGUGGCGGCGACGGCGUUCACGGCGGAGCUGGUGCUCUUCUACUUCCACUCCACGACGCACAUGGGGCUGGAGGGCUACUACCACUACCUGCUGGUGCUGCUGGUGGGCCUGUGCGUGGCCGCCGCCGUCCUCGGCGCGCUCCUGCCGGACAGCUUCCCGGCCGACCUGGCCUCGGGCGUCCUCGUCGCGCUGCAGGGGCUCUGGUUCUACCAGACGGCGCUGGCGCUGUACGGGCCCAUGCUGCCCGCGGGCUGCGCCCGCGACGCCGACGCCCACGUCGAGUGCCGCUCGCGCGCCGCGCAGGAGCGCGCCGAGCAGCUCGCCAUCUCCCAGCUCUUCGCCCUCGUGCUCCUCGCCUUCCUCUACGCGCUCGGGUGCUACGCCGUCGCUGCCGCCAGGUACGGGCAACCCCCGGAGCUGGCCGUGGUUCGUCAUAGGCACGCCGCGGCCGUGGAGCUGGAGUGCCGGCAGGGUGAUGACGCUGGCGCGCUGGAGGAGUGCGCGAUCUAGUGGCCAGGCCAGUGGUGAUGGCUGCUCUGGAUGGAGUCUGCUGGACUCUGCCUUUUGGGUUUGGUGUAGUAGCCGUAUAGGAAAUUCAGAUUUCAUAGUACAUGCGUGGGCAGAAGUAGCUUGCAGCUUGUUCGCUGCGGCUUGCUGCGGCUGCAAUCCGGCUGCGGCUGCGGCUUCUACAGUAUUUUUCUCUCUAUGGAUUGCAGCUGCAGCAGUCCAAACAGCUGCAACAGUGUCGGCUUGUAGCCAGCCGAACACACCCUUGGAGUUUUCAGGCUUUCGAUAUCAGGGAGGGCAGGGCAGGCAGGGAGUGUACAUGUUCGGAUUAACUAUCACCAAAGCUUUUGGGUUUCAUUUCACGAGUUGCUUAACUUAUGCUGUAACUGUUACUCAUGUCAGAGGAGCGAUACAUAGAAUGAAAGGAAUAUACUUGUUCGUAAAACUGUCUGUUCCAUGCAUAGAGCGACUAACAAGAGAGACCAAACUAUGCCUUGAUCGAAAGGCAGAGGUCUUACAGAUCACUGAAACCAUAAUUAUGACAUCAGUAAAGUAAUGCUUUACACGGAGCUCGGCAUUCACGCUGGGAAUUAUUUGGACUAUCAGACCUGCCAAUAGGACUGGGCAUAGAAACCGAAAACCGAACACCGAAACCGAAAAAGCCGGAAUCGAAUAAACCAGAUUAUUUUUCGGUUACCAAUAUGCAGAAACCGAACUAAUUUUGGUGUUCGAUUUUUAAUUUCGGUUUAAACCGAACCGGAAGCACAUGAGCCAUCCCAUAUUUUCCCAUUCCCUAUCGGUCGGCCCAUUAGGCAUUCAGGCCAUCACGCUGCGUAGGAGCUGAGCCGGUCACGCACUCACGCCAAUACGCCAUCGCCCAUCGCGGCAUCGCCCAGACGCGGUCACGCGGAGACGCCACGCCGAACCCUAGCUAGAGCGUCGCGCCGCCGCUGCCGAGUCACCGCGACACUGCCUGUCUGCCUGGGCGCCUGGCGGCUAGCCGGCCACCGCGGCACCGCGUGCCACCACUAGCGCCCAGGGUUCAUUUUAUCGAUAGGGAAAAAAUAUCGGAGGUUGGCGAUAAACAGGAUUAUCGGAUUUAUCGGAAUUUUAUCGGAGAUAGACAAAUUUUUUCGGUACAAAUUUGUAGAAAAUGACUCAGUUUGUUUAAAUGUUAUGUAGAUUAUAUUUCGACAUUUAACAAAUAAAAACAACACAGACCAUCUAAUCAAGUAAAUUUAUGGUUUUUAGUGUUCUGGAAGAAAGUGAGAAGACAUAUAGACCAUCUGACUUCUAAUUUGAAUAUUUUAUAGUGUAAAUUCAAAAAAUUUGAAAAUUUCGGCUGAUAGAAAAAAUAUAUCGGAGGUCACCGAUAAACAGAAAAAUCGGGUUUAUCGGAUAUCAUAUCACCGAUAAAGUUUUCCCUGCUAGCGCCCACCGUUCAGCCGUCCAGCGUCCUCAUCCACCAGGCACCAGCCGGCAACCCGACAUCGCUUGCCCAGCAGCCCGGCACCGCUUGCCCGGCACGACGACACCGCUUGCACGGCACGGCGCCACUCGCCAGUUCGGCCAGUGCAGUCAGCCACUCGCCAGUUCACCACCAGGCUCGCCAUUCGCACACAACAGUCCUAUGUCAACACCAACGGAGCAGUCCUCUAAUGAAGUAUGGUUUGAUUUUGUCUCUGUGUUGUCUUCUUUUUAGUGAUUUUUGCUUCAAAUGUUUAUUUGUGUCUGUGUGGCCACUAUAAUAUAGGUCCUAAAUGCCACCAAGGAAUCAGCACCGACCGCCGGCAACACUACUGAGGAAAAGAAAGAAGAUAACGCGAAGAAAAGGAAGGAGAUUGCACCUAGAUCAGAAGUAUGGUCUCACUUUGUCAAGAUUUGUGUUGAUGGACACUUGAAGAAAGGGAAAUGCAAGUAUUGCAGCCGUGAGAUCAAGUGUGACCCAAAUUUGAAUGGUACAUCUGCCCUACGUGCUCAUUUUAAUAUUUGCAAGUGCAAUCCUCAUAAAAAUAGAGACCCAAAUCAAAGCAAUUUACAAUUAUCUCAUGGUGAAAACGUUGCAAUCUAUAAGUUUGAUCCUAAAGCAAUUAGAAAAGCAUUUUGUGAAAUGGUCAUUGAAGAUGAGCAACCAUUUGCAUGUGCUGAAAAGGCAGACUUUAGAAAGUUCAUGUCAAUUGCUUGCCCAUGUUGGAAUGUGCCAUCUAGAAGAACCAUCACUAGAGACACUGUGUCUACAUACUUUGAAGAGAAAGCAAAGCUCAAAACCUUUUUUAAGCAACAAUGUGAAAGAGUUUGUCUUACAACUGAUGCUUGGACUUCUCAACAACAAGAUAGUUAUAUGGCUGUAACAGCACAUUUUAUAGAUUCUGAUUGGAAAUUGCACAAGAAGGUUAUUAGUUUUUUUCUUAGUGAAGGGUCAUAAAGGUGAUGAUAUUGGAAAAAACAUUAUGAGGUGUUUGGUUGAAUGGGGGAUUACUAAAAUCAUGACAAUUACAGUUGAUAAUGCUAGCUCUAAAAGGGACACAUAGGUAGUAUGUAUAAAAUAAUUCUACUUCAUUACAUACCCAUUUAAUGUUCAGGAAUGUAUUUAUACAGCUGGCAUCUGAUGCACUGUUUCCUUGUCAACGAAAAGGGACGCAGGGAUCAACUGUUCCCCUCGUCCCCUAGGUAAAAAAGGAAUGGUAAGCCAAAGCUGGAAAUGUUGUGAUGUACAUUAAUGAGUGAUUGACAUAAGAUAACUGCUAGCAUGAUUAAUAGAACAAGUAUGUUUCGAAGUGUAUGCAUCAUUAUCCAGUGCCUAUUAAUGGAAACUUUCUUUCAGGGUAAGUUGAGUGAUGGAAAAGUGGUGGCAGUGAAGCAGCUCUCUCGGUCCUCUAACCAGGGAAAGAUGCAGUUUGCGGCAGAAAUCGAAACCAUUUCCCGAGUGCAGCACCGUAACAGUUCCAGGAUGGACUAAGUUGUUUAUGUGGGAAACAUUUGUAUGACUGUAUUGUAUAUUCACAUUUUUAUUCUAUUCGGUUUGACUAAGUUGUAUGACUGUAUUGUGUAUUCACAUUUUUAUAACCAGGAUGGACUAAGUUGUAUUUGUAUAACCAGGGAAACAUUUGUAUUGUGUAUUUGUAUGACUGUAUUGUGUAUUCACAUUUUUAUAUUUCCAGGAUGGACUAAGUUGUAUAACAGCACCGUAAUAGUUUUAUUCUAUUCGGUUUUUUCGGUUAAACCGAAAACCGAACCGAAAAAAUCGGUUAACUGAAGGUUCGGUUUUUGAUUUUCCGCAGGAGGUUUCGGUUACCGUUUUUCAGAAACCGAAUUUAUAAAAAAACCGAAAAACCGAACCGAAAAAAUGGUUAGCCGAUUGCCCAGGCCUACCUACCAAGCUGCAACAAACUAGCUGUGGCUACGUAAGAAAGGGCUUUAUUGAUUUCAAGAUCAAAAUACCGAGCUGAUACAAUCGUAAAAUUAACUCUAAACACAAACUUGGUUUACAGGUGAUCCUGCAAAAUUAACUCUAAACACAAACUUGGUUUACAGAAUAUGUUAGUGAGAAACUAAGACCAAGUUAGAACGAGAAGACAAAAGAAGAGAGCUCGUUCACUUGAUUGCUCCUUUAAUAUAUGUAUUAAACUUAAGAGUAAUAUUGCUGGUGAGUAUGAGAACUUAAGAGGGCAUCAAUCGCAAUAAGUAAAAUAGAAAAGAGACACAACGAUUUUUACCGUGGUUCAGCCAAUACCCAUUCCACGUUGCGGUGAUCUCUUUUGGUCAUGGGUUGCACUCAACCUCUUUCAAGUGAUCCAAAGAUCAAACUUGAGUGCCACGAUUAUCUUCCUUAUAUCAAUAUCCCUUUGUGAGGAAUCUCCACAAAUUGGAGUCUCUCACACCUUACACAAAAUGAUCAAAAUCAAAUCCGGAGUAAGGAGGGGAGUAGAAACACACACAAGAGCACAGUCGCAGCGACACCACGCACACCAGCAAAGAAGAGAGUGCACGAAUCAAAACGACACAGUCACAGCUCAAGGACGUGCUCAAAUCUCUCUCUAACAAAUCAAAAGCGUGGUAACUGAGGUUCGUAGUUGUGGCGUGCUCAAAGUAUGCUUGGAUACUGCUCCAAGGCGCCUAGGGGGUCCUUUUAUAGCCCCAAGGGACCUAGGAGUCGUUGGAGCUUCAUUUGGAAGCUCCCAGCCUUCCCUGAGUGCGAGUGCAUCGAACUAUCCGGUGGCACACCGGACACUGCACAAUACAACGAUCAAAAGAUCCCUGAUUGUUCACUUUUCGUGUUAGACGGGCAUCAGACUGUUUGGUGCUCCAUCUGAACGUUGGAUGCAGCUGACGUGGUUGAUAGCCGUUGGCUGUCUUUCCUAAUAUUCACCAAUUUCAGGUGUUACCUCUCCUUUCUUUGGUUUACUUCUAUUUUUCUAAAUUUUGAGGAGUUAUUUUGUACUAUAUAAGUAUUAAUCGUAGUAUGUUCAAAACCCUAGGGGAAUUAUUGUGGUUGCAUCACAUGCUGGAGCACCUAAUUUUGUAUGAUGUUUUGAGUUGUUGCGCCUCCAUUUAAACUCACGAAACAUGUUGAUUUUGAAUUUAAAAGCUAGAGCUAAAUUCAAAAUAGAAAGAAGAUAAAAAAAGAGAAAGGGAAACCCAUCCUAGCCUCCCCUAGCCGGCCUGCUUCCCCCUCCCUCCCCUGGGCUUGCGCGAAAGCAGCCCAACGACCUUCCCUGGCAACUUGCGCGCGCGGCCCACCUCCCCGGCCCACUCCCAAGCCUUCACACCACCCGCGUCGCUCUAGCAGGUGGGCCAGCCCAGCGCUGCUCCGCGCCCCUUGGCCCAUGGGCGCGCGCCGCCCAUCCCCCGCUACCGCCCAGGCCACCAGCCAGCACGUAGCGCGCGCUUGCGCAAGCGCCACCACAGCCUAUCAUCCUGCGCGUGGGCCCACCCAUGUGCACAUGCAUGCUGUGAGGAACUGAAGCGUCCCGAUCCUUUGGGACUCAAAUGUGAUACAAAUACUAGUCCCAGGAGGCUAGUAAACACAUUUCUUACUUCAAAUAGUACAGAGUUUAUAUAAAGGUUAUUACAAUACCGGGGUACAAGCUCGAGAGAGCCAAAAUAAGAAGCGCAGUAGGAAAAUAUAGUAGCCCAAGCCACAGGCAGAACUAGGUGCAGACACAGCCCCCUCAAUCAAGCAUAGCAGAAAAGAAGUCUUCGGCUGCUGAAAAACAUAAAUAAAUCUGGGUGAAUACACUAGGUAUUCCGCAAGCCCACCCCGCUCCCAUAGAGAGAAAGAGACCUAUAAUAUACAUGCUUUAUUUGGUGGAGUUGAAGUCACUCAUCAUUUUCUUAGAGAAAGGCAGUUACUGUAAGGUUUCUCCCAAAGACUUAAAAGCAGCAAAAUACUCAACCACCACUGAGCUUCCCGCUCCCGUGGCCCUGUUCUCUUUUUCAGUACCCAUUUACCCACACACAUCCCUGUUCAUGGAACUCAAGGAAAAAUCUCUAAUUGCCAAACCAUACCAGUGGACAUGGACUAUUCGAAUAGGUUUCAACUCUGCGCAGAGGGGUACACUUUACCCACUAGCCCGGUUUCUGCGAUCUCACCGUCGCGAGACCCGAAUGCCGGAUCUCUUUCCUUACCCGUACGUCCUAACCUUAACGGUUAUCCGGAAGGAGUCAGGCCACCACCAUGUCCAAAACGGACAAAACUUUCCCCCUCCUUAUCCUCCCGGUGCUCCCCAGCCUUCUUAACCCUGGGGUUGGACCGCACGAGUUCGGAUUGGGUGACUGCCCACACAGUCUCGAGUGGUUGUACGAUAAAUGAGUACAGGUAGUGAAAAUGACAAGCUGGUCCUUAUAUGAGGGGACAAUCCUUCUACUCACGCCUAAACCAGCUGAGCCAACACCUUAGGCCCUCCCCUAAACCAGGGAGUCCUUGAUCAUCCCACUCCCAAGGUGAUGAGGGUGAGUACCCUUCAUCGCAUAACUUUUCAAAAAGAGGUUUUCUUUGGAGAAGCACAUUGCCCUUCUUUCCAAUUCACAUUUCGUUUCAGAAUGUAUAUGUUAAUGCGGGCCAUCUCUCACUCACAAUGCAAUAUUCCCCCAUAAUUCCCGGCCUAGGCAAUGGUAGAGAGAGUAGGUAAUUUAUGCAUCAAGGGAAGGAUGGACUUGCCUUCGUCGAAGCUUUCCUGGCACAGAAGAUCUACUUCCGGAAGUUUGGGCUCUGGUCCCUCUUCCGAGGCUACGGGUUCCGGAUCAACGGUCCCCGCUUCUUCUAGGAAAACAGGCAAUAAAACAAUACAUCAACAGGGAUUCACAAAUUAUAGUGUGUCAUUUUCUAACAUCAUUAUUGCAUGUGACCUUAGAAAUUAUUUUUGAUAAUUUUUGGUGCAUAAAAUAUUGAGGAGACUAAUUAAAGGAGGAAAAUGCUGAAAAAGGAAAAAAGAAAAAGGGUUUCAGCUCUGGUGGGCCGGGGGAAAGGAAUCUGGCCCAGCCAGGCGCAGCGCGCGCGCGUGAGGGCGCCGGCCCAGCUGCGGCCCAGUGCGGGUGACGGCGCGGGCGCGUGAGGGGACGACGCCGUUGCCGUGGGCCCACAUGCCAGCGAGAGCAGAGGGGGGGGGGAAACGGCGUCACGGUUGUGGGUGGUGCAAACCGGUCGCCCGCGGGGAGGGAACCCGGCGCCGGUGGGCUCGGCGGCGAUUCGCCGCCGGUGGCCCGGUUCUUGGACAAUGCGUAGGUGCCUUAGCACGGGGAGGGCCUGGCGAGCCUAGAGGUGGGCUCAAUUUGGCUAGAGGGGGCCGGGAGGGGCUGUCCGCGGGGAGGCGGCGGAGCUUCGCGGCGGGGUUGCCGUCGGUGAGCUCUGGGCGAGCAAUCGGGGUGGGGGAGUGGUGUACUGCAUUCGUGGCGGUGUGGCGAAGCUAGGGGGCCAAGCAAUCGCUUGAUGGACCAACAGAGGGGCAGGGAGAAGAGAGGGACGGCUCACCGGGGAGGAAGACAAUGGCGGCGGCCUUUCCACGAAUUGAGCUCGGACGAGGGAGGAGAGGAAUGGCCGAGGCCGGUGCGGGGAAGGAGGGGCUCGGUGCGUCCCUUUUAUAGGCACGCGAGGGAAGGGGAGCGGUGGAGCCUCACGGCACCGGUGAGCUUGCACAGCGCCGCCCAUAAAUGCCGCACAACACCGCCGAUGAGACGCCACGGCGGGGCGGUACCGGCGAGGACGCUGGUCAAGGGGGGGGGGAGGACGGAGCGGUGCCAAACUUCCCUGUGCGGCGAGAAGACGGAGGCGAUGGCCGGAGGUGACCGCGAUGAAGGGACGGCGGGGAAGACGACGAAGCGACUAACAAGCGGGGCCAUACUGCCAGUGGGAGUGAUCGCGAGCGAGGCGAGGGAUGGGGCGGCUGACGGGUGGGGACGGCUCGUCAGUGAGAGAGAGAGGGAGCGCAGGGCGGGCUGGCGCGCGUGCGCGAGAGCGGGCCGGAAAUGGGCCGGGGGGAGGGAGUUGCGGGCGCGAGGGGGGGGGGAGAGAGCGGCCGUGGCAUGGGCUGGAUUCAGCCCAGCAGAGGGGGGAGGGCUUUUCUCUUUUUCUUUUUAUUUUCUAAUUCCUUUAUCCAUUUUUUAUAUCUUUUUCCUUUGAACAAUUAAUAGAUAAUCUUAGGUGCUGAAAAAUAAAAUCUAAGUGAGGUGCUUGUGAUCAAACAAGGUGUAUGCAUAUGAUGAAAGAAAAUUUAAGGGAGUUCUUGGAAUUUAGAGGAUGAAAAGGGGAGAGGUGUAGCUUAGGGUUUCGAACCUAGGUUAGGAUUUUUGGGAUGUUACAAACCUACCCCACUUAAAGGAAUCUCGCCCUCGAGAUUCAAACGGGGCUCGAGAAAAGGUAAGGGUAUUCCUUCCUCAGAGAGUCCUCACUUUCCCAGGUGGCUUCCUCUUCUCCAUCUCUGCUCCACUGAACCUUACAGAGUUUUACUUCUGAGUUGCGGGUCCUUCUGACUGCUGAGUCGAGAAUCUUCACUGGCUUUUCUCGGUAGUGUAGAUCCUUUUGAAUCUGAAUUGCAUCUGCCUCGAUGUGGGUUUCUGGUACCUUUAGGCAUUUGCGGAGUUGAGACACAUGGAACACAUUGUGAAUAUCUGACAUGGAUUCUGGUAGCUCAAGACGGUAUGCUGCGGGUCCUAUUCGGGAAAUGACGGGGUAGGGACCGACGUAACGUGGUGCCAGUUUUCCUUUCAUUUGGAACCGUUUGACACCCCGCAUCGGGGAGACCUUGAGAUAAACGAAAUCUCCUUCCUCAAAUCUGAGUUCCCUUCGUCUAUUGUCUGCGUAACUCUUCUGUCGACUCUAAGCUUCAAGUAACCUCCUGCGGAUCAAAGCGACUUUCUCUUCGGCUUCUUUAACAAAGUCGGGUCCUUCUAGUGUCCUUUCCCCUACAUUGGACCACAUUAGGGGAGUCUGGCAUUUUCUUCCAUACAGUGCUUCGAAUGGUGACAUUUUGAUGCUGGCCUGAUGGCUGUUGUUGUACGAGAAUUCGGCGUACGACAAACUGGACUCCCAAUCCCUGUCGAAUGUUAGCACACAGGCUCUUAGCAAAUAUUCGAGGAUCUUGUUGACCCUUUCCGUUUGAUCAUCUGACUGGGGGUGGUAAGCGGUGCUGAAAUCUAGCUUGGUGCCCAUUGCUUGCUGGAGGCCUUUCCAAAAUUUUGAAGUGAACUGCGUUCCUCUAUCUGAUACUAUCUUCCGCGGAAUGCCAUGGAGCCUGACUAUCUCUUUUAGGUAUACUCGGGCAAGGGCGGCUCCUCCAAAAGUGGUCUUUACUGGAACGAAGUGGGCCACCUUGGUGAGACGAUCGAUUAUUACCCAUAUGGAAUCAUUUCCUUUCUGAGUUCGAGGCAGUCCGGUCACGAAAUCCAUGCCUAUUUCUUCCCACUUCCAUUCGGGUACUGGGAGGGGUUGAAGUAGGCCUGCAGGCUUCUGAUGUUCGGCCUUUGUUCGCUGACAGGUGUCACACCGGGCCACAUAUUGUGCUAUUUCCUUCUUCAUCCCUUUCCACCAGUAUCCGGCUUUGAGGUCUAGGUACAUCUUGGUGGUUCCUGGGUGGAUGGAGUAAGCUGAGUUGUGGGCUUCAUUGAGCAGGGUUUCCCGUGCCUCUCCCACUGGUACACACAAACGGUUCUUGAACCAGAGGACUCCUUGCUCAUCUGUCCUAAGGUCUGGAAGUUGCUCCUUGCGAGCUCUUUCCAUAAGUCUGGAUGUCUCUGCGUCCAGGCGUUGAGCCUUGCAUAUGAGAUCUUCUAGAUUUGGCUUGACUUCCAGGCUACCGUUGUCUCCCAGACAUGCAUUUAGCUGAGCUGAUUCUUUCUUCCAAUCUUCCAGAAAGUUGGUUUCUUUAAUUCCGAAAGGUUUUCGGCUGAGGGCGUCUGCUACCACGUUGGCCUUCCCGGGGUGGUAGUGGAUUUCGAGGUCAUAAUCUUUGAUUAAUUCAAGCCAUCUUCUUUGACGGAGGUUGAGGUCUGGUUGCGUGAAGAUGUACUUCAGACUCUUGUGAUCAGUGAAGAUGUGGCAUUUGUUCCCGAUCAGAUAAUGCCUCCAUAUUUUUAGGGCAUGCACUAUGGCUGCCAAUUCCAGAUCGUGGGUAGGGUAGUUCUGCUCGUGUGGCUUGAGUAGGCGGGAUGCAUAAGCAAUAACUUUCUCAUUUUGCAUCAAGACACACCCUAAGCCUUGUUUGGAAGCAUCACAAAAGAUGACAAAAUCCUGGUGUAUAUCUGGCAGUGUCAAAACUGGUGCGGUUGUAAGCUUUUCCUUGAUGAUCUGGAAACUUUCCUCACAUUUGGGGGUCCACACAAACUUAUUGUCCUUUUUGAGAAGUUCGGUCAUAGGUUUUGCUAUGCUGGAGAAUCCCUUGAUGAAACGGCGAUAAUACCCUGCCAUUCCCAGAAAGCUUCGUACUUCACUGACGUUGGAUGGUUGUCUCCAAUUUGAAACGGCUUCUACCUUGGACGGGUCUACUUCUAUCCCUUCUGCAGUCAAGAUAUGCCCCAGGAAAGCUAUCUUCUCUAACCAGAACUCACACUUGCUGAGUUUAGCAUAGAGUUGAUGUGCUCUGAGUCUUCCGAGGAUGAUUCGGAGGUGACGCUCAUGGUCCUUACGAUUCUUGGAAUAAAUGAGGAUGUCGUCUAUGAAGACUACGACAAACUUGUCCAAUUCUUCCAUAAAUACCUUAUUCAUGAGGUUCAUGAAAAAGGCGGGUGCGUUUGUUAGCCCAAACGACAUCACUGUGAAUUCAUAUUGCUCGUAUCUGGUGACGAAUGCAGUCUUCUGAAUGUCUGCUUCCUUGAUUCUCAGUUGGUGAUACCCUAAUCUGAGGUCUAUCUUGGAGAAGUAUUUGGCUCCCUGCAGUUGGUCGAAGAGGUCAUCGAUUCGAGGGAGAGGGUACUUAUUCUUGAUCGUAACUUCAUUUAAGGAUCGAUAAUCAAUACACAUUCUCAUACUUCCAUCCUUUUUAGUAACGAAAAGAACGGGUGCUCCCCAGGGAGACGAACUGGGACGAAUGUACCCUUUUUGUUGCAGCUCUGCAAUUUGGAGUUUUAAUUCUGCUAAUUCUGUGGGAGCCAUGCGGUAUGGUCUCUUUGCGAUGGGCGCAGUGCCAGGAAGGAGAUCUAUAUAGAACUCUACUCCUCUUUCUGGUGGCAUCCCGGGCAACUCUUCCGGAAAUACAUCCUCAAACUCUUCGAUUACAGACAUGUUUUCUGUUGCCAGAUUGAACAUCAUCGGAUCGUUUACUGGCGGCUGGGCUUGACAUGAAACUGCCUUUCCUUGGUGAUCUGUGAGAAGAACAGUUUUGUUUGCGUAGCUGAUGAUACCUUUGUGCUUAGCUAGCCAAUCCAUUCCUAGUAUCACAUCAAUCCCUUGGGACGGCAAGAUGGUUAAGUCUGCCAGGAACACUACCCCACUUAGAAGAAUUCUGACUUGAGAGCACUUGAGUUUGCACAGGAGGUCUGAUCCUGGGGUUCGGGUGACCAAGGGGACAGCUAGGGGUGUAGAGGGAAUACCAUGUUUUUCCACAAACUUAGCGGCUAUAAAAGAAUGAGAUGCUCCCGAAUCAAAAAACACAGUAGUGGGAGUAAAUUCAACAAGGAACUCACCGAGCACUACUCCCGGGGCUUGUUGGGCUUCUUGAGCGUCGACGUGGUUGACUCGGGCCCUGCCCUGGUACUGAGUCCUGCUCUGCUGGCUGUUGGAAGGAGGUGCCUUGGAGGUAGGUGUCGAGGGAAUCUUGGGGCCAUUCACUGAGUUGGAGUAGGUCGGUCCGGGUGCCUUCAACUGAGGGCAGUUGUUCUUGAAGUGACUGGGGUCUCCGCAGUGCCAACAGGCGUUUGCUGGCGGUUGGUUGCUUGCAACGGAGGGUGCCUGAAGGGAGCUCUGACUCUGCUUACUGUAGCGCGAUGGGGUGGGUCCAGAUGGUUUAUUGAAGCUUGGUCCCCUGGGUGGAAGCCCAAAGGGUCGAGCUCUCUGGUGACGUUCUUGCUGCUGAGCUCGGAGAACUUGGAAUUUCCUCUUGAGGUGCCCUUUUUCUUCCUCUUUUGCCCUUUCCACUUGGAUAGCUUUGUUGGAGAGGUGCGAGAAGCUGUGGAAGUCUUGGCUGGCGAGGAUGGUCUUAAGCUCGGGUCUUAAUCCUCUCAGGAAACGGGCCAUCUUUCUGGACUCGGUGCUGACAUCCUCAGGCGCGUAGCGGGCCAGCUCUGUGAACUUGUGCACAUACUCACUGACUGUUCUCCCGCCUUGAGUUAGCUCCCGGAAUUCAUCCUCCUUGAGUUGAACUAUCCCCUGGGGUACGUGGUGCUCACGGAAGGCUGCUUCGAAUUCUGCCCAGGUAGCAUCUCUGACGGCUUCACUGAAAGUGUCCCACCAUGCUAAAGCCAUUCCUGAAAGCUGAUGAGCAGCCAGUUGAACACGCUAAUUUUCGGGGCAUCCGAUGGCUUCCAACUUUCUCUUGAUCGUGCGAAGCCAGUCAUCUGCAUCGAGGGGAUUGCUGGACCCCGCGAACGUGGGAGGCUUGAGUCUUAAAAAUUCUCCCAUCCUGUCCUGUGGCCUUCCACCACCUGGGCGCUGGUUUUCCAGACUUCGAGUGAGGACUUCAAUGAGUCGGGUUUGAUUGGCUAGAACUUGGGCUAAGUCUAGUGGUAGUUCCGGAGGUGCGGGGAGGUGGGUCUCACCCCCUUCUCCGCCAGCCUCUCCUUCAGCUCCUAGAGGAAGUCUUGCUCCAAUCCCGGAGGUGGUAGGCGUGGUUUUAUCCGAAGCCAUCUGCCAUGGGAAAAGAGUCACUAUCAUGCACAUGCCAUUUUUUUAACUAGUUACUUUAUUCAUUACAUCCAGCCAUUACAACACAACACACUGCUACCAUACGUUCAUCACACACGAGUCCUAUCUAGGGUACUCCCGAACUCCUUCUCUAAAGUGUCCCCAAAUUCCUUGAGAAGGUCAUCAAGGCUGACCAGGGACAUCUCCUCGGUGUCGGAUGAGUCCCUUAACCCGACAGGGGGUAGGAUUGGAGGGUUUCCUUCCUUCUGCUCAGUCUGACAUCCUUGGCUUUUGGUCUUCUUGCGGAUUUUUCUUGCGGGGGCGAGCUUCUUCAGUUUCUUGUCAUAGUCCAUUUUUAGGGUGCAGUAAGCUUCACGGGUAUUGGUCUCCUCGCCUUCAGCUAUUGAGAGGCUCUCUUGAAGGGACGCCUUUUCCCCUGAAAGUUCCCUGACUUUUUGCUCCAGGCUUUCCACCCGGGAGGUUAGGGAGGUGCAGUGGAGGGCGAGGUCAUCAUAUUGGUUAUCAAGGGUGUGAAGGUAUCCAGCCAUGUAGACAAUGGUGGGUUCAUUCUGAAAGGGAAAUGUGCCCUUGGGCCAUUUCUAAGUAUUUUGGUGAUUGAGUGCCAACACAAGUGCUUAAAUGUGAAAUCAUGUUUGUGGAUGGACAAAGUGCAAAUCAAGAGCAAAGGUAUGUUUCUAUGUCUUAGUACAUUGGUUUUGUGUACUAAUAUACUUGUCUAAGUAUUGGAAACAGGAAGAAAAAGAAAAGAAAAGAGUUGGCUGUGUACAGCCAAGGGGCUGUUUCGGUCUGGGGCACCGGACUGUCCGGUGGUGCACCGGACAGUGUCCGGUGCGCCAGGCUGCCUCGGCCGAAGAGGCCGCUCUCGGGAAUUUUGCUGACGGCGUACGGCUAAAAUUCACCGGACUGUCCGGUGAGUCAACGGUCGCCAGGGCCAACGGUCGGCCGCGGAUUCUGCGCGCGACACGUGGCCAAGCCAACGGCCGGAAGGGGGCACCGGACUGUCCGGUGUGCACCGGACAUGUCCGGUGCGCCAACGGCUCCCAGAUCUGCAACGGUCGGCUUCGCCAUUUAAGGAAAGGAAUCGGGCACCGGACACUGUCCGGUGUGCACCGGACUGUCCGGUGCGCCCGAUGACAGAAGGCAAGGAUGGCCUUCCUGAUUUGUUCUCAACGGCUCCUAGCUGCCUUGGGGCUAUAAAAGGGACCCCUAGGCGCAUGGAGGAAAUACCAAGCAUUCCUACAACAUUCUUAAGCACCAAGACAUCACUCUCGCGCAUUCGUUUCAUUGUGAUAGCAUCUAGAGCUCUUGUUGAGUUGCGAACUCUUUGAGUUGUGUUGCGAGCUCUUGUUGCAACUUGUGUGCGCGUUGUUGCUCUGUUCUUUUGAAGUCUUGUGUGCGUUGCUCAUUCCCCCUUUGCUCUGUGUUCUUUGUGAACUUCAAUUGUAAGGGCGAGAGGCUCCAAGUUGUGGAGAUUCCUCGCAAACGGGAUUGAGAAAAAGCAAGCAAAACACCAUGGUAUUCAAGUGGGUCUUUGGACCACUUGAGAGGGGUUGAUUGCAACCCUCGUCCGUUGGGACGCCACAACGUGGAGUAGGCAAGCGUUGGUCUUGGCCGAACCACGGGAUAAACCACUGUGUCAACUCUGUGAUUGAUCUCUUGUGGUAUUGUGUUUUGUUGAGACUCCUUUCUAGCCACUUGGCAUUUAUUGUGCUAACACUUAACAAGUUUUUGUGGCUAUAAGUUUAAGUUAUACAGGAUCACCUAUUCACCCCCCCUCUAGGUGCUCUCAAUUGGUAUCAAAGCCGUUCUCUUCAAGAAAGGGACUAACUGCCUGAAGAGAUGGAUCCUAAGGGGAAGGGAAUCGUGAUCAACGACAAGGAAAAGGAGUCCUUCGUCAACGAGCCAAAAGAUGACAAAUCCAACGACUCUGGCUCGGGCCACAGACGUAAAGAUGGGAAGAAGACGACGACAACGACUACAGGAAGACGGUCAAUUCGAACUUUUCAUUUGAUUAUUCUCGUAUUCCACAUAGUUCGAAUUCGCAUUUGCUUUCCAUUCCUCUUGGCAAACCUCCACACUUUGAUGGGGAGGACUACGGAUUUUGGAGUCACAAAAUGCGUAGUCAUUUAUUCUCUCUCCAUCCAAGCAUAUGGGAGAUUGUAGAGAAUGGAAUGAAAUUUGAUAGCUCGGAUAGCCCUAUGUUUAUUAAUGAACAAAUUCAUAAAAAUGCACAAGCUACUACUGUGUUGCUAGCCUCUUUGUGCAGGGACGAGUACAAUAAGGUGAGCGGCUUGGACAAUGCCAAGCAGAUAUGGGACACCCUCAAGAUUUCUCACGAGGGGAAUGACAUCACCAUGCUCACUAAAAUGGAGUUGGUGGAGGGCGAGCUUGGAAGGUUUGCAAUGAUAAGGGGCGAGGAGCCAACCCAAACAUACAACCGGCUCAAGACCCUCAUCAACAAAAUAAGGAGUUAUGGAAGCACGCGAUGGACGGAUCACGACGUCGUUCGCCUAAUGCUAAGGUCAUUUACCGUUCUUGAUCCUCAUCUCGUGAACAAUAUUCGUGAGAAUCCCAGGUACACGAAGAUGACGCCCGAGGAGGUACUCGGAAAAUUCGUAAGCGGGCGGAUGAUGAUCAAGGAGGCAAGAUACGUGGACGACGCCUUGAAUGGACCGAUCAACGAGCAUCAACCCCUUGCUCUCAAGGCAACAAGUAGCAAGGUGGCACAAAUUGAGGCGGCCGAACUUAAUGAUGAAGAGAUGGCUCUCAUCAUCAAAUGCUUCAAGACGGUGCUAAAAGGUCACAAGGGGCAGCCAAGCAAGACCAAGACAAAGGGGAAGCGCUCAUGCUUCAAGUGCGGUAAGAUUGGUCAUUUUAUCGCUAACUGCCCCGAUAACGAUAGUGACCAGGAACAGGGAAACAAGAGGGAAAAGAAGAAGAAUUACAAGAAGGCCAAGGGCGAGGCACACAUCGGAAAGGAGUGGGAUUCAGAUUGCUCCUCCGACUCCGACAAUGAAGGACUCGCCGCCACCGCCUUCAACAAGUCAUCCCUCUUCCCCAACGAGCGUCACACAUGCCUUAUGGCAAGGGAGAAGAAGGUGAGUACUCGAGACUCCACUUAUGCUCCUUCUAGUGAUAAUGAGUCUAGUGAUGAUGAUGACAUAGACUAUUCAUGCUUAUUCAAGGGUUUAGAUAGAUCUAAGAUAGACAAAAUUAAUGAAUUGAUUGAUGCCUUGAAUUAUAAGAAUGUGCUUUUAGAAAAGCAAGAGGAUUUGUUGUAUGAGGAACAUGACAAAUUUGUAGAAGCACAAAAAUCACUUGCAUUAGAGAUUAAGAGAAAUGAAAUGCUUUCUUGUGAGUUGUCUACAUGUCAUGAUUCAAUUGCUAGUUUAAAGAGCAAAAAUGAUGAUUUAAAUGCUAAACUAGAAAAAUCUAGUAAAUCAACAUCUUGUGUAGAACAUGUUGAGAUUUGCACUAGGUGUAAAGAUUUCGAUGUUGAUGCCUGUAGUGAUCAUUUAGUUUCAAUUUCCAAACUAACUGAGGAAUUGGCUAGUCUUAAUGCCCAACUUAAGACUAGCAAGAAUGAAUUUGAUAAACUAAAAUUUGCAAGGGAUGCCUACACGAUCGGUAGACACCCCUCAAUUAAGGAUGGACUUGGCUUCAAGAGGGAAGCCAAGAACUUAACAAGCCAUAAGACUCCGAUUCCCGCUAAGGAGAAAGGGAAGGCCCCUAUGGCUACUAGUGUUAAAAAGAACCAUGCCUUUUUGUAUCAUGAUAGGAAAAAUUCUAGAAAUGCUUUUAGAAGUUAUGAUGCUUAUGAUUCACAUGCUUAUGAUUCUUAUGCUAUGACUGCUUCUAGUUCUCAUGUUGUGCAUGAAAGAAAUGUUGGUAGAAGAAAUGUUGUUAAUAUUCCUAGGAAAGUUAAUGAGCCUUCUACAAUAUAUCAUGCUUUGAAUGCUUCCUUUGCAAUUUAUAGAAAGGAUAGAAAGGUAAUUGCUAGAAAGUUAGGGGCAAAAUGCAAGGGUGAUAAAACUUGCAUUUGGGUCCCUAAGGAUAUUUGCACUAACCUUGUAGGACCCAACAAGAGUUGGGUACCUAAGUCCCAAGCCUAAAUUUGCCUUGCAGGUUUAUGCAUCCGGGGGUUCAAGCUGGAUUAUUGAUAGCGGAUGCACAAACCAUAUGACGGGGGAGAAGAAGAUGUUCACCUCCUACGUCAAGAAUAAUGAUUCCCAAGAUUCAAUUAUAUUCGGUGAUGGGAAUCAAGGCAAGGUAAAAGGAUUAGGUAAAAUUGCAAUCUCAAAUGAGCACUCAAUUUCUAAUGUGUUUUAGUUGAGUCCUUGGGAUAUAAUUUGCUAUCUGUUAGUCAAUUAUGCAACAUGGGGUAUAACUGUCUAUUUACAAAUGAAGAUGUGUCUGUCUUUAGAAGAAGUGAUGGUUCACUAGCUUUUAAGGGUGUAUUAGACGACAAACUUUAUUUAGUUGAUUUUGCAAAAGAGGAAGCCGGUCUAGAUGCAUGCUUAAUAGCUAAGACUAGCAUGGGCUGGCUGUGGCAUCGCCGCUUAGCACAUGUGGGGAUGAAGAACCUUCACAAGCUUCUAAAAGGAGAACACGUGAUAGGUUUGACUAACGUGCAAUUCGAAAAAGAUAGACCUUGUGCAGCUUGUCAAGCAGGUAAACAAGUGGGAGGAGCACAUCACAGCAAGAAUGUGAUGACCACUUCAAGACCCCUGGAGCUGCUGCAUAUGGACCUCUUCGGACCUGUCGCCUAUCUGAGCAUAGGAGGGAGUAAGUAUGGUCUAGUUAUUGUUGAUGACUUUUCCCGCUUCACUUGGGUGUUCUUUUUGCAGGAUAAGUCUGAAACCCAAGGGACCCUCAAGCGCUUCCUCAGGAGAGCUCAAAAUGAGUUUGAGCUCAAGGUGAAGAAGAUAAGAAGCGACAACGGAUCCGAGUUCAAGAACCUUCAAGUGGAGGAGUUCCUUGAGGAGGAAGGGAUCAAGCAUGAGUUCUCCGCUCCCUACACACCACAGCAAAAUGGUGUGGUAGAGAGGAAGAACAGGACGCUAAUUGAUAUGGCGAGGACUAUGCUUGGAGAGUUCAAGACCCCCGAGCGAUUUUGGUCGGAAGCCGUGAACACGGCUUGCCACGCCAUCAACAGGGUCUACCUUCACCGCCUCCUCAAGAAGACGUCGUAUGAGCUACUAACCGGUAACAAACCCAAUGUAUCGCACUUUCGUGUAUUUGGGAGCAAGUGCUACAUUCUAGUAAAGAAGGGUAGAAAUUCUAAAUUUGCUCCCAAAGCAGUAGAAGGGUUUUUGUUAGGUUAUGACUCAAAUACAAAGGCGUAUAGAGUCUUCAACAAAUCAUCAGGUUUGGUUGAAGUCUCUAGCGACGUUGUAUUUGAUGAGACUAAUGGCUCUCCAAGAGAGCAAGUUGUUGAUUGUGAUGAUGUAGAUGAAGAAGAUGUUCCGACGGUCGCUAUACAAACUAUGGCGAUUGGAGAAAUGCGGCCACAGGAACAAGAUGAACGAGAUGAACCAUCUUCCUCAACUAUGGUGCUACCCCCAACUCAAGACGAUGAACAUGUUCAUCAACAGGAGGCGUGUGAUCAAGGGGGAGCACAAGAUGAUCAUGUGAUGGAGGAAGAUGCGCAACCGGUACCUCCAACCCAAGUUUGAGCGAUGAUUCAAAGGGAUCAUCCCGUCGACCAAAUUCUGGGUGACAUUAGCAAGGGAGUAACUACUCGAUCUAGAUUAGUUAAUUUUUGUGAGCAUUACUCCUUUGUCUCUUCUAUUGAGCCCUUCAGGGUAGAGGAGGCCUUGCUAGAUCCGGACUGGGUGUUGGCCAUGCAGGAGGAGCUCAACAACUUCAAGCGCAAUGAAGUUUGGACACUGGUGCCUCGUCCCAAGCAAAAUGUUGUGGGAACCAAGUGGGUGUUCCGCAACAAACAGGACGAGCACGGGGUGGUGACGAGAAACAAGGCUCGACUUGUGGCAAAAGGUUAUGCCCAAGUCGCAGGUUUGGAUUUCGAGGAGACUUUUGCUCCUGUGGCUAGGCUAGAAUCAAUUCGUAUCUUGCUAGCAUAUGCCGCUCACCAUUCUUUCAGGUUGUACCAAAUGGAUGUGAAGAGCGCUUUCCUCAACGGGCCAAUCAAGGAGGAGGUGUACGUGGAGCAACCCCCUGGCUUCGAGGAUGAACGGUACCCCGACCAUGUGUGUAAGCUCUCUAAGGCGCUCUAUGGACUUAAGCAAGCCCCAAGAGCAUGGUAUGAAUGCCUUAGAGACUUUCUAAUUGUUAAUGCUUUCAAGGUUGGGAAAGCCGAUCCAACUCUUUUUACUAAGACUUGCAAUGGUGAUUUGUUUGUGUGCCAAAUUUAUGUCGAUGACAUAAUAUUUGGUUCUACUAACCAAAAGUCUUGUGAAGAGUUUAGCAGGGUGAUGACGCAGAAAUUCGAGAUGUCGAUGAUGGGCGAGUUGAACUACUUCCUUGGGUUCCAAGUGAAGCAACUCAAGGACGGCACUUUCAUCUCCCAAACGAAGUACACGCAAGACUUGCUAAAGAGGUUUGGGAUGAAGGACGCCAAGCCCGCAAAGACGCCGAUGGGAACCGACGGACACACAGACCUCAACAAAGGAGGUAAGUCCGUUGAUCAAAAAGCGUACCGGUCCAUGAUAGGUUCUUUGCUUUAUUUAUGUGCUAGUAGACCGGAUAUUAUGCUUAGCGUAUGCAUGUGUGCUAGAUUUCAAUCCAAUCCUAAGGAGUGUCACUUAGUGGCGGUGAAGCGAAUUCUUAGAUAUUUAGUUGCUACGCCUUGCUUCGGGCUCUGGUAUCCAAAGGGGUCUACCUUUGACUUAGUUGGAUACUCAGACUCCGACUAUGCUGGAUGUAAGGUCGAUAGGAAGAGUACAUCGGGGACGUGCCAAUUCUUAGGAAGGUCCCUGGUGUCAUGGAAUUCUAAGAAACAAACUUCCGUUGCCCUAUCCACCGCUGAGGCCGAGUAUGUUGCCGCAGGACAGUGUUGCGCGCAACUACUUUGGAUGAGGCAAACCCUCCGGGACUUUGGCUACAAUCUGAGCAAAGUCCCACUCCUAUGUGAUAAUGAGAGUGCUAUCCGCAUGGCGGAAAAUCCUGUUGAACACAGCCGCACAAAGCACAUAGACAUCCGGCAUCACUUUUUGAGAGACCACCAGCAAAAGGGAGAUAUCGAAGUGUUUCAUGUUAGCACCGAGAACCAGCUAGCCGAUAUCUUUACAAAGCCUCUAGAUGAGAAGACCUUUUGCAGGCUGCGUAGUGAGCUAAAUGUCUUAGAUUCGCGGAACUUGGAUUGACUUAUAGCAUACAUGUGUUUAUGCCAUUGAUCAUGUUCCUUAUGCAUUUUGUUGCUUAUUGAUGGUGCUCAAGUUGUACAAGCACUCCCCGGACCUCACAAGUCCUUUUGCAAGUGAUGCACACAUUUAGGGGGAGAUGUGCUACAACUUGACCCUUUGAGACUAACCAUUUGUUUGAGUUUGCUUGAUUUAGUCUCGAAGGAGAAUUGAAAGGGAAAAGGUGGACUUGGACCAUGCAAGACUUCCACUGCACUCCGAUGAGAGGGUAAUUUAUUCCAAGUUCAUCUCUAUGAUCUUAUUGCCUUUGUACUCUUAAUUGAAGAUUUUGGUGAGGCAAUGGGGUUAAAGGGCCAAGAUUGACCCCGUUUUGGUGCUUGAUGCCAAAGGGGGAGAAAAUAAAGGCCAAAGCAAUAAAUGGAUCAGCUACCACUUGAGAUUUUGAAAAUAGUAGAAUAGAGAUUUUCGUUUUGGCAAAACUCUUUUAUUGUCUCUCUUAUCAAAAGUUGGCUUCUUGUGGGGAGAAAUGUUGAUUAUGGGAAAAAGGGGGAGUUUUUGAAAUCUGUGACCAAUCUCUUUUGGAAUAACUCUCUAUAUGCUUCAACAUGUGUGUUUGACCUAGAGAUAGAGAUUUGAGUUUGAUUUGCAAGAACAGACCAAGUGGUGGCAAAGGAUGAUCCAUAUAUGCCAAAAUUGAAUAAAACUCAAAUUUAUUUUUAUUUGAAGUGAUUUUGCACUUGUUCUAGUUGCUUUAUGUUGUGUUGGCAUAAAUCACCAAAAAGGGGGAGAUUGAAAGGGAAAUGUGCCCUUGGGCCAUUUCUAAGUAUUUUGGUGAUUGAGUGCCAACACAAGUGCUUAAAUGUGAAAUCAUGCUUGUGGAUGGACAAAGUGCAAAUCAAGAGCAAAGGUAUGUUUCUAUGUCUUAGUACAUUGGUUUUGUGUACUAAUAUACUUGUCUAAGUAUUGGAAACAUGAAGAAAAAGAAAAGAAAAGAGUUGGCUGUGUACAGCCAAGGGGCUGUUUCGGUCUGGGGCACCGGACUGUCCGGUGGUGCACCGGACAGUGUCCGGUGCGCCAGGCUGCCUCGGCCGAAGAGGCCGCUCUCGGGAAUUUUGCUGACAGCGUACGGCUAAAAUUCACCGGACUGUCCGGUGUGCACCGGACUGUCCGGUGAGUCAACGGUCGCCAGGGCCAACAGUCGGCCGCGGAUUCUGCGCGCGACACGUGGCCAAGCCAACGGUCGGAAGGGGGCACCGGACUGUCCGGUGUGCACCGGACAUGUCCGGUGCGCCAACGGCUCCCAGAUCUGCAACGGUCGGCUUCGCCAUUUAAGGAAAGGAAUCGGGCACCGGACACUGUCCGGUGUGCACCGGACUGUCCGGUGCGCCCGAUGAUAGAAGGCAAGGAUGGCCUUCCUGAUUUGUUCUCAACGGCUCCUAGCUGCCUUGGGGCUAUAAAAGGGACCCCUAGGCGCAUGGAGGAAAUACCAAGCAUUCCUACAACAUUCUUAAGCACCAAGACAUCACUCUCGCGCAUUCGUUUCAUUGUGAUAGCAUCUAGAGCUCUUGUUGAGUUGCGAACUCUUUGAGUUGUGUUGCGAGCUCUUGUUGCAACUUGUGUGCGCGUUGUUGCUCUGUUCUUUUGAAGUCUUGUGUGCGUUGCUCAUUCCCCCUUUGCUCUGUGUUCUUUGUGAACUUCAAUUGUAAGGGCGAGAGGCUCCAAGUUGUGGAGAUUCCUCGCAAACGGGAUUGAGAAAAAGCAAGCAAAACACCGUGGUAUUCAAGUGGGUCUUUGGACCACUUGAGAGGGGUUGAUUGCAACCCUCGUCCGUUGGGACGCCACAACGUGGAGUAGGCAAGUGUUGGUCUUGGCCGAACCACGGGAUAAACCACUGUGUCAACUCUGUGAUUGAUCUCUUGUGGUAUUGUGUUUUGUUGAGACUCCUUUCUAGCCACUUGGCAUUUAUUGUGCUAACACUUAACAAGUUUUUGUGGUUAUAAGUUUAAGUUAUACAGGAUCACCUAUUCACCCCCCUCUAGGUGCUCUCACAUUCUCAAUAGGAUCUCCUCCUGAUAGGGCCUGAAAUCUUUUCCUCCAGGUGGGGGUAUUCUUGUUGCUGGGUGGAAAGUAGCGAAGGGGGGUUUCAAAGAUCACUUUGUUGUAGUUCUGGCACAGUUGUCAGAGGGCUGUUCGGGCAACAUUCUGGCAAGUAUCUAGGAAACGGUAUCCGGUAAAAGUGACUUGGAAGGAAGAAUGGUUUGGAUAGUUUCGGCUUUCUCCCAGGUAGACUGCCAUAGAGCAUUUCUCCAUUCCGCCCUCGAUAUACUCUGUCCAGACGUACUCCGGCUUCUUGCGGAUUCCCAUGCGAAGCGCACAACUUCGCAAGAGAUGUGGGAACCCUUCCACCUCUGAGCAGUAGGAUAUCCUAAUGGCCAGAGAGUCUUCCAUCUGGAAUAGGAAAAGAAGGGUCUUGUUAAAAUCGGGGGAGAGGAGAGAAAACUUUUCUUGGGGCAAGCGUUAUUUUCUUUUUAGGGCAAGUUUUAAGGUCAGGGCUGUGUCCUACGGCCAGUCCUAUGGCUCCGAUACCACCUGAAGCGUCCCGAUCCUUUGGGACUCAAAUGUGAUACAAAUACUAGUCCCAGGAGGCUAGUAAACACAUUUCUUACUUCAAAUAGUACAAAGUUUAUAUAAAGGUUAUUACAAUACCGGGGUACAAGCUCGAGAGAGCCAAAAUAAGAAGCGCAGUAGGAAAAUAUACUAGCCCAAGCCACAGGCAGAACUGGGUGCAGACACAGCCCCCUCAAUCAAGCAUAGCAGAAAAGAAGUCUUCGGCUGCUGAAAAACAUAAAUAAAUCUGGGUGAAUACACUAGGUAUUCCGCAAGCCCACCCCGCUCCCGUAGAGAGAAAGAGACCUAUAAUAUACAUGCUUUAUUUGGUGGAGUUGAAGUCACUCAUCAUUUUCUUAGAGAAAGGCAGUUACUGUAAGGUUUCUCCCAAAGACUUAAAAGUAGCAAAAUACUCAAGCACCACUGAGCUUCCCGCUCCCGUGGCCCUGUUCUCUUUUUCAGUACCCAUUUACCCACACACAUCCCUAUUCAUGGAACUCAAGGAAAAAUCUCUAAUUGCCAAACCAUACCAGACUCGUCCAUACCAGUGGACACGGACUAUUCGAAUAGGUUUCAACUCUGCGCAGAGGGGUACACUUUACCCACUAGCCCGGUUUCUGCGAUCUCACCGUCGCGAGACCCGAAUGCCGGAUCUCUUUCCUUACCCGUACGUCCUAACCUUAACGGUUAUCCGGAAGGAGUCAGGCCACCACCAUGUCCAAACCGGACAAAACUUUCCCCCUCCUUAUCCUCCCGGUGCUCCCCAGCCUUCUUAACCCUGGGGUUGGACCGCACGAGUUCGGAUUGAGUGACUGCCCACACAGUCUCGAGUGGUUGUAUGAUAAAGGAGUAUAGGUAGUGAAAAUGACAAGCCGGUCCUUAUAUGAGGGGACAAUCCUUCUGCUCACGCCUAAACCAGCUGAGCCAACACCUUAGGCCCUCCCCUAAACCAGGGAGUCCUUGAUCAUCCCACUCCCAAGGUGAUGAGGGUGAGUACCCUUCAUCGCAUAACUUUUCAAAAAGAGGUUUUCUUUGGAGAAGCACAUUGCCCUUCUUUCCAAUUCACAUUUCGUAUCAGAAUGUAUAUGUUAAUGCGAGCCAUCUCUCACUCACAAUGCAAUAUUCCCCCAUAAUUCCCGGCCUAGGCAAUGGUAGAGAGAGUAGGUAAUUUAUGCAUCAAGGGAAGGAUGGACUUGCCUUCGUCGAAGCUUUCCUGGCACAGAAGAUCUACUUCCGGAAGUUCGGGCUCUGGUCCCUCUUCCGGGGCUACGGGUUCCGGAUCAACGGUCCCCGCUUCUUCUAGGAAAACAGGCAAUAAAACAAUACAUCAACAGGGAUUCACAAAUUAUAGUGUGUCAUUUUCUAACAUCAUUAUUGCAUGUGACCUUAGAAAUUAUUUUUGAUAAUUUUUGGUGCAUAAAAUAUUGAGGAGACUAAUUAAAGGAGGAAAAUGCUGAAAAAGGAAAAAGAAAAAGGGUUUCAGCUCUGGUGGGCCGGGGGAAAGGAAUCUGGCCCAGCCAGACGCAGCGCGCGCGCGAGGGCGCCAGCCCAGCUGCGGCCCAGUGCGGGUGACGGCACGGGCGCGCGAGGGGACGACGCCGUUGUCGUGGGCCCACAUGCCAGCGAGAGCAGAGGGGGGGGGGGAACGACGUCACGGUUGACGGUGGUGCGAACCGGUCGCCCGCGGGGAGGGAACCCGGCCGCCAGUGGGCUCGGCGGCGAUUCGCCGCUGGUGGCCCGGUUCUUGGACAAUGCGUAGGUGCCUUAGCACGGGGAGGGGCUGGCGAGCCUAGAGGUGGGCUCAAUUUGGCUAGAGGGGGCCGGGAGGGGGCUGUCCGCGGGGAGGCGGUGGAGCUUCGCGGCGGGGUUGCCGUCGGUGAGCUCUGGGCGAGCAAUCGGGGUGGGGGAGUGGUGUACUGCGUUCGUGGCGGUGUGGCAAAGCUAGGAGGCCAAGCAAUCGCUUGAUGGACCAACAGAGGGGCAGGGAGAAGAGAGGGACGACUCACCAGGGAGGAAGACGAUGGCGGCGGCCUUUCCACGAAUUGAGCUCGGACGAGGGAGGAGAGGAAUGGCCGAGGCCGGUGCGAGGAAGGAGGGGCUCGGUGCGUCCCUUUUAUAGGCGCACGAGGGAAGGGGAGCGGUGGAGCCUCACGGCGGGGCGGUACCGGCGAGGACGCUGGUCAAGGGGGGGGGGGGGGGGGAGGACGGAGCGGUGCCAAACUUCCCUGUGCGACGAGAAGACGGAGGAGGGGACGGAGGCGGUGGCCGGAGGUGACCGCGAUGAAGGGACGACAGGGAAGACGACGAAGCGACUGACAAGCGGGGCCAUACUGCCAGUGGGAGUGAUCGCGAGCGAGGCGAGGGAUGGGGCGGCUGAUGGGUGGGGACGGCUCGUCAGCGAGAGAGAGAGCGCGCAGGGCGAGCUGGCGAGCGUGCGCGAGAGCGGGCCGGAAAUGGGCCGGGGGGAGGGAGUUGCGGACGCGAGGGGGGGGGGGGAGAGCGGCCGCGGCAUGGGCUGGAUUCAGCCCAGCAGAGGGGGGAGGGCUUUUCUCUUUUUCUUUUUAUUUUCUAAUUCCUUUAUCCAUUUUUUUAUAUCUUUUUCCUUUGAACAAUUAAUAGAUAAUCUUAGGUGCUGAAAAAUAAAAUCUAAGUGAGGUGCUUGUGAUCAAACAAGGUGUAUGCAUAUGAUGAAAGAAAAUUUAAGGGAGUUCUUGGAAUUUAGAGGAUGAAAAGGGGAGAGGGGUAGCUUAGGGUUUCGAACCUAGGUUAGGAUUUUUGGGAUGUUAUAGGAACCUCCUGGGCGCACGCAUGAAAACUAUUAAGUAACCCUUGUUAGGGUUAUGUGGGCAAAUACUGACUUUGCCCCUGAGGGGUCUCACAUCUCUAUAUAAGGAACAUGUACCCCCUCAUAAGAGAGAAGAGAAGAGAAAGAGGCCAGAGGCCCAACCCUACAUCAUGUGUCUUGUGUGCUCUCUGUCGUGCUUCUGGGAAGAGAAACGAGUCUUCCACAUCUUCUCGCGCCUAAUCUGCUGACGGGAGGGAAGGCAGCGGAUCUGGUGAUCCGUGGUAACAUAGUUCUCAACACGUUAUCAACACGCUCUACCUCGACGUUGCUGCGAGACCAGAUCUGCAUCAACUCUCUGUCAAGUCGGUAGGUCACCGGCCUAUCCGAAUUGUCUACGCGACAAUCUUUGUUUCGGUUCCCUGGAUUAAGAAACGCAGUAUUUAAUUUCUAGAUUGGAUCUACUAUUUACUUUCUAAACUAUUUUUUGCACCGGAAAAAACGCGCACCUACGCCAACUGCGCCCUACGCCGCCAUACCCGCUUGUGCUACGCGCCCGCUUGAGCGCUGCACGGCUGCACCACCGUCUCUACGACACGCUCGAUAUCGCCAUUAGCUUUCGCGUGCUCGACCAGCAGUUUAGCACGCGUUGGAGUCGUCCUUGGACCACUCAGGGCUAAAAGUUGCAUCUCGGAGAAGCGGGCGUCCAAGAUCCUAGAGAUCUUUCGCGCCGAUGAAGGCAAGCAGGUCACGGAUCAGCUCGCUUCGGCGGUAGGCAACAACGGUCGCGGCUUGGUGGCCUGUGGCUAAGGACUACCACUGUCGUUGUGCCGCAUCAACGUAGACUGGUACUGGGCACCGCGAGCUUCUGCGGGAAACUAGCACAUCGCGCACGUACGCAGCUGGUCCACGAGCGCGCAAAUAGAGGCGGACGCUGCGGGGCCAGAGUGUGAUGACAGAAAAAAAUCUCCAGAAUAACGAAAAGAUACGCAAUGCGCUGCUGCGGCGUGAGACGAGGGCGAGCGCCUGACGCGCGGAUCUGCGGAGGCGCCCGAGUCCACGUACCGGUUUCAGCUACAUGUAUACGCAUGCAGACGAGCUUUUGUGCAUGCAUCGUAUGACUACCUAGUGGUGUUGUUUAUUAGUGAGCUAGAAGCUCCUAGCACCAAUAGUACGCACAUGUGCCUGCAGUGCUUCUUAGGAGCGGCUACAAAAUAAUUAAGGAAAUGAAAAGACAAAUUUGGUUUUACAGUUUGUUCCAUAAAUUCUUGUCGAAUUAAACAACUUUGGUAGAAUUUUAAGUUGUAGACAUGGUUUUAUGUUACAAUUUCAAUCUUAAUUAAAUAUUUUCUGUCGCAAAUAAUUAGAAAAAAAAACACAUGCUUUUAGAGCCAAACAAAAAAGUUUUAUCUGUAGUGCUACAACUGGAUGAUUGUGGUUGGGGAUUUUAUCUGUAUGCUUUCAGAACAUCUCGACAUUCGGGGGAGGAAUGCCCAUAUAGUGUAAUGCCUCAAUAUUCUAUUAAACGCACAAAAGCCAAACUGAACAUGUCGUUCAGUGUGUACUCUUGUGUAUAUGGAGUUUGUCAGAAAUCGUUGAGGAGUAACCGUAUAGGUUUAAAUGCUUCUACCUGAUGUAGAUGUGGAUAUACCCUGGAUUAAUAUCAUAUCCGCAUUUGACUUAUUGGCAUUUGAUCUAUUCUCGGGGACGCCCGCGAAUAUGAUCCAUCGGCCUUAGUCAAAGCAUAUGUUCUGAUUACAGAUUCACAUGGUCUGUGAUAACUUUCCUCCGAUUUAUUCACCCUGAUGGUGAUUUGCCUCACGAAGAGGUUCAUCUUGAUGAUGAAGUUCCUAGCAAUGCGCGCAAUAUCAUUGUGCUGGGAAUACAGAACAAUGAAUCUUUUGUUUUGGGAAAUUAUAGAGAUCAUUAUUAAAUGUGGGAGACAAAUAUGUCAACACCUAUCUUUCCUCUCUAGAUUGCAAACGGAUCCAAAACAAAGUCCUAGGCAUGAGUGCUUUAAGCUCUUUUAUCGGGUCAAUGAUAAAUGCAAUCGAGGUUGAACCAAUAAUCGCAAAAUUAAAGUCGCGAGCUUGACAUUCGGACAUUUAUGGGCACUACUGAAAUAAUGCGUGGUGAAUGUGAUGGUUCAAGUGGUCUUGUGAUAGACCCAUCCCUCAUAUGUGUUGAAUUAACAUUGUUCUGCUAUGUAAUAUAUCUGGCAAAUGGCAUGAAUUAAAAUAUGCAAUUAAUAGGAUUCUGAAGAUCCUUCAUGAGAUCCUAGGAGGACUCAUAUCUUUGAAUUAUAAAUAUGCAACAUAUAAAUCUUGUACUGGAUAAUACAUUCCUGAUGAAUGAUCACUCUCCUAUGUAGAAAGAAUAUCUCCUAGAUGAGAUUAUAGUUCCUUGAUGGAACCUUUCCAGAAGAAAUAAAGUCUGUGUUAAACACCAAAGUUUGAUAACCCAUAUAACGGGAUAAAGACCCAUACAGACCCGAAAAGGAAUAAGAUGAGGUACCGAAGGACUUAAAGUUCAUCGAAUAAGCACAUGUGCAUGUCACGAGUUUUACCGAGUGUAUGUACACUCAUGUAUUCCACCAUAUGUGGAAUUGUGGUAUCCUCAAAAACCCUGAUGGCAGAAACCUAGAAGGUUUAGGUGUUACUGGCAAAAUAUCCCCAUUAUGCCAGAAUGACAGACUAUAACGAUGUAUCUGAUCGAUGAAGAAUCCCUAAAGGAUUAUGAUCUUUGAUGGACUUAUGUUACACCAUCAUAUAAGUUGUAAUGAAUGAACGCCUGGAGCGAUGAGUCAUAUCUAGAAUGUGUACUAUCACAACUAUUGUAUCCCCUAAGUCCUGUGGAAGGACAAGUUAUUUGAUUUGCACAACUAUGUAUAUAUUGUGGUGUGUGAUAGAACGAAAGGUGUAGCUGCCUAUCCCCAUCCAUGCUCAUUAUUUUAGAUGAACAAUGAGGCAUAUAUCUUGAAGAAUAUUUUUAAGUUAUGAGGGAUAAUGACUUUGACGGAUGUCAUCGUCAGGGGGAGUGUAUGCUAAAUCUUGAUCAUAAUUGUGAGAAAUUGAAUGUCAUAUUGUAUGCCCUAAAGGCGUCAGUUUGAUCAAUAUGUGAACCUUUAUGAAAGUUUCUAUCAAAUAUGUAGAUCUAGUCGAUCGAACGCCACUAGUCAAGAUGACUUAUUUAUAUUGAUACAUGCACUUACCUCGUAUAUCCUAAAAGUGAGUAGAGGUGAAGUUCCGGAUAUAAUCAUUGCAACAAUAUGUAAUUCAUUUACUAAGUCUCUGUAUGCAUAUACUUCCAGAAGAAGAUGUUUUUCAUAUUGAGACAAUUUUGCAAAGAUCAAGGGGAUCACAUUUAUAAAGUUAUCCAUUGUAGAAGAUUCGAUGGAAUCUAGAUCUAGAAGAUCGAAAUCUGUCCUAAUGACAGCUGUUGUACUCUUUUUCCCUUAGUGAGUUUUCUUGAAGUUUCUCAUGUAAGGUUUUUAACGAGGCAACAAAGUGCAAAUGCAAUUUGCGUCACCAUGUACUCUUUCUCCAUAUUUUCCCACUGAGUUUUUGGGAGUUUUAAAGAGGCGUGUGUUGGUCGCGGUAUUCGCCCAAGGGGGAGUGUUAAGUAACCCUAGUUAGGGUUAUGUGGGCAAAUACCGACUUUGCCCCUGAGAGGUCUCACAUCUCUAUAUAAGGAACAUGUACCCCCUCAUAAGAGAGAAAUAAGAGAAAGAGGCUAGAGGCCCAACUCUACAUCAUGUGUCUUGUGUGCUCUCUGUCGUGCUUCUGGGAAGGGAGACGGGUCUUCCACAUCUUCUCGCGCCUAAUCUGCUGACGAGAGGGAAUGGAGCGGAUCUGGUGAUCUGUGGUAAAAUAGUUCUCAACAAAAACAACCCAAUGGAACGUGGCCACUUUUAGGACUUUUCUUUGGCCACUUCUACCGUGCAUGAUCUUCUAUGGAUAGGUUCUUAUGGCCAACUAGGUUGUUAAUCCCUUAACCAGUCAUAUUGCGCCACAUAGCUCAAUUCGGUAACUAUUCAUGUCUUUUUGUGUUAUAAAUCCGCUUCGACCCGUUUUAGUCACGUUAACUUUAUAAUAAAUAAAGUGCACAUUAGUAAUAUUGUUUUGUCAUGACGUAUGUUAUAAUUAAUUAAUUAUUCAUUUAGUGGUUAUUAGAACGACCUUCCAAUUAAAACUAAUUUAUAGUUUUAAUUUAUGCAUUUAUAAAUAAACGUUACUAUGAUUAAUAGUAAUCAAAUGUUUUGAUUCAAUAUUACUUAGUGUGAUUACGAUGUGUGUUUAGCAGUUCUCAUAUGUCGUGUCGUUUAUAAUCCGCGGAUUGUUAUUUAUUCGAUAUAUUAUCCGUCCUAAACCCGUUUCGGCUCGUUUCGGUUGCGUCAAUUUCGUAACAUCAACGAUUUCAUAUUAGUACAAUUAUUUUUGUCGCGAUGCAUGUUUUACUUAUUUAUUUAUUUAUAUAUCCAACAAUUAUUAAAGUAACAAUCUAAUUAAACUAAUCUAUAGUUUUAGUUGCGUUUUAUAAAUAUUUGUUGUAUAAUCGUGCCUACUCGAAUGUUUUUGAAUUAAUACUUACUCACUGUAAACGCAACAUCUAUUUAAUAGUUCUCGCGUGUAGCGCACGCUGUUUCGCACAGUGUCGCGUGUCGUCACGCGUCUUUCGCUCGUUGUCGCGCGCGUUAUUAAAUUGUUUUCGCUUAUGAUCAUUCAUAUUAAUUAAUCACCUGUGUAGCUGUUAACUAUUAGAAUAUCAAAAUAAUUGAAACUAAGCAGUUGCAUUAAUUUAUAUUUUAUAAAUGUCUGCUAAUAUAAUCAUGCUGAAAAUAAGUAUUAUAGUUAAUACCCACUAAGCAUAAAAGCGAUAUCAUUAGCGUUCUUUGCGUGUCAUGCCUUUUCAGGAUUAACUGCUUAAAUGUAGCAAGUCCUAUGCAAUGUUUAUAAAUAUAAUCUGAUUAUUUUUAAAGUCGUAAUUAGUAUUUAACAUAGCUAAUAUUAGCUUAACUACUUUUUAUUUAUUUAAUAUUUGUUUAGUAUAAACGCGUCCCCUAUUUAGUUUUUCUCGCCUGUCGCUCGUUCUGUUCCGCAGCGGUGGCGUGCUGCUUCACGUGUCGUUCGCGUGCUGUUUUGCACGCGUCGUCAUACUGUCUGCGUGCUGUUCGCGCGUGAUGUUCUCGUGGUCGCGUGCUGAUUCGCGCGUCAUUCGCACUGGUCGCACACACUGUUUCGUGUGUCGUCAGUGUUCUAUGUCGCGCGUGUCCGCGUGUCGUUUGCACACUGUCUUGUUGUUUUGCGCGUCGUAAAUUUGCCUCGUUUAGAAUCUCUCGCUUUAAUUAAAUUAUUGGUUUAACAGACAACUGCUAGCGUAACAGAUUAAAAGAAACUAAAAAGUAGAUAUAAUUUAUAUUUGAUAAUAUUGAAUCAAAGGUUAUAGUUAUACUUGUUUAGUGUAAAAACGCUAACCCCUCGACCGUAGCUUCGUUUAUCGCGGUUCUUUUUCUCGCGUAACUGUAGAAGUGCUCUCUAUAUUGCUUGCUUUUAUAAUAUUUUAUCUUGUAUGGUGUAAUGUUCUUAUGUAAGUAUAUGUUUGCUUGUGUCUGUCUGUAUUCGUUGCACAUCACGAAUAGACUGCGAUCCAUUUUCGAGCUUCGAGGGAUCGAAGAUCAAGCUUCGGUGACCAAAUGAUCCAGUUCUUCGAGUUCCACGAGAUUGAAGACCCUGAGCAUCUGUUUGGUGAAGGCAAGUGUCCUCUGACCCAUUAUGUCAUGUUUAAUUUAUAAUUCACUAUCCUGCAUUACUGAAUUGAAACCUAAAGAUUGACUAGCUUUGUAUUUAUCUUAUCCUUGUUUACCUUUUGGGUUAUUAUGAUUAGCACUAUGCUAUCGCUUUACUUUAAUCAAUGAACAUGAUGUGAAUAUUAUGAUACGAUGAUGUUAUCCUGAUGAUGUUCUUGUGAUAAUUUAGGGGACUCUGGUUGUUUCCUGAGUACCUCUCCGUAAGGACCUCUUUGGGGAGUGACAACCCGAGAUAACAGUGCAACCAUGAGGGUGGAAUGGGACGCCCUUAGCUGAUUAAUUAGAGGAACCAGAGGAGUAGUUGGCUUUGCCGUAGGGUCGUCAAUGGUGUCCGGGCAUAGUACUUGCUCUGCCGAGGCUGGUUGCAGAGGUUCUUGAUUUGGUUUUGUUAGUCACCCUUCCUUUGGGGAGAGGUACUGUGUUUAUCAAACUGGAGAAACCUAACGGGCGGCUAUGACCUCUGGGAAAUCUUUGUAAAGGCUACGUAGUGAGACCCUGCCAGGUUACCUUGGUAGUGAUCAAUGGAGAGUCAUGAUCUCCGAGCAAAACGGGAAUCACGACUUGUGGGUAAAGUGUGCGACCUCUGCAGAGGGCUAGAAACUGAUAUAUCAGUCGUGCUCACGGUUAUGAGCGGCCUUGGGAUUCUCUUUGAUUAGAGAUACAGAUGGUUCGAUAUACAAUGGUUCUAUUUAAUAUUUUGGUUCGAUGAUGAUAAUGAUGUUCCUCGAUGAGGAAAUAACUCACGGGUUGGUUGUAUGAUGAAACUUGGCUUCCACUAAUAAUAAAUACAUGACCAACUAAAAGCAACUGCUUUGACCUUAACCCCACAUAAAGUUAGUCCACUUCAGCCAAACGGGACAUUUGCUGAGUACGUUGAUGUGUACUCACCCUUGCUUUCACAAAACACCAGGUUGCCUUUGGUGCAAUCCAUGCUCAGGUAAAGAAGAAGGCGUCGAGGCGGAUCUCCAGGAGUUCCAGGACUUCGACGAGUUCGAUGAUUAGGCUAGCGACCUCCCCAGUCAGCUGCCUGUGGUGGGUUAAUUUUUGUUGGCUACGUUUCGAUUCUGUGUACUUUGAUUUAUAUUAUGCAAAUGACUCUAGUCUUUAAUAUUAUUACAUACUCUUUAUUGUUAUUCAAAGCAUUGUGCUCUGAUGAGUCAUUUAUGUAAUCGCUGUGUACGUGAAUUUCUGAUCCUGGCACGUACAUGGUUCGCAUUCGGUUUACCUUCAAAACCGGGUGUGACAACCCCUGACAUAAAUUAUAUAGACACUUGCAAUUUGUUCCUUUGUAAAUAAAAGGAAACUAUAGAGGAAAUCAGUAGUGUUUUUUUGCUCUCGCUUUGAUUUUGUGUCCAUAGAAGUUUAUCUUUUAAAAUAUUUUUAGCCAUAUUGGAUUUCCUUAGCCCAAAAUAGGUGCCGAGUCCUAGCAAAAGAGAAUGUGAAGGAGUGUAAAGUCAUGGAACUUCAUGUUUUGAUGCUCUAGGUUUUGGAUUGAAAAAUCAAUGGUGACACCAUGCUUGUCUCUUUUUUCUUGAGUUUUUGCAGCAUUAUUGGUAAAUGUUUACGUUAAUGAACAUGUUGACUUUCUUCUUGAAUGGAUCAAUGCCUUUGAGCCCCAACUUUGUUUCAAACAACAAGAAGGUUGUGCAUUGUCCUCUUCAUGUAUAUAAUGUAGGCUAGACUUACAACAUAGCUGUUGGAAGGAAUAAAUGUUGCAUAAACUUUGUCAUUUGCAUUCUUUGAGGAAACAAGUCAAUAUUGGCAUUUGCUGAAGAUAGCUUUACAUCUAAUUGAAUCAAGAAUGACAAUUCAACAUAUACUCCAUCCACACUAGUUUAUUACGUGUCCUAGCUUUUCCCUAAAUUAGUUUCACUAAAUUUACAUAAUUCUUAGAAAAUGUAUCCAAAUUUUGAAGAUCAAUUUUCUUCCAAUGAGUUAUUUAUGACAUAUAUAUUGGUAUUUCAUUUUAGUCAUCAAAAUAUAUUUAGAACUCUAACAAAGCUAUACAAGAUUUGUUUUAGAAAAUACCAAAGAAAAUUGUAAUCAAGAUUACUCGAGAUGUGGGCCAAUUGCCACGUUUACAUAAAAUCAUUGUAAUUUUGUUCAUCCUAUGUUUGUGCAUUCAUCUAUGCAUUUAGGAUUCCAAUUAGUCUCAAUCUUGUAGUAUUUUUUCAUUCAUUGUUUGAUCACUUCUCGUCUAUCUACUAAGCUUGUUCAACCACGAGAAGAAUAUUAGGACAAUAUAUAUUUAUAAACGCUUCGAUAGCAAACUUUACAUAUUCAUCAUGUCUAUAAAAUGGAACAUUUUUUAUGUGGCUAAGGUUGUCACAUGUGUAAAGGUGAAGAGAUGAUGCAUGUCAUCCAAGUAUAUGAAAAUAAUUCCUAUAGAAAAUGACACUUUUUCUUAUAGGUAGUGGAAACUAUCUUUCUAUAUAAUCCGAUGAAACCGAUAACUAAAUGUCGAAAUUGAGUAGGUGCCAUAUCAUCGAUAGCUUAUCUAUUGUUUGGCAAAAAGACAAAAUCCAAAUAUAUAUAUAUGAGAUCUCACAUGUAUGAAUAUCUCCCAAAUCAGUAGUUAAUUCAUCGCCCAUAAUAUUUUGAGCAUUCAGAAACACACAAAGGGAAGUGCACUAGCAACUUCCUAACAACAAUGGCUACCAAGAUAUUAGCCCUCCUUGCGCUCCUUUCCCUUUUAGUGAGCGCAACAACUGCAUUCAUUAUUCCACAAUGCUCACUUGCUCCUAAUGCCAUUAUUCCAUAGUUCCUCCCAUCAAUUACAUCAAUGGGCAUCGAACACCCUGUUGUGCAAGCCUAUAGGCUACAACAAGCGCUUGCGGCGAACGUCUUACAACAACCGUUUGCCCAAUUACAACAACAAUCCUUGGCACAUCUAACCAUACAAAACAUCGCAAUGCAACAACAACAACAUUUUGUGCCAGCACUGAGCCAACUAGCCACGGUGAACCCUGCCGCCUACUUGCAACAGCAACUGCUUGCAUCCAACCCACUUGCUCUGGCAAACAUAGCUGCUUACCAGCAACAACUACAGUUGCAACAGUUUCUGCCAGCUCUCAGUCAACUAGCCAUGGUGAACCCUGCCACAUACCUGCAACAGCAACAACUGCUUUCAUCUAGCCCACUCGCUGUGGGCAAUGUGGCUACAUACCUGCAACAACAGCUGCUACAACAGAUCGUACCAGCUCUCAGUCAGCUAGCUGUGGCGAACCCUGCUGCCUACUUGCAGUAGCUUCUUCCAUUCAACCAACUAGCUGUGGAAAACACUGCUGUAUACCUGCAACAACGACAACAACUACUUAGUCCACUAGUAGUGGCUAACCCAUUGGUCGCAGCCUUCCUGCAACAACAACAAUUUCUGCCAUAAAACCAGAUCUCUUUGAUGAACCCUGCCUUGUCAUGGCAUCAACCGAUCGUUGGAGGUGCCAUCUUUUAGAUUACAAAUGAGAUGUACUUGAUAACAUUGCCCUCAUACCGGCAUGUGCAACUUCCUAUAAAUAAUCAAUAUAUUGAUUGAGAUUUAUCUUGAUCUUUUCUUAACUAUGUUCAUCAUUUAAAUAAUUGAAACAUCAAAUCAAAAUUAUAUACGCAUGAUUGGUCAAUACAUAGACAAUACAAUAUUACUUCUUCAUCCCAAUGAUGUCCUAGCACAACAUCUUGAAUACUACUAUUUGGGUGUGUGAGGGUGUCUUUGUAAGAUAGAUGUGACUAUUUGCACUUCUUGUUGAGUACAAGCAUGUGUGGUAUGUUGAUUUGAUAUAGUGAUGGGUACAAGCUUUGACCAUGGCUUUUUAAAUUAGUUGUACUUGCACCAAGCAAAACAAAAUAAGUUCAGGAGUAAACUUAUAACUGUCAAAGUUGUUGACGCAAAGUCAUUUCACAUAAUUUUUUUGGUAAACAUUCCACACACAUGUUUACAAGAACCCAAAUUUUGCAAGCCGUCAUAAUAUUGUAUAAAUAUAUAGAAUUCUUUGGAGCCCACGAACAUAACAACGCCAUGGCCAUUAAAUCAACUGGACCAAGUCAGCACAAAUUUUGGUGUUGCAAAAACCAAAUUACAAAACUUGUUGGCCAAAACAUUAUGAUGAAUAUGAAGUUUAAAUUAUUAUCCCAUUAAUACUUGCAUGGAAUGCGUUGCUCAGCAUACUAGCUCACUUUUUUGCUUGGUAGCAUUUCCAAAGAUGGGGACCUUGCUGAUGAACAUAAAACCUAGUAAAAUAAUAUUUAUGUUUCGACUUUCUAAUCAUAAAAGUAAAGACCCAAGAUUGAACUACCAAUCGACAAACGCAUCCUCCAAUUUUAUGGAGAACACACUUGGUGUGCCAUUCAUACUUGUAGCUUAGUCCAAUGGAUUGCAUUUUCCUUAUAUGUGUAGAAUGUGGCAAAGGGCAUGAUCUAAAAUGUUAAAUCUAAUGAAAUCAGGAAGUUUAUUACUAGCAUGAUGGUUUACUAUGCCUAGCUCAUAGCACUAGAACCAAUAUAGCCUGCACCCACAUGUCAUAGAAACAGAAGGAAUACCCUAGCACAUUUUUGUGAGCACCCGUGACACAAAUUAUAUAGACUCUUACAAUUUGUUCAUUUGUAAAUAAAAGGAAACAAUAAAGGAAGCGAUAGUGUUUUUUUGCUCUCGCUUUGAUUUUGUGUCCAUAGAAGUUUAUCUUUUAAAAUAUUUUUAGCCGUAUUGGAUUUCCUUAGCCCAAAAUAGGCACCCAGUCCUAGCAAAAGAGAAUGUGAAGGGCUGUAAAGUCAUGGAACUUCAUGUUUUGAUGUUCUAGAUUUUGGAUUGAAAAAUCAAUGGUGACCCCAUGUUUGUCUCUUUUUUUCUUGAGUUUUUGCAGCAUUAUUGGUAAAUGUUUACGUUAAGGAACAUGUUGACUUUCUUCUUGAAUGGGUCAAUGCCUUUGAGCCCCAACUUUGUUUCAAACAACAAGAAGGUUGGGCAUUGUCCUCUUCAUGUAUAUAAUGUAGGCUAGACUUACAACAUAGCUGGUGGAAGGAAUAAAUGUUGCAGAAACUUUGUCAUUUGCAUUCUUUGAGGAAACAAGUCAACAUUGGCAUUUGCUGAAGCUAGCUUUACAUCAAAUUGAAUAAAGAACGACAGUUCAACAUAUACUCCAUCCACACUAGUUUAUUACGUGUCCUAGCUUUUCCCUAAAUUAGUUUCCCUAAAUUUACAUAAUUCUUAGAAAUUGUAUCCAUAUUUUGAAGAUCAAAUUUCUUCCAAUGAGUUAUUUAUGACAUAUAUAUUGGUAUUGCAUUUUAGUCAUCAAAAUAUAUUUAGAACUCUAACAAAGCUAUACAUGAUUCGUUAAAGACAAUACCCAAGAAAAUUGUAAUCAAGAAUACUCUAGAUGUGUGCCAAUUGCCACGUUUACAUAAAAUCAUUCUAACUUUGUUCAUCCUAUGUUUGUGCAUUCAUCUAUGCAUUUAGGAUUACAAUUAGUCUCAAUCUUGUAGUAAUUUUUCAUUCAUAGUUUGAUCAGUUCUCGUCUAUCUACUAUGCUUGUUCAACCACGAGAAGAAUAUUAGGACAAUAUCCAUUUAUAAACGCUUUGAUAGCAAACUUUACAUAUUCAUCAUGUCGGUAAAAUGGAACAUUUAUGAUGUGGUUAAGGUUGUCGCAUGUGUAAAGGUGAAGAGAUGAUGCAUGUCAUCCAAGUAUAUGAAAAGAAUUCCUAUAGAAAAUGACAAUUUUUCUUGUAGGUAAUGGAAACUAGCUUUCCAGCAAAGACCAUAUAAUCUGAUGAAACUGAUAACCAAAUGUCGAAAUUGAGUAGGUGCCAUAUCAUUGAUAGCUUAUCUAUUGUUUGGCAAAAAGAUAAAAUCCAAAUAUAUAUAUAUAUAUGAGAUCUCACCUAUAUAAAUAUCUCCCAAAUCAGUAGUUAAUCCAUCGCCCAUAAUAUUUUGAGCAUUCAAAAACACACAAAGGGAAGUGCACUAGCAACUUCCUAACAACAAUGGCUACCAAGAUAUUAGCCCUCCUUGCGCUCCUUUCCCUUUCAGUGAGCGCAACAACUGCAUUCAUUAUUCCACAAUGCUCACUUGCUCCUAAUGCCAUUAUUCCACAGUUCCUCCCAUCAGUUACAUCAAUGGGCAUCGAACACCCUAUUGUGCAAGCCUAUAGGCUACAACAAGCGCUUGCGGCGAGCGUCUUACAACAACCGUUUGCCCAAUUACAACAACAAUCCUUGGCACAUCUAACCAUACAAACCAUCGCAACACAACUAGAGCAACAGUUUGUGCCCGCAUUGAGCCAACUAGCCGCAGUGAACCCUGUCUCCUACUUGCAACAGCAACUGCUUGCAUCCAACCCACUUGCUCUGGCGAACACAGCCGCAUACCAGCAACAACUACAGUUGCAACAGUUUCUACCAGCUCUUAGUCAACUAGCCAUGGUGAACCCUGCCACAUACCUGCAACAGCAACAACUGCUUUCAUCUAGCCCACUCGCUGUGGGCAAUGCGGCUACAUACCUGCAACAGCAGCUGCUACAACAGAUCGUACCGGCUCUUAGUCAGCUAGUUGUGGCGAACCCUACUGCCUACUUACAACAGCUUCUUCCAUUCAACCAACUAGAUGUGGCAAACUCUGCUGCGUACCUACAACAGCGGCAGCAACUACUUAAUCCACUUGCAGCGGCUAACCCAUUGGUCGCCGCCUUCCUGCAACAGCAACAAUUUCUGCCAUACAACCAAAUCUCUUUGAUGAACCUUGCCUUGUCAAGGCAGCAACCGAUCGUUGGAGGUGCCAUCUUUUAGAUUACAAAUGAGAUGUACUUGAUAACAUUGCCCUCAUACCGGCAUGUGCAACUUCCUAUAAAUAAUCAAUAUAUUGAUUGAGAUUUAUCUUGAUCUUUUCUUAAUUAUGUUAAUCAUAUAAAUAAUUGAAACAUCAAAUCGUAAUUAUAUACACAUGAUUGGUCAAAACAUAGGCAAUACAAUAUUACUUCUUCAUCCCAAUAAUGUCCUAGCACAACAUCUUUAAUACUACUAUUUGGGUGUGUGAGGGUGUCUUUGUACGAUAGAUGUGACUAUUUACGCUUCUUGUUGAGUACAUGCAUGUGUGGUAUGUUGAUUUGAUAUAGUGAUGGGCACAUGCUUUGGCCAUGGCUUUUAAAAAUUAGUUGUACUUGCACCAUGCAAAACAUAAUAUAAGUUCAGGAGUAAACUUAUAAAUGUCAAAGUUGUUGACACAAAGUCAUACCACAUAAUUUUUUUGGUAAACAUUCCACACACAUAUUUUUACAAGAACACAAAUUUUGCAAGCCGCCAUUUGUAGAAAUAUAUAAAAUUCUUUGGAGCCCACGAACAUAACAACACCAUGGCAUUAACUCAACUGGACCUGGUCAGUAACAAAUUCGAUGUUGCAAACACCUAAUUACAAAACUUGUUGGCCAAAACAUUAUGAUGAAUAUGGAUUUUAAAUUAUUAUCCCAUUAAUACUUGCAUGGAAUGCGUUGCUCGACAUGCUAGCUCACUUUUCUGCUUUGGUAGCAUUUCCAAAGAUGGGGACCUUGCUGAUGAACAUAAAACCCAGUAAAAUAAUAUUUAUGUUUCGGCUUUCUAAUCAUUAAAGUAAAGACCCUAGAUUUAACUACCAAUCAACCACCGCCAUCCUGCUAUUUUUCGGAGAACGCACUUGGUGUGCCUUUCAUACUCAUAGCUUAGUCCAAUGGAUUGCAUUUUCCUUCUAUGUGUAGAAUUUUGAAAGGGCAUGUUCUAAAAUGUUAAAUCUAAUAAAAUCAGAAAGUUUAUUACUAGCAUGAUGGUUUACUAUGCCUAGGUCAUAACACUAGAAGCAACAUAGCCUGCACCCACAUGUCAUAGAAAACAGAAGGAAUACCCUAGCACAUUUGUGUGAGCACCAAUGACACAAAUUAUAUAAACUCUUGCAAUUUGUUUCUUUGUAAAUAAAGAGAAACAAUUUGGAAGCGAUAGUAUUUUUUUGCUCUCACUCUUAUUUUGUGUCCAUAGAAGUUUUUCUUUUAAAAUAUUUUUAGCCAUAUUGGAUUUCCGUAUCCCAAAAUAGGUGCUCAGUCCUAGCAAAAGAGAAUGUGAAUGAGUGUAAAGUCAUGGAACUUCAUGUUUUAAUUCUUCUAGGUUUUGGAUUGAAAAAUCAAUGGUGACCCCAUGUUUGUCUAUUUUCUCUUGAGUUUUUGCAGCACUAUUGAUAAAGGUUUACAUUAAUGAACUUGUUGUCUUUCAUCUUGAAUUGGUCAAUGCCUUUGAGCCCUAACUUUGGUUUAGACACCAAGAAUGUUGGUCAUUGUCCUCUUCAUGUAUAUAAUGAAGGAUAGACUCACAAGAUAGCUGAUGGAAGGAAUAAAUGUUGCAUAAAAUUUGUCAUUUCCAUUCUUUGAGGAAAAAAGUCAACGUUGACAUUUGUUGAAGCUAGUUAUACAUCUAUUUUAAUCAAGAGUUACAAUUCAACAUAUACUCCAUCCACUCUAGUUUAUUACAUGCCCUAGCUUUUUCCUAAGUCACUUUUCCGUAAAUUGACAUAAUUCCUAGAAAACCUAUCCGAAUUUCUUAAAUCAAAUUUGUUCCAUUGAAUUUUUAUGACAUAUAAAUUGGUAUUGCUUUUUAGUCAUCAAAAUUUAUUGUGUUUGUUUAACCAGGAGGACAAUACUAGAACAAUAUCCAUUCAUAAAGGAUUUGAUAGCAAUUCAUAACUUAACAAAUUUAGCAAAUUGAUAAAAUGAAACAUUAAUUAUGUGGCUAAAGUUGUAACAUGUGCAAAGGUGAAGAGAUCAUGCAUGUCAUUCCUCAUGUAUGGAAAGAAUUCCAAUAGAAAAUGACGAAUUUUCCUGUAGGUAGUGAAAACUAUCUUUAUAGCAAAGUCCAUAUAAUCAUAUGAAACUGAUGACUAAAUGUCAAAAUUGAGUAGGUGCCAUAUCAUCUAUAGCUUAUCCAUUGUUGGGAAAAAAUACAAAAUCCAAAAAAUAUAUAUGAGACCUCACCUGUAUAUAUAACCCCCAAAUCAGUAGUUAAUUCAUCACCUAAAACAUUUUGAGCAUUCAGAAACAAACCAAGUGAAUCACACUAGCAACUUCAUAACAACAAUGAGAUUUGGCCCUCUUUGUGCUCCUUGCUCUUUUAGUGAGUGCAACAUCUACAUUCACUAAUCCAUAGUGCUCUCUUGCUACAAGUGCCAUUAUUUCACAAUUCCUCCCACCAAUUACUACAAUGGGCUUCAAACACCUAGAUGUGUAGGCCUACAAGGUACAACAAACGCUUGCGACGAGCAUAUUACAACAACCAAUUAUUCAAUUGCAACAACAUUCCUUGGCCCAUAUAACCAUAUAGACCAUUGCAUCACAACGUCAACAAUUGUUCCUUCCAACACCGAACCACCUAGCGAUGGUCCUUGCCGCUACUUGCAACAAUAGCUACUUGCAUUCAACCCACUUG
This 89704-nucleotide long non-coding RNA is filed under the name Zea mays. RNAcentral describes it as "long non-coding RNA (ZMAY_LNC002145)". The record is from RNAcentral. Lineage: Eukaryota; Viridiplantae; Streptophyta; Magnoliopsida; Poales; Poaceae.